AAUAGGGCUGUAAUUGAAUAGAGCUGUAAUGGAAUAGAGCUGUAAUGGAAUAGAACUGUGAUAAGUAAUUCAACUGUUUGGUUGAAUGGAAUGAAAUAGAACUGUAAUAGUAUUCUUGUGUUUGGUUGAAUGGAAUGAUGUUGUAAUAGUAUAAGGAAAAAAACUAAAAUGACCAGAAUACCCUUAGCAGAAUUUUUAUUAAGGGAGAUGAAUAUUGUUAUUGUUAUUAAAUUUUAAUAAGAUUAUUAUUGAAAAUAAUUUAAUAAAAAUAAUAAAUAGUUUAACCAUAUUUUAACAUAAUUAUUAUUAAAUAUAAUUUAAUAAAAAAUAUAAUUUAAUAACAUUCAUUAUAUAACUAUUAUUAUAUGAAUUAAAAAAUCAAAAUAUAUAACACUAUAAAAAAAUAUAUAAUCUGCUUUAUUAUUUUUAAACUUCAAUACAUAUUUAGGCUCCGUUUGUUUGCCAGUAAAAUAUUUUCUGGAAAAUAAUUUAUGGAAAAUGAUUUACUUUUCUAGAAAUGAUUUACUUUUUUGGUGUUUGGAUGAAUUUAUGUAAAAUAUUUUCCGUUAUUUGGUAGAUUUCCUGAAAAUAUUUUAUAAAAGCUGUUUUAAAUUAAACAAAUAUAUAUAUAUCUAAGAAUUUAUUAUCUUUUCAUUGUUUAUUUGAGUUUAUUAUAUAUAUACAUUAAUAAAUUUUACAUAUAUUGCAAUGUUUUAUUUAUGGGUAAACUACAAAAAUAGUCACUUUUGUUUGCCUCGGGUUACAUUUUAGUCACUUAUAUUUGAAAUGUUACGUGUUAGUCAUUUAUGUUAUUAUUAUCUCCCUAAUGAUAAUCCUACGUGGUAGUCCAACUAGAUUUUAAGUGCCAACUAGAUCUUAAGUAUAUCUGUUAAUACAUACUUCAUCCGGGUAAAUUAUACAAUUUUCUGUUAAUACAUACUUUACCCGGGUAAAUUAUACAGUUUUCUAUUAAUACAUACUUCAUCCGGAUAAAUUAUACAGUUUUCUGUUAAUACAUACUUUACCUGGGUAAAUUAUACAGUUUUCUAUUAAUACAUACUUUACCCGGGUAAAUUAUACAGUUUUCUAUUAAUAUAUACUUCAUCCGGAUAAAUUAUACAGUUUUCUAUUAAUGUGCUUGUGAAGAAAAAUACAAAACAACAUUUCAUAGAUAUGUUUCCAUCUAUUUCCAGAUUACUAUAGCAAUAGAGUAAGUCAAGUCUGAGUUAUUGUCCUUAGUAGAAAUAAUAGAAUGCAAUGAGGCUACAAAAGCAAGAACCAGAAAUUACAAGCAAAUAUAGUAAUUAGGAGGAACAACAAGCAGUAAGUAAUUAAGCCAAGUGGCCUAUCAACGUGCAACCACUGGUAUAGGGUUUAGACAAAGCAAAUCAAGCAACAUAGAGAUAGAUUGGUUCAGUGCAGAAUAGCAUCAACAAAGACCACCAAAUGUGAAGAUAUUCCAAAUUUAAUCCAUAUCCUAAACUAGGUCAACAAAACAUAGAACCAUAAAAAAGGCACAGAUGAACUAAAUAUGAACUAUAAAGCAUUAGGGAGGAACCGAAAUCAAUAAAUUAAUGAACAUCCACUAGCAGUAACAAUAAGACAAACAGUUAUUUCUCUGCUAUAAACAAGAAUCAUAGAGAAGAAAAGCAAAAAAAAAGAACAGAACAGAGCAAACCCCUAAACUGAAAUCAUAAACAAGAUAGAGGCUAUCGAGAAGAAUGGAGGAACUGGUGACUUCAGUUGACUGACAUGAAAGAGCAGAGGAAUGAAAGUGGCCGGAGGCAAAGUAAGCAAGAGAGGCUGGGUGAGAGAAGCUGUCGGGUUGAAGUAAAAAAAAAAAGAAAACGUACCUUUGAGGAGAUGAAGAUGAAGGGUAGAUGGAUGGAUGCUUGAUUUGGAGAAAAAGGUUGGAAGAAAUCUGAAGCAGAAUUUUGGGGAGAAGAAAUCAGGCUAUUUUGGUCCCAAAAUCUGAAAAUGUAUUCGGCGUGUGUGUUGAAUAGCAAUUCAGUGCCCUCACUACUGAAUACCUAUUACAGGAGGUGAGGGAAUAUGGCUGUAAUAGCUAAACUGCAGAAUCACCUAAACAGUGAACCAAACGUAUGAAUUACUGUAGCGCGCGGAAUAAGGCAGGAAUGGCAUAGCAAUUCCAUCCAACCAAACAUACUGUAAAUUUCUCAGGUUAAUUUUGUAUUCCAUCUAUUAUUAUAUUAAUUUUUGCAAUAAAAUUUCCAAAAUUUUAGAUUUAAUCUUUUUUUUUCUUAAUAUAUCCAUUGAAGUGAGCCUAGUGACUUUGUCCUAACAAGUGGUACUAGAGCUAGUUUAAUUUUCAUAGAUCAGCCCAUUCAGAUAUGACAGUAACAAGGUUUGAAACUGAGAAGUUUGAUGGUGAGAUAAAUUUCAAUCUGUGGCAAGUUUGGAUGAUGGCAAUUGUAGUACAAUCCGGUUUGAAAAAGGUUGUUACUGGGAAAAAGCCCAAGAAUUUAAAUAAAACAAAAUGGGAAAAGCUUGAUGAAAAGGCUUUGUCUGCAAUCCAGUUGUGCCUCGCGAAUACGGUAUUGCAAGAGGUAUUUAUGGAGAAGACCUCAUUUUCCUUGUGGAAAAGGUUAGAAACUCUUUAUGCGACUAAGUCUCUGGCCGUUUAGUGUUGAAACAAUGUCUAUUUACGUUUCGCAUGAACGAAGGUGAGAUUUUUAGAGAUCACAUCAGUCAAUUCAUUACUCUUUUAAAUGAUUUAAAGAACGUUGAGGUUCAUAUUGAUGAUGAAGAUCAAGCUAUGCUAUUAUUGUGCUCUUUACCUCCUUCAUACAAGUCUUUCAGGGAGACCCAGAUUUAUGACAGAGACAAACUCUCGUUUGAAGAUGUGAAGGGUCAUUUGUUGAGUAGAGACAAACUCGACAAUGAGUUUCAUUUGGAUAGCAAGACAGAUAGGCAAGCUUCCGUUUUAGUAGCAUCAAAGAAACGAGACAAAAGGUGCCGCUAUUGUAAAAAGUUAGGUCACGUCAAAGCAGUCUUCAGUAAGCCUAUAAAAAAUUAAUCAGUUUAUUUCAAAAACUAUCAAUAAAGACUCAACUAAAUUAAUCACAUAAAAAAAUUUCCUUAAAUUAACCUAGCCUCAUCAAUUCAUAAAAAAAUAUAAUUUAUUAAAUUAACUUAGCAAAUUCUUUGCCUAAUUUUGCUCCAAUGAAAAACUAGCAAACUAGGUUCGAUCCAAUAGAUAUAUUUCUCACCCCUAUAGAAAAUUUAGCAAACUCUCUGCCUAGUUUCGCUUCAACGAAAUAUAUUUCGCUCCAACGGAAAUAAAUUCUGCUCUAGUAGAACAAGUCCUUCAUUUCUCUUAUUUGUAGUUGCACUUCAACUCAUUGUCAGGGAAUUACAUCAUCAACAACCUUAGUACCUUCAUAAAAACUAAUUAAAAAAACAAGAUAAAAGUAAAAAGAAAAACAAAAUGAUUAGCCUAUCUAAAAAAAAUAAAAAAGAAAAAGAAAAAUAGAAUAGAAUAAAUAAUAAUUAGAAAAAAAACCUAGAGACUUAUGUUGCCUCCCAAGAAGUGCCUUAGUUAUAGUCAUGGCAUGACUCUUAGAUUUUAAGCAUCCCGAAGCUUGAUGACGGUGUCACGAUGAUCUACACUGCCCCUCCAACAGUACUUAAGUCUUUGCCGAAAAAUUUUUACUACUUUGUAAAGAAACAUUUCUAAAACCCGACUCAAUUUUGACCAACAAAAUUACAACUUUCCAAGACUUAGCUUAAGCUGUGAUUUUUAUAAGAAAAUAUAUCGUAUUGGCUCAAUUCGUUUUCAAGCAAACCUUUUACCAUUCCACCGUUUCACUUUAUAGCAUUUUUGUAAUGGCUCUUUAAUUGAGGACUUCAAAUUAUUUAGAGAUCCCAAAUGUAAAUUUAAUGAUUCAAACUUUGACAUGGUCUUGCAUAUUUUGGAACAUAAUCGAAAGUGUUCAUAAAUUCCUUAAACACACCAUCUUUUCUUUUAGCUUCAAAAACCAAAGUAGUUUGCAUAGAAUCAAUCAGAUAAAUGUUCUUGGGAAAAUUAAAAUUAGCUUUAUCUAUUACACUAAUUGAGAAGCAUUCUUCUUUAUCAUUCAAAUGUUUCAAAGAAAAGAAAAUUUUGAAAGUUACCUGCUCAUUAUUGACCUUCAUUGUAACUUAACCUUCUUCAACAUCAAUCAGCGCUAUUCCAGUUGCAAGGAAUGGUCUGCCAAGAAUAAGUGGAACCUCUCUAUCUUCCUCCAUAUCUAAGAUAAUGAAAUCUGUCAAAAGAAUAAACUUGUCCACUGUAACAGCCUGUUUUUAGUCAAAUCAAAACAGUGGUUUUGGAACCACAAUUCAAAGUUAAAAUAAUUAUUUUAUUAUUAUUUUGAGGUCUAUAGCAUGAUAGUAUGAUUGCAUAAAAAUUUUGUUAAGAAAUUUUACCAUUUGUAUGCUUAAUUUGUGAAAAAGGACUAAAUUGUGUAAAGUACAAAAGUUGUGUUCUAAUAGCUAAAGGUGUCCAAUAGCUAUGGGAAUUUAAAGUGGAGGUUCUUAUAUAGUAAUUAGAACACUAAUAUUAAUGGUGGACAAAAUUGGACAUCUUGUAAUGGUUUUAAUGGUUUAAUGAUAAGGUUAAUUUAGUAAUUAAUAUAAUAAACUAAAAUUAAAAUAAGAAAAAGAAAGGUAUCAUCUUUCUUCUUCAUUCUUCAACCAAAAAUAGCAACUAAGAAGCCAUUAAAUACCAUUCAAGCAUUCAGUCAAUAUAUCCUAGUGCAUGUAAGUGCAUUUUUUAUCCGUUUUUAAUAAUUUCUAUGUUUUUGGAGUCGUUGUAACUUAAUCUACCUAGCUUAGGGACUAAUUUAUGAAAAUGUUAAAACUCCAGAGUUUUUCCAUGAAUACGUGUGGGUUUUUUUUUAUAUUUGAUGGAUGAAAAUGAAAGUUUAGUGAUUGUUAAACAAGUUUUGUAAAGUGAUUUUGGUUGAAAAUGUCAAAUAGGGAUUUAUUUGUAAAAUGUGAAAAUUUUGUGGUGAAAUGUGUGAAAUAAUGAAAUGUGUGGGCUGCUAUGAACAUAUAUAGAAUUCGGUUAGUAUGGGUGUGGAUUAAAUUUCAUGAACUUGCAUUUUUAUGAGAUAGGGACUAAAUUGUAAAAAAGUUAAAUGUUUAGGGACAAAAUAGUAAUUUUUCCAUAACAUGAAUUUUUGGAUUGAGUUGAAUAGAAUGAGACUUAAAGUAGUUAAAUUUGAUUAUAUAGAUCAAGAAAAUCCACGUUCGGAUUUAGAUCGAGGCAAAGAUAAAGUAGUGGAUUGAUCAAGAGAUUUUCUCCAUACUAAUUUGAGGUAAGUUCGUAUGUUAAAAAGAAUUAAAGUAAUUGUGUUUUAAAUGCUUUAUUAUUACAUUCUUGAUAAAUACAACUUUAUGGAAAUAUUCGACAAAGAUUUGGCAAUGUAUGAAAUCCAGAACGAACUUUAGGAAUAGAUAAGAUACAAAUGACAUGUCAUUAGGGGUUACCGUGUUUUGGGUGUUGGUCCCGUACGUUCUACCGAUGGCUGAGUUUUUGGGCAUGUGUUGUGGCUACUGUAAGCAGCACCGUAUAGCUAUGUCUUGAUCGUUAGCUUGUGUGAGCAGACCCAAUAAUAGCUCGAAAGUGAGCAUCUAUAUUGGAUAUAAGAUAGAGAUGGUUUCGACCAUGUAUUGGCAUUUAGUGUGUGAGAUACCCAAGUAUCCGAUAUUAUUCCAAAUGGUACAACGGGCAUAGUGAUGUUACGAGAGUUUUUGAAUUCAAAAAUGAAUUAGUACAGGUAUGUACGUGAAUCAUAUAAGAACUGAAUCUAUUAGAUUUGUGAAUUCAUGUCUAACUUUGUAAGUGAAUAUGUGUUAGGCUUGUGGAUCAAAUUGAGUUGUAUUAUACUAUGUUUAAUUACUUAAAUUGUGAUUAAAUGGUAAGUUGAGUUUUAUGCUAUACGAACUUACUAAGCUUAAUUGCUUACUGUGUUAAAAAUUCUAUGUUUUAUAAUGAUUCGAAAACUCACUAGGUUUGGAAGUUGUCGGAGAUUUCAUCUCACUAUCAAAAUCUCCUUUUGUUACUUUUAGACUUUAUGUAUUUUGGUUAUAUGGAAUGUAUAGAUCUUUUGGCUAAUGAAAGCCUAUAUGUUUUGGUUAUGUAAUUAGUCUAUAUGUUUUGGUUAUGUAAUUAGUCAUUUAAUAUAGCUUGAUUUGGUAUAUAUAUAUUGGUAUGUAUAUAUGUAUGGUUUGUCUCAUGUUAUAUGUUGUUUGGAUUGCCAUGAGAAUGCCUUGAUUGUGAUUUGGAACUUUUAAGUCUCAUAUGGUUGAGAUUAAGAAAUGGCAUAUAUGUUGUGUGUUAGGCACAAAUGUGUAUAUCUGCAUUUGACUAUUUAGGUAACUUUUAGAAGUGACAGUGGUAUGAUUUUGAAUGGCUAGUUGUAUGCUUUUAAGUGGUCAAGUGAAUAUAUGGAUAUUGCAUGCUAUAGACUUGGAAUUGGUUAGUCUUGAAUGCUUAUUUAUGUCAUGGUUGAAUGUACAUUGUUUGGCUUAGGUUGGUACCACUUUGCGUGAGAAAUAUGGCUUGGAAAAUGGCUUAUUUUUGUCCACAUGGGCAGAGACACGGGCGUGUGUCUCAGCCGGGUGUGACACACAGCUAGGUAAUACGGUAGUGUGUCCCUUGAUGUGUAACGCCCCAAAAUUUAUAUUUCUGAUUCUGUAGGAAUAUGACACAAGUGUGUAUCUGCUUUAGUGGUUAAGUGUUCUGGGUGUGUAUGAGAGGUUCUAAGUUCAAGCCUUAGCUUGGGGAAAAAUUUUGGUUUUUAUUGAAUAAGGCCUUGUCUCUGGUGGUUAAGCUUAUAAGUAUUUGAUUAUUAAAAUAUGCAAGAAUGGGCCUACUAGUCUGGUGGAUAAGUGGAGUGUUGGUGUGGGAGAGGUCUUGGGUUUGAGUCUGAGUGGAGGAAGUAUUUUUGAUGCUAAUGCCGUGUGGUAGGCCGUGUGGCAGUACACGGGCGUGUAAUCGAUGAAUCAGGCCGUGCGCAUGUAACACAGGUGCAACAGACACAGCCAUGUGAUGUCUGGCGAGGUCAUGUGAGAGACACGGGCUCGAUUAAUGGGUCGUAUAGGCCACACAGGCGUGUGGGCCCACUAGGGUAAACCACACGGGCAUGUGAAAUUCUAGGCCAGGCCGUGUGAUCCACACGGCCAAGGCCAAUUUGGGUCGUGUGGGCCCACACAGGCAAGCCACAUAGGCGUGUGAGCCCGUUUUUUUGAAAUGUUCUGUAAGGUUGCACGGGUCACCUAAGUCGACUGUGACCUAUCGAAGGGUCGGUAAACAAUACUUAGACCCUUGUUCUGUGAUAUGAUAUUGUGAUGUAUGUGUUACUAUGUUACACUUAACAUGUAUACUGUUUUGAAUAUAAAUGUAUGAUCUGCAUUAUAGCAUGCCAUAUUGUAUGAUGCAUUGCAUCGAGGUGGGUUUGAUGAAGAUAAGGAAGUAUCUGAAGACUUCAUAAGCCUGUUACCUGGCAGCUAAACUGUGUAAUUAUGACAUGUGCCACACUAUGGUACCCUAUGGUGUGUAGGGUUGGAUGGGUCAAUUUUAUCCCUAUAUUUGGUAUGCAGGGAUGGGUGGGUCGAUUUUAUCCCCACAUGGUGUGUUGGGUUGGACGGAGUUGGUGGGCAUGUUCUGUUAUUUGGAUCCGUUAUGCAUGCCAUAUCUGAGAUGGGCUAACGCCCUAAGUUUGUGUCUUAUUCUGUAUCUGAGUGGGUCAAGACCCACAGCGAUUCUGUAAAAAGGGUUUAGGCCUGACUUAUGUCUAUAUUUUGAUAUCUGUUUGUAUGCAUGCUAAACUGUGGGGAUGUAACACCCCGUACCCGAGACCGUUGCCGGAGUCGAACACGAGGUGCUAACGGACUUAAUUCCUUACUUAAACAGCUCAUACAAUUCAUUUUUAAAAUUUCCAGAUGAGUUGGCUAACUGCAUCACAAUCACUCUAAAAAUCAUAUCUCGAGUUCCAAAACUCGAAAUCCAAUUCCGUAAAUUUUUCCUAAAACUAGACUCAUACAUAUAUUUACUAAUUUUUUUCUAGAAUUUUUGGUCAGGCUAACUAGUACAGUUUAUUAGUUAAAGUCUCCCCUGUUUCAGGGUUCGACUACUCUGACCUUCAUGCAUUACAACUUAGAUAUCUCCCUGUACAGGGCUUCAAUACUUAUGUCGUUUGUUUCUAAUGAAACUAGACUCAAAAAUAAAUCUGUACAUAUAAAGCAUGACUUUUAAUUAUCUCUGAUUAAUUUAUGGUGAAUUUCCAAAGUCAGAACAGGGGAUCCAGAAAUCACUCUGGCCCUGUUUCACGAAAACUUAAACAUCUCAUAAAAUACGGCUCAUAUAGUCGUUUAGUUUCUUUCAUAUGAAAAUAGACUCAUCCAGAUUCGAUUACAUAAUUUAUUCAUUAUUUAAUUCCAUUUAUACUAUUUUUAAUGAUUUUUCAAACUCACAUCACUGCUGCUGUCAGCAUCUAUUUUAAGGUAAAUUUCACCUAUUUCAUAGUUUUCCAUGAAUCAACUAGUAAUUUGACAUACAUUAUUUCCAAUUAUAAUCACGAUUAGCCAUGACAUACGUAGCACCAAUAGGACCAUGAUUGGCCAUUCCAAUGGCUAAUCAUUACCAAACAUUUCCACACCACUUAAUAACCAUAUCAUAAGACCAUAUAUACAAAAUGAUCAUAAUGUUAUACUCAAAAUAUACAAGCCAUUUUCGCAUGGCUAUACGAAUAUACAUUACCAAAAGAUACUUAAUUAACAACAAGGGUCAGCCCUAUACAUGCCAUUAUCAAGUUCAACUGAAGAGUACCAAAAAGUCUCUUAGAUAGUGUGGAUGACUUCGACUUUGACACCUCCGAGUCCGAUAGCUGACGAACAAAAUCUAUAAUACAGAGAAUUUAAGCAACAGAGUAAGCGUUUCGAUGCUUAGUAAGUUUAUAAGUAAGGAACUCAUUUGAAACAAAAACACAAAAGAAAUAGCAUUCAUAAGGAUAAAUAAAUGCCUACGCACAAGAUCACGUAUUUGUUUUAAUUUACACUUUUAUCAAUAGGUUUAUACAUUCGAAGUCAAACUUAACUAAAUUUCAUUUGAUUCAAUUUCAUGUAGCUCGAGUGAGCUAUAGACUUCAUAUAAUCCUAAGAAAUGGCCGGAAGAGCAUUAUUCGAUUACGUAAUCACAACUGACACUGUACCAAAUUUUUCCAAUGUAUACACGAUCCAUACAUGGUCAUAUUAGGGAUUAUGAGCACAUUAAUCGGAAUUAUUACGACAGAGUCGCACCUUUCCAAACAUAAAUACCUUCGGAAUUUGACUCGGAUGUAACAACCAGCACAAAUGCCUUCGGGACUUAACCCGGUUAUAAUAACCCGCAUGAAUGCCUUCGGGACUUAACCCGGUUAUAAUAACCCGCACGAAUGCCUUCGGGACUUAACCCGGUUAUAGUAACCCGCACGAAUGCCUUCGGGACAUAACCCGGUUAUAUUUUUUUUCUAGCUCAUAGCCUGCGGACCUUUAGUCCGGAUAGAUUCUAUCAAUAUACAUAUCAUCAUUCGCAUUUCAACUCCAAAGUUAUACUCAAAUUCACAUGUUCAUAACACCAUUACAGCUUAACUCCAAAUGAUCCUCACUAUGAAUCGCAUACCCACAUUAAUUAAUGAACAAUUUUAUUCAAGUGCCAACCAAAAAUUUCGAUUCAUUUACCAUAUUCUUAUAGGCAUCUUUAAUUAUGUAUACUAGAAGAGCCUACUUAAAAACUUACCUCGGUAUAUUGAAACGGUUGUGGAUUGAUUACUCUAUUGCUUUCUCCUUUCCCCGAUCUAACUUUGAUCCCCCUUGCUCUUGAGCUUAAUGAAUACAAGUAGAAGUCUUCAAUAUUUUUACCAAUAAUGUUUACUUGUUAGUCACAUUCGGCAAUCACAUAUCAAACUCAUUUUACUCGUGUGGCCGAUUAUACUUGGUCAUACAUACACAUAAUCAAAAAUAAAUUCCAAAAUUUUCACAUCAUUUAUGUACUAAGCCGAAUUCACUUGCCAAGUUUAUAUACAUUCUUCAAUAAUUCCUUCUUUGAACAAACACAUAUUCGGCUAAAACAAUGAAAAUUUUAGCAGCUUUUAAUUUAACACCUAAUCAAUUAUAACACCUCUAAGCAUUCUUUUCAUUUUACCAACUCCAACCACAUGCAUUACUCAAGCAUAACAUUUUCAUAUUCGGCAAUAGUAUCAAACUUAGUAGCCGAUUCUUCCCACUUUGUAUCUAUGCACCUAUUUGAUCAUUAGUUUAGUUCAAACACCCAUACACCAAGAUUCAUCCAAUUUAACAUGAAACAAAAACCAAAAUCCUCAAUAGCUACUAUGGCCAAAAGUUCUAGUCUUCGCAAAAUCAAAAUUCCUAACAUGGGUUACCUAAAGAACUUGGUAACUAGUUCAAUUUUAUCUAAAAUUUCAAGAAUUAACAUGAAUUUCAUACCUUAAUGAAGACUUGAAAUGGCCGAAUGGCUCCUUUCCUCCCAACUCCCCUUCACUUUCGGCCUUUUGGAAUGAACAAGGUGAACACUUUGUUGUUUUCACCCACUUUCUAUAUUUUCUUUUCAUUAAUUCAUGAUAUUAUGCCAUUUAGCUAAUUAAAGUUAAUAGAAAAUUCAUAUUUUAUUAUAUAAUUUGUAGCAUGGCCGGCCACUACCUAUAGUUUGGCUAAUUUGACAUGCAAGUACAAGCACUUUCCAACAUAUAUUAAUAGGCCACUUUAGCAUUUGCCUAGCACAUUUCUAAAUUUUCUCAUACAAGUCCUAUUUAAUAAAUUUCACAUACGAUAUACAAAUUUAAGCAUGAAUUUUUUUCACACAUGCAUAUUCAUAUAUAAUAAGCAUCAAAUAUGAUUGUUAAUUAUUUUUAUGAGUCUGUUUCGUGGUCCCGAAACCACUUUCCGACUAGGGUCAAUUUAGGGCUGUCACAAUUCUCCCCCACUUAAGAAAUUUUCGUCCCCGAAAAUCUUACCGGUAAAUAGAUUUGGGUAUCGUUCUUUAAUAGAGUUCUCGGUUUCCCAAGUAGCUUCUUCGAUCCCGUGUUUGAGCCAUAACACCUUUACUAACGGAACCCUUUUGUUUCGCAACUCUUUCACCUCGCGAGCUAGGAUUAGAAUCGGUUCUUCUUCAUAACUCAAAUUAGGUUGAAUUUCAACCUCUGAUGGAUUAAUUCUGUGCGAUGGAUUGGAUCUAUAACGUCGAAGCCUCGAGAUAUGAAAAAUGUUGUGAAUCUUUUCAAGUUCAAGGGGUAGAAUCAAUCUGUAUGCGACUGGCCCAAUUUGUUCAGAUAUCUCAUACGGCCCGAUGAAUCUCGGACUCAAUUUGCCUUUACGGCCAAAUCUGAGCACCUUUUUCCAAGGUGAAACUUUAAGAAACACUUUGUCUCCGACCUGAUAUCCAAUGUCUUUUCGCUUUAAAUCUGCAUACGACUUCUGAUGAUCUGAAGCUGCCUUCAGACUUUCAUGGAUUACUUUUACUUUCUGCUCAUCAUCUUUAAUCAAAUCAACCCCGAAGAUUUUAUUUUUACUAAGCUCAGUCCAAAACAACGGUGUACGGCAUUUACGACCAUACAAAGCCUCGUAAGGUGCCAUCUUAAUGCUUGACUGAACACUAUUGCUGUAAGCGAAUUCAAUCAAGGAUGCAACAUCUCAACAUAUCCUCGAGUAUCUGAAUUAUCCGCUCGGAUUGACCAUCAGUCUGGGGAUGAAAAGCGGUGCUAAAAUGCAACUUGGUACCCAAAGCUUCUUGCAAUUUCUUCCAAAAUCGCAGGUGAACCUCGGAUCUCUAUCCGACACAAUAGAAAUAGGUACCCCGUGUAAUCUUACAAUCUGAGAAACAUACAAUUCAGCUAGUUUAUCCAGUGAAUAAUCCGUACGUAUGGGAAUAAAAUGAGUCGACUUAGUCAGUCUAUCAACAACAACCCAAAUCGCAUCUUUCUUACUUGCCGAAAAUGGCAACCCAGAUACAAAAUCCAUCGUGACUCGAUCCCAUUUCCAUUCAGGUAUCAUGAUCGGCUGAAGUAAACCUGUAGGCACUUGAUGUUCCGCUUUCACUUGUUGACAUAUUAAACACUUCAAAACAAAAUCGGAUAUGUCUCGUUUCAUACCAUGCCACCAAAACUGACGUCUCAGAUCGUUGUACAUUUUCGUACUCCCCGGGUGAAUUGACAUUCGGCUACAAUGAGCUUCGUUCAGAAUCAUCGAGAUAAGUUCUGAAUUUCUUGAAACACACAAAUGACUUCUGAACCUCAAACAAUCGUCAUCAUCAAUUUGAAACUCUGAUUCCAUAUUCGAAACACAUUCUGCCCGUUUUGCAACCAAUUCAUCAUCGACUUUCUGAGCUUCACGAAUUUGAUGAAUCAACAAUGGUUUGGCCUUUAAUUCUACUACUAACACAUUAUCGGAUAGAACAGACAAGUGUACAUUCAUCGCUCGUAAAGUAAACAGUGAUUUACGACUUAAAGCAUCCGCAACCACAUUAGCCUUUCCCGGGUGAUAGUCAAUGACAAGCUCAUAAUCUUUUAAAAACUCAAGCCAACGUCUUUGUCGCAGAUUCAAAUCUCUUGGAGUCAUCAAAUAUUUGAGACUUUUGUGAUCCGAAAAUACAUGGCACCUCUCACCAAACAAGUAAUGUCGCCAUAUUUUCAAAGCGAAUACGAUGGCAGCUAGUUCGAGAUCAUGGGUUGGAUAGUUUUUCUCAUGUGGCUUUAAUUGUCUCGACGCAUAAGCUACAAAUCGACCUUCUUGCAUCAAUACACAACCCAACCCAAGUAAGGAUGCAUCACUGUAAAUGAUAAACUCUUUGCCUGAUUCGGGCUGCAGUAGUACUGGAGCUUCAGUCAAAUAAGUUUUUAGUUGAUCGAAACUUUUCUGACAUUUUUCUGUCCAUUCAAACUUAACAUCUUUCUGAAGUAGUUUGUUAUUGGUGUGGCUAUCAUCGAGAAACCCUUUACAAACCGUCUAUAGUAACCGGCAAGUCCCAAAAAGCUCCGAACCUCAGUAAUAUUUCUCGGAGGCUUCCAAUCAAGUAUGGCUAAAAUUUUGCUCGGAUCAACUCGAAUACCCGAUGAAGAUACCACAUGACCCAAAAAGCUAACCUCUCUUAACUAGAACUCACACUUACUAAACUUAGCAUAUAACUGCUUAUCCCGUAAAAUCUGUAACACUAAUCCCAGGUGUUCAGCAUGAUCGGUUUCAUUUCUCGAAUAGAUCAAAAUAUCAUCGAUAAACACAACUACAAACCGAUCCAAAUACGGUCUGAAGAUCCGAUUCAUCAAAUCCAUAACUACCGCAGGGGCAUUAGUGAGCCCAAAUGGCAUCACUAAGAACUCGUAGUGACCAUAUCUCGUUCUGAAAGCAGUUUUGGGUAUAUCCGAAUCUCGAAUUCGCAACUGAUAAUAACCCGAUCUCAAAUCUAUCUUUGAAAAUACAGAGGCUCCCUUCAGUUGAUCGAACAAAUCAUUAAUACACGGUAACGGAUAUUUAUUCCUUAUUGUCAUUUUAUUCAGCUGACGAUAGUCAAUGCACAGUCUCAUGGUUCCGUCCUUCUUUUUCACAAAUAAUACUGGUGCACCCCAAGGUGAAAAACUCGGUCGAGCAAAACCUCUAUCCGUCAACUCUUGCAACUGAGUUUUCAAUUCUUUCAAUUCCGUUGGUGCCAUACGAUACGGAGCUAUCGAAAUCGGUGUAGUCCCAGGUACAAGUUCAAUGCCAAACUCUACCUCCCGAACAGGUGGUAACCCCGGUAAUUCUUCGGGAAAAACAUCUGAAUAUUCACAAACCACUGGUACCGAUUCAAGUUUCUUUUCUGAUUCUUUAUUAUGAAGUACGUAUGCAAGAUACACUUCAUACCCCUUUCUCACAUAUUUUUGAGCCAACAUCGAUGAUAUUAUUGCUGGUAAUCCGUUCCAAUUAGUAGACUCGACUCGGAUUAUCUCAUUAUUUGCACAUCUCAAAUCGAUGGUCUUACUUUUGUAAUUUACAAUUGCAUCAUGUACGGUCAACCAAUCCAUCCCGAGGAUAACAUCAAAUUCCUCAAACGGUAAAAGCAUCAAAUCGGCCGAAAAACAGGAACCUCGAAUUACUAGGGGACAUUUCUUACACACCUUAUCAACAAGCACAUAAUGACCCAAGGGAUUCGACACUCUAAUAACGAACUCAGUAGACUCAACAGGUAAAGUCUUACUGGAUGCUAAAGUCUCACAUAUAUAAGAAUGAGUAGAACCAGGGUCAAUCAAAGCAAUCACAUCAGUAUCAAAGAGAGUGACUGUACCGGUAAUAACAUCAGGCGAAGAAGCAUCCUCACGUGCACGUAUAGCAUAAGCUCUAGCAGGAGCACGAGCCUCAGAUCUGGUGGUAACAUCUCUAGAUCCUCUCUGACCGCCACUAGCAUUCCCCGCAUUUUUAGAUGGUCUACCUCGAGCAGUAGUAGCACCCGGUUUCCCACUCUGAUUUACAUUCUGUUCAGACAGUCUCGGGCAAUCCUUGAUAAAGUGGUCAGCUGAUCCGCACUUAUAACAGGAGCGGUCAUGGAAUCUACAACUCCCCGAAUGCCAUUUACUGCAAUACUGGCACUCCGUCCUGUCCCGACGAUCAUUUCCAACACUGGCAACUGAAGUGACUCGCGUACUUACAGGGGGUCGAUCACGAUCUCGUCUGGAAAAGCCCAAAGUGUCUUUAGAUCGGCCUGGAUCACUUUUAAAUUUCUUUGAUGAUUGUUGAAAGGGCUUUCCCGAAGACCUCUUACGAAAUUCUCUUACUUCCACUUCAGCUUUUCUUUUCUCCUUAUUGAGCUCUUCAGCUUUGCAAGCUCGUUCGACAAGUACUACAAAUUCUCUAAUUUCAAGAAUGCCAACAUACAGUUUUAUAUCUUCGUUCAACCCGUCCUCGAAGCGUUUACACAUGAUAGCCUCGGAUGAAACACAUUCCCGAGCGUAUCUAAUAAGUCUGACAAACUUUCGCUCAUAAUCAGUAACUAACAUAGAACCCUGCUUAAGCUUAAGAAAUUCUUUCCGUUUCUGAUCGAUGAAUCUUUGACUGAUAUAUUUCUUGCGGAACUCGGUUUGAAAGAAUUCCCAAGUAAUCCGUUCUCUCGGCACGACGGAAACCAAAGUAUUCCACCAAUAGUAGGCAGAAUCACGUAACAGAGAUAUAGCACAUUUUAAACAUUCAUCAGGUGUGCACGAUAAUUCAUCGAACACACGAACGGUAUUAUCAAGCCAAAACUCAGCCUGCUCAGCAUCAUCACUGUCAGUAGCCUUGAACUCAGUAGCCCCAUGCUUCCGAAUCCUAUCAACCAAGGGCUUGUUCAACCUCGACGGGUCAACUCCAGGAGAUAUUACAGGUGCAGGGUUUGUAUUAGUCGGGGGUGGGGGUUGUGGGACAGCCGUAUUAGUUCGAAUAUACUGAUUGAACCAAUCAUUCAUCACGCUAUAAAAAGCCUGCCUAGCUUCAUCAUUCUGAUUACUAGCAAUAGGUUGAGAGUCCACCGGCACCGUCUCAUGUGCGGGAGCAGGCGCUACACUCUCAACAUCAUCAGCUACCGCUCGGUUGGGAUCAGGAUCCAUUACUAUAAAUAAACACAUUUUUAACUGUCAGAAAUCACCACACUAUCAGAUAAACACAUAAUGGCAUGUAUAGCUAUUCCCCUACGUAUUACGGUAGUCCUAGAAUCGACUAAACCAUAGCUCUGAUACCAAUUAAAUGUAACACCCAGUACCCGAGACCAUUUCCGGAGUCGAACACGAGGUGCUACCGGACUUAAUUCCUUACUUAAACAGCUCAUACAAUUCAUUUUUAAAAUUUCUAGACGAGCUGGCUAACUGCAUCACAGUCACUCUAAAAAUCAUAUCUCCAGUUUCAAAACUCGAAAUCCAAUUCCGUAAAUUUUUCAUGAAACUAGACUCAUACAUAUAUUUACUAAUUUUUUUCUAGAAUUUUUGGUUGGGCCAAUUAGUACAGUUUAUUAGUUAAAGUCUCCCCUGUUUCAGGGUUCGACUACUCUGACCUUCAUGCAUUACGACUGACAUAUCUCCCUGUACAGGGCUUCAAUACUUAUUCCGUUUGUUUCUAAUGAAACUAGACUCAAAAAGGAAUCUGUAAAUAUAAAGCAUGACUUCUAAUUAUCUCUGGUUAAUUUAUGGUGAAUUUCCAAAGUCAGAAUAGGGGAUUCAGAAAUUGCUCUAGCCCUAUUUCACGAAAACUUAAACAUCUCAUAAAAUACGGCUCAUAUGGUCAUUUCGUUUCUUUCAUAUGAAAAUAGACUCAUCAAGAUUAGAUUACAUAAUUUAUUCAUUAUUUAAUUCCAUUUCUACUAUUUUUAGUGAUUUUUCAAACUCACAUCACUGCUGCUGUCAGCAUCUAUUUUAAGGUAAAUUUCACCUAUUUCAUAGUUUUCCAUGAAUCAACUAGUGAUUUGACAUACAUUAUUUCCAAGUAUAAUCACGAUUAGCCAUGACAUACGUAGCACCAAUAGGACCAUGAUUGGCCAUUCCAAUGGCUAAUCAUUACCAAACAUUUCCACACCACUUAAUAACCAUAUCAUAAGACCAUAUAUACAAAAUGAUCAUAAUGUUAUACUCAAAAUAUACAAGCCAUUUUCGCAUGGCUAUACGAAUAUACAUUACCAAAAGAUACUUAAUUAACAACAAGGGUCAGCCCUAUACAUGCCAUUAUCAAGUUCAACUGAAGAGUACCAAAAAGUCGCUUAGAUAGUGUGGAUGACUUCGACUUUGACACCUCCGAGUCCGAUAGCUGACGAACAAAAUCUAUAAUACAGAGAAUUUAAGCAACAGAGUAAGCGUUUCGAUGCUUAGUAAGUUUAUAAGUAAGGAACUCAUUUGAAACAAAAACACAAAAGAAAUAGCAUUCAUAAGGAUAAAUAAAUGCCUACGCACAAGAUCACGUAUUUGUUUUAAUUUACACUUUUAUCAAUAGGUUUAUACAUUCGAAGUCAAACUUAACUAAAUUUCAUUUGAUUCAAUUUCAUGUAGCUCGAGUGAGCUAUAGACUUCAUAUAAUCCUAAGAAAUGGCCGGAAGAGCAUUAUUCGAUUACGUAAUCACAACUGACACUGUACCAAAUUUUUCCAAUGUAUACACGAUCCAUACAUGGUCAUAUUAGGGAUUAUGAGCACAUUAAUCGGAAUUAUUACGACAGAGUCGCACCUUUCCAAACAUAAAUACCUUCGGAAUUUGACUCGGAUGUAACAACCAGCACAAAUGCCUUCGGGACUUAACCCGGUUAUAAUAACCCGCACGAAUGCCUUCGAGACUUAACCCGGUUAUAAUAACCCGCACGAAUACCUUUGGGACUUAACCCGGUUAUAAUAACCCGCACGAAUGCCUUCGGGACUUAACCCGGUUAUAAUAACCCGCACGAAUGCCUUCGGGACUUAACCCGGUUAUAGUAACCUGCACGAAUGCCUUCGGGACAUAACCCGGUUAUAUUUUUUUUUUCCAGCUCAUAGCCUGCGGACCUUUAGUCCGGAUAGAUUCUAUCAAUAUACAUAUCAUCAUUCGCAUUUCAACUCCAAAGUUAUACUCAAAUUCACAUGUUCAUAACACCAUUACAGCUUAACUCCAAAUGAUCCUCACUAUGAAUCGCAUACCCACAUUAAUUAAUGAACAAUUUUAUUCAAGUGCCAACCAAAAAUUUCGAUUCAUUUACCAUAUUCUUAUAGGCAUCUUUAAUUAUGUAUACUAGAAGAGCCUACUUAAAAACUUACCUCGGUAUAUUGAAACGGUUGUGGAUUGAUUACUCUAUUGCUUUCUCCUUUCCCCGAUCUAACUUUGAUCCCCCUUGCUCUUGAGCUUAAUGAAUACAAGUAGAAGUAUUCAAUAUAUUUACCAAUAAUGUUUACUUGUUAGUCACAUUCGGCAAUCACAUAUCAAACUCAUUUUACUUGUGUGGCCGAUUAUACUUGGUCAUACAUACACAUAAUCAAAAAUAAAUUCCAAAAUUUUCACAUCAUUUAUGUACUAAGCCGCACUUGCCAAGUUCAUAUACAUUCUUCAAUAAUUCCUUCUUUGAACAAACACUUAUUCGGCUAAAACAAUGAAAAUUUUAGCAGCUUUUAAUUUAACACCUAAUCAAUUAUAACACCUCUAAGCAUUCUUUUCAUUUUACCAACUCCAACCACAUGCAUUACUCAAGCAUAACAUUUUCAUAUUCGGCAAUCGUAUCAAACUUAGUAGCCGAUUCUUCCCACUUUGUAUCUAUGCACCUAUUUGAUCAUUAGUUUAGUUCAAACACCCAUACACCAAGAUUCAUCCAAUUUAACAUGAAAAAAACCUAAAUCCUCAAUAGCUACUAUGGCCGAAAGUUCUAGUCUUCCCAAAAUCAAAAUUCCUAACAUGGGUUACCUAAAGAACUUGGUAACUAGUUCAAUUUUAUCUAAAAUUUCAAGAAUUAACAUGAAUUUCAUACCUUAAUAAAGACUUGAAAUGGCCGAAUGGCUCCUUUCCUCCCUACUCCCCUUCACUUUCGGCCUUUUGGAAUGAACAAGGUGAACACUUUGCUGUUUUCACCCACUUUCUAUAUUUUCUUUUCAUUAAUUCAUGAUAUUAUGCCAUUUAGCUAAUUAAAGUUAAUAGAAAAUUCAUAUUUUAUUAUAUAAUUUGUAGCAUGGCCGGCCACUACCUAUAGUUUGGCUAAUUUGACAUGCAAGUACAAGCACUUUCCAACAUAUAUUAAUAGGCCACUUUAGCAUUUGCCGAGCACAUUUCUAAAUUUUCUCAACAAGUCCUAUUUAAUAAAUUUCACAUACGAUAUACAAAUUUAAGCAUGAAUUUUUUUCACACAUGCAUAUUCAUAUAGAAUAAGCAUCAAAUAUGACUGUUAAUUAUUUUUAUGACUCGGUUUCGUGGUCUCGAAACCACUUUCCGACUAGGGUCAAUUUAGGGCUGUCACAGGGGAUGUACACAUUGAGUUUGCGAAAACUCACCCCUUUAUUUGUUUAUCUGUUCAGGUAAUCCUCAGCAGUAGGUGGAUCGGUGCAGUAGAGAACUCGAUGGUGACCAUGACCACAUACGUUUUGGCUUAUGAACUUUCUGCCUUUACUUAUUCAUUAUUAUUUUGGGAAUUUUGAUGUAAUUUUGGACUGGGACUUCUGGUUUUAAUUUGGGUUUUUGAGCUGUAAACCUGGAUUAUGAACUGCAACGUCAAAUUAUGGUUUUCUUUAAAUAAACUAAGAGUUUUCGUAAAUAGAAACGGUUUCUCAAAAUAAUAAUAAUAAAUGGGUUUCAAAAGCUUCUGCAAUAAAGAAACGUUUUCAAAACAAUUCUACUAUUACACGUUUUUUGACUAAGUAAAAGAUAACAUUCGGCCAUAACGUCCAGGCCAAGUUUGGGGUGUUACAUGUUGCUUAUUUAGAAACCAAGUCAGUAGCUUCACACGGCUUAGCACACCAGCGUUUGGCUUGGCUGUGUGGCACAAGUCAGUAUACCCUUAAGUUUUCACACAGCCUAGCACACAGCCUGACACACGAAUGUGUGAGACCAUUUCGAUUGGUACACGGCCUGGCAAAUAGGUGUGUGGUCUGGCCGUGUAACCCAAGUCAGUGAGUUGCACGGGGUUGGGCACGGAUUGGGACAUGGCCAUAUGAUCCUAUUUUGAAUGUCCACACGGCCUGUGACACGGGCAUGUUUCUUGGCCAUGUGUCCCCUGUACUUUGAAAAUUUUUCAUGUUUUUUUAAAAAUCUCUUAAGUACUCGAUUUAGUCCCGAACCACUUCUAAUGCUUGUUUUAGGCCUUGAGGGCUCGUGUUAGGGACUAUAUGAUUGAAUUUGAAUGACUUUUGUUUGGAUUUGAGAAAUGAACAUGAAAUGUAUGAUAGUUUAAGUGAUAAGUUCAUUAAUGCUCCGUAACCUUAUUCCGGCGUCAGACAAGGGUUAGAGGUGUUACAUCCACCUUUACUAGCACAUAUUCGACCACCACUUUUGGAAAACAAAGAGUUAUGUCUUCCAUUUGUAACGUGACUAAAGUAGACAUGAUAUCUCUCAAACCCAAUUUUUGAGCUAUAGAGAAUAUCAUCAAAUUAAUACUUGCUCCUAAAUCACAAAUUGCUUUUAUAAAAGUAUGCAAGUUGGUGGCACAGGGAAUCGUGAAACUUCUAGAAUCCUUCAACAUAGGAGAAAGCUUCCUUUGAAUUAUGGAACUGCACUCCUUAGUAAGUGUUAUAUUCUCAUAGUUGCCUAACUGUCUUUUCUUAGACAAAAUGUCUUAUAUCUAUUUCACAUAGCUAAGUGUAUGUUCUAAAGCUUCAGCAAAAGGAAUAUUAAUGGAAAGCUUUUUAAAUACCUCAAGAAAUUUUUGGAACUGCUUAUCCAACUUAUUCCUUUGCAAUCUUCAUGGGAAUGGUAGAGGAGGAUAUUCUGAUUUAAUCACCUCAGUUGAUGGCUUCUUUGCUUUUGUAUCAUGGUGGACUUGUUCUUUAGGGCUUUCAUCAAGUCGACUGAAUUCUGUAAUAAGUGGAAUAGGCAAUUGGCUUUUAAUUCAUCUGAACUGACAGAUAAACACUAGGUAUCUCCUUACCACUUCUAAAAGCGAUCGCCUUGCAAUUCUUAUCCGUAUUAUUAACAUUAGGAGGAGGAUGAGUAUCUAAUGGUAAUGCUCCUUGAGACCUAAUAUGAAUAGCUUGAGCUAACUGACCCAUUUGAGUUUCCAAAGCCUUCAUCCUAACAUUAGAUACCUGUAUGAAUUGCUGAAGUAGCUAAUUGACUUCUUCUCCACUGCCUGUAAUUGUUAAGGGUGCGGCCUUUGAAACUAAUUUUAAGAAAAAACUCUGGCCUAACUUAUGAAAAACUACUUUGAUUAUUUCCUUAAGAAAAGUUGGGAUAUGACAUAAAAUUAAUUGUUAAACAUUUAAUUGUUUUCAUUACUAAACUUUAAUCAAUUAAUUACUCAACAAUUAAUAAAUCAUUACACAUACUUAAUCAAGUUACCUAAUCGUAACAUAUUUACCUCAUGGAUGUCACUUUUAUUAAUCAUGUCUAUAAAAACUCUCUAAGUUUUAGAAAAUAGUCCUUGUACUUUAAAUUCAACAAUUUUUAGAAAUCAACCCCUAAAUAUUCAAAAUUACAAUUUAAUCUUUAUAAUUUGAAAUUUUCAGUUUAGCCAUUUAAUCCUUAUUCUGAAUUAUAUAAUCCUUAUUUAAUCUUAAAAAUCAAUCCUUAUUAAAAUUUUACAAUUUAAUCAUUAUUUCAAUUCUUGUUAAAUUAAGUACUUUAUUCCAUUCAUAUACAAAUUAUAAAUAAAUCAAUGUACAUAAUCAAUCAUAUUAUCAAAGCAUUCUUUGUCAUCAAUUUCAUUUUUGUUAACUUUCAAUCUAUUUAAUCCUUUUUUUUUUCACUUUCUUUGUUCCAUCUCACUUAUAUCCAUUAAUCCACCACAAAUUCUCAUUCAAAACUUAAUCCCCACAAAUUUAAUAGCAACAUAACAUUCCAAUAUACAUAAUAAAAUAUAAACCAUCUUCAAAUAAUAAUAUACCUACUUAAUUUCACAUGAACUUAUUUAACAAUUUUAUACUCUUAUUUAAUUUCAUUAAUUCACUCUUAUAAAUUCUUUCACCAUUCAUUUAAUAUAUAUAUAAUAUAUAAUAUUCUCAACAAUAUAAACAUAUAAAUUAUACUUACAAACUAAUCCAAUACAUGUAACAAUUCUUUUAUUCAAACUCAUCCAAAAUAAAUUAUACUACUUACAUAAAUCUUUAUUAGAAAAAUUACUAAAAUACCCUUUAAAAUAUCUUUUAUUUUAACCAUAAAGAUAAAAUUGUCAUUUUACCUUUUUGUAUCACUUAAAUUGUUGACACAUAGCAUGCUUAGGUGUUCUAAUGUAAUAAUUAGUUAUGUAGAUAUAAUUUAUUCAUGGUUAAUUGCAAUUUAGUUUUUUUUUUUUACUUAAUGGAAAAAAUUGCACUUUAAUCUCUCUAACUUCUUCUCUAUUUGGAUUUAUUCUAAACUAUGAUUUUUCAAUUCUAAAUGGUAUUUUUACAUAAAAAAUUAAUUGUUUUUCCACCAUUUUUCUUUCAUGAUCAAAUUACAUUUUAAUCCUUAUACUUUUAUUAAAUUCAUUUUAGUCAUUACAAAUAAUUCACUUUUCAUAAUUUUCAUUGAACUCUACAAUUUUUUUUUCAAUUAAUAAUCCUCAAAAUUUGUUAUUUAUUUGCUUGAAAUAAUAUUAUUAUUGCACCAAAACUUUUUAGGUGGUACAGUUUGUGGUAUACCCAAUAACUGGCUUUGUAAUACAACCGUUUAUGAAGACAUUUGAUUGUAUAAAGUAUACGACUCUCGACGUUGGAACUAUGAUGACCUCAAGUUUAAAGAUCAUACCUACCAUUAUCACCAUGAAAUUGCCGCGACUAUUAUAUAAUAAUCCAAAAAAAUAUUCUCAUAGUGGGUCAGUCUAAUACAAUGUUCUUCUAACAUGUAUUCAUGUGUUGAUUUGAUAUCUCAUAUCCAUGACAACAUCUUGUAAUCAAUCAACUACACAGUACUCUUAAUGCAUUAUUUUUGUCCAAGCCUAUAAUAAUAUUUAAUUAAGGACAUCUAAGAGUAAUCAUAUUAUUCUCACAAUAUUAUUAUUAAUAAGUUUAUUUAAAAUACAUAAAUAGAGACUCAAAUAAAUAAUGACGAUAUCCUUAUUAAUAAACUAGAUAAAUAUGUAUGUCAUUACAAUGAUCUCAUUAUUGAUUUUGGGAAAUACUGCAAUACAAAUUCCCUAAGCUAUUGUGACUUCUUUCUCUCUUAGCUUCAAUGGAUGGCUGAAGAUUAACCUUAUUGCAACAACAAGCUAAAGGCGUAGCCAGGGGGCUGGCAGGGCUCUGGCCCCCUCUAAAAUGGAAAACUUUCCAUUUAAGCCCUUUUAAAAUUUAUAAAAAUUUAAAUUAGUAAAGGCAAAAUUACACUUUGUCCCUCUAAAAUGAUAAAAAAUUAAUUUAAUCCUUUAAUAUUAUAAAGAUAUAGAUAUUAAAAUGGUGAAAUUGCAUUUUUACUAUCAUAAAAAUAUACAAUUUAAUUUUGGCCCCCUUAAAAAAAAUUUCUGGCUUCACCCCUACCUCAAACUCGAUGAAUAUUCCAUGGUUCGUAAUCUUCUUUUAUCUUCUAAGACAACUUUGGCUUUAUAGAAAUUCUAAGUUCUUUAACUAUCCCUUUUUGUCAAGACUCUAUUAUUCCAAAAGUUGCUUCCCAUACAAGGGAAUUUUUGCAUUCUAGUAACAUUAAACAAUGCAUUUGCCCCCCAUUUAUUAAAGUCAAAUGGAAACCCUCUUCUUUGGGUAGGUAUGAACUUAAUUAUCACUGUUCUUCGAUUAGAAACCCAGAGUUGACGGCAUUGGAGCUAUCAUUCAGGAUUGCAGUGGAGGCUAAGUAUCAAGUUCCCAUCGCUUUUUAUGCACAAUAACUAACAUGUUUGCCAAGUUAUGGGCCCUUUGUGACAAUUUUUGCAUUGCAAAACAACUUAGCAUUUCAAACCUUAUUGUUGAUGUUGAUGUUACUUUUGUUAUAAGUCGUAUUAAGAAUUCUCAUGAGAAAAAUCCAUUGCUCAAUCCUAUUGUGGUUUAUUGUAAGACUAUACUAAACGAAUUCCACCAAUUUGGGUUAUCCACGUCUUCAAAGAAAUGAACCAGUGUGUUGAUGCCUUUGCUAGAAGAGGUUUUAGUCUUCGUUUUGAUUUAUCUUUGGAUGACUGUAAUGUGACAAGUAGCUACGAUUAGUAUACAUGGUUGGCUUUAUGGCCUCCCUUGUUGUUUUUUAUGCAACAAGACUACCAUUGUAUCAAGAAAUUAUUAAGUAAGCCCUUCUUACCAUAUCAUCCAUAUAGAAAUAUGUUUAUAACUUCUUCGUCUGAACUUACCCCAGUCUAAAGUAGCUAAGUUUGGAAGUAAAAUUAAUCAUUAUUGGUACAUAAGUUUUUCUAGAACAAAAUGAGCCACUUCAAAUAGGUUUAUUGCUCCGUCCCAGAAUAUGAUUAAUCCGGCAUGGGCUACAUGAGCCCCCAAUAGAUUACUAGAUAAAUUGAUAAGUCAGGCAUUCCCAGCCCACCAAGUGAAAUUGGCGGUUUCUUGAUCACAAUCGGCUAAAGCUAAAGUUCCAUUAAAAAGCAUUUUUACAGGGUAGAACCUCCUCAGGCGAAAAUAUUAUUGAAAUCAUAGAUCAUAUAAUAAAAAUGAUCUACCUAAUAAUUUUAUUUAAGAUUGAUUUUCAUUUUAAUUAUAUUAAGUGGCUUUUUGUUUAAAAAAUAUCAUUAAUAAAAUAUUUUGGUUUGAAUGAGAUUAAAUAAAUUAAAGUAAUAAAUUCAUAUAUUUUGAAUAAUUAAAAUACUUUUUCGUUUUUAUGUCAUUCCCUUGCAAAAUAAAUAAAAUAGCUUAACGAACCCCUCCAAUCGGCACCCAAAUAUGGAAUUGAAGCUUAUCCUUCGCUUCCAAUGGGCAAAUUUUAAGGUGAGCACAGAUUAGAGACACGAUUCACCAGCUGAGCUUAUGAAUGGCUACACCCUACAUGCCCUAUUCCUGAUUUCUAACCACUAAUCUGAUGUCACCUCUUAUACUACCUUUGUUCCGAUUCGCAUAUUAUAAUUUAUACUCUCAAUCUUGCUGCAUGAAAUUUCCCAAACUAGCUUCUUAAUAUCAGCCUUUUUUUUAUGGAGUUUGUAUAUGUUAUAAAAAAAUAUUAUAAUAAUUAAUCACAUUUAUAAUAUGAUGAUUGUUCAUUUCAAAAUAGCACUUUCAUUUAUAAAGUUAACUUUUAAACAAUUUUCAAGCUUCUAGAAAUUUUUUCAUUGAAAAUAUCUUAUGAAAUUAGGUGUGUAGUUAAAAAUAAGAUUAAAUAAGUAAAAACCCAAUCAAAACACCACAAUUGGUCGCCCACUUUAGAAAUGUGACAAAAAUAUAAAUACUGGGAUUUUUUUUUUGGGGGGGGGGGGGGGGGAGGGGGUGUUGUACAUUAGUGGAAAGUGUUGGGCACAUGGAAUGGAACAUGACCAUCUCCCACAAACGCCAACAUAAUCCAUUAUCUUAAUCUCUGCUUUCUCCACUGACACUCAGACGACCAAAAACUACCCAAAGUAGCUGCCUGCCUUAUUCCCAAUGGAAGCAGCCGUUUCAUCUCUGCACCUUUCCUCACCUGCCAUUCAUGGAAGUUUACGAACCAGUGAUUUCAUGUUUUUGGGUGUCUCAAAACCUCCUUCAUUUCUCAACCCAAAACUAAAAGCCUUUGCUGCCAUCAGGUAAGUUGAAAGGUGCAAAGUAGGUGGUGGGUACUUCCUUUUUUCAAAUAUUUUCUUGUAAGUGGAGUUUAGGAGUGAGAACGGUUCGGAUUUGGAUUUGUUUUAUUGAUCGUAUUUUGAUUGAAUUUCUUUUUGCAGAUGUCAAUCCACAAGUACCAAAGAACCUAAAGCUAAAAGGAAUCUCUUGGAUAAUUUAAGCAACCUUCUUACCAAUUUCCUAAGUGGAGGAAGUCUUGGUUCUAUGCCUGUUGCUGAAGGUGCUGUUUCUGAUUUGUUUGGUCGACCUCUCUUCUUCUCUUUAUAUGAUUGGUUCUUAGAGGUACUGUACUUCAUUUACUCUUUUUUAUUUUUUUCAAGUUUUUAAUAUAGGUACCAUUAAUGAUUUGAUACUAUGUUGAAUUUAUUGUGAUGUGAUCACCUCUGCUUCUUCUGGUUCUGCCCCCAUGCAUGCAUUUUCUAAUGUUUUAUAUAAUUGGAAGUUGGCAGAGGUUCAAUUGAACUUUUGAGCUGCCAAUAGUUUUGUUUUUCUUACUACAACUGAUGGCCUAUUGGAAUUUGACACAAAGGUGACUUCUACUAUCCCAUAAGCUAGACCUGGCAAUUCAUUCUGUUUCUGAGUGCUUUCUUGUGUCAUAAUUGUGUUUUAAGUUAUUUUAUAUUUAUAUAAGUUUUGACAAGUUAAUAAUUUCCUGUCAUAAAGGUUUUGGCAUGUUUGUUUGUUAGUGUGUGUUCGUGUUUAUUUCUCCAUGUCGUGUUUGUAUUAUGUUUUUAGUUUUUUUUCCAUAUCAUGUAAUCGUAUUCUGUCCAAUAUUAACAUAGCUAACAUAAGCCCCCGUCCCAAGAUUUGGAUAUGAGAAUUUGAUUGGAAAUCUCAUGUCUUAAAUGUUGGAUUGUCCGGAAAAUUUUAGUUGCUAAUACAUAUGUGAAUCAUAACAGUUAUUAUGCUGUGUAACCUUGUGGCUCAAUUUUAUUUUCCCAUUGUCAUGAACUAUAGUCCUUUUAUUGCUUAUCGUUCUUGAUGAUCUGAGGUUUCUGAUUUUUACUUUUGUUUAAUAUCUUAAUUGAUGUGGCAGCAUGGCUCGGUGUAUAAACUUGCUUUUGGACCAAAAGCUUUUGUUGUUGUAUCAGAUCCUAUUGUUGUCAAGCAUAUUCUUCGCGAAAAUGCGUUUUCCUUUGACAAGGUACCAAUUUUUACAUCUUGGUAAUUGAUUUCCUUGCCCUUCAAAAACUUUAAUCUGUUAUUUCCUGUUUGACCCUAACUGUAUCAUGUUAAGACAUUUUUAUAUGCUAACGUGGCAUAAAAAAAGUUUCUGUUUCCUUUGUGUUUUCACUAGAAACCUAUGCAUCAAAAGACUGAGUUCUGUUUUCUUAUUCUAUAGUUGAUUAUCAACUAUGAUUUUAGAUGCAGACUAAUGAAAUGGACUUUGUAGCACCUCAUCUAAAUGAGGCCUUUACAUGAUUUGUUUUCUGCCACAUUUUCCUGUUGAAUACUGUUACAAACUCUUUGACAUUGAAAGAUAAAUAAAUAUAAUCAGUGAGGUUUCUAAUAAUCAAAUACAAUGAGCCAAGCAAUUGCUUAGCUUGUCAUCCACCAUGUUUCUUUUUCUUGAUUAAAAGUUUGAAUCCAUUUACCAAAAUUUCGAUAUUUACCUAGGGAGUUCUUGCUGAUAUACUAGAACCGAUAAUGGGGAAAGGACUUAUACCUGCCGACCUGGACACAUGGAAACAAAGGAGAAGAGGUAUGAAAUUUAUGUUAUUUGCUGUUGAAGUUUAUCUGCAUAUAAUGGGAACAAAAGGCACUUCUUUUGUUCUCUGACUGAUAGUUAUCUUUAGCAUUUAUGAUUUUUUUUUAUUUGCUUUUAUUGCUUUAUUUUAAGCACACACUUCUGAUCUUGAAACUAUAUACCCAGAGGCUCAAAUUUAGGGAACUUAAAGUAAAAAACCAACACUUGCUCCUUUCAGACUGACUCGGUAAUACAAAUUUGAUUGGUUCAGAAUAUGUAUACACAUACACGUGCAUGCAUGCAUGCAUGCAUACAUAUAUAUGUACAUACUGCAAUUUCAUCAACUUUAUUAUGAACUUCAUUUUCCAGGUUCCUUCUUUAACAUUUUAAUAAAUCAUUAGAUUUGCCAUUCUCUUGAUGCUCAUUGUGAAUUUGAGGUAUUUUUUUGUGAAUGUCUAUAUGUUUCUCUUUUAAUGCAUCACAUGUUUUGUUCCAUCAUAUUUGGUCAACAUGCAUAUCUGCUCAAAAUCCUUUCUUUUCGAUGAUGACAAAAGCUAUACAUGUUUCAAGUGUUUGUGUGAUUGUUUAUCCUACUUCCACCGCUCUUAUUGGCUUUGAAUUUUGCAUAAAGAUGGAUUAAAAUAUUUCCUAGAAGAUAUCAAGAUUUUAGAAAUGGAAGAAAAUUUUCUAAAGGAUUUUGAGAGAAUUGAGUAGAGUGGCCUUAGAGUGUCUCAUCUGGUAUAUAUAUAAGAGAGAAAAGAAAGGGGUAAGUUCCAUAAACAUGGCAUUCAUUCGAGUAGACUAGUCUGAGAGCAUGAUUUGUAUUGUCAACACCUAAUAUCUGGACCUAUUAAACUUGAGCUAAAGAUAAUAUUCUAAUUUUAUUCUAAACUAUUGUAGUCUCUGGAGAUAUUCAUGGCUUUCAAAAUUUAUGAUUAUCGUUUCUAUUGAGGUGAAAAAAAAAUUCUUACCAGUAAUAUUUUUGGUAAUGUUUAAUUUGUUUUAAAAAUAUGCAGUUAUUGCUCCUGGGUUCCAUGCACUAUACUUGGAAGCUAUGGUCAAAGUAUUCACUGAUUGUUCUGGACGAACAGCCGAAAAAUUUGAAAAGCUUUUAGAUGGAGAACGUUCACGUGGAGGAGAUGCAAUUGAGUUAGACCUUGAAGCAGAAUUUUCAAGCUUAGCUCUGGAUAUUAUUGGACUCGGUGUCUUCAACUAUGAUUUUGGUUCUGUUACAAAAGAAUCUCCUGUAAUUCAGGUCCGACAAUACUUUCUGGAAAUCUUCAAUUCUGUUGCAUUUAUCCCUUGCGGAGCACCUCAGCAUGGUACUCUAUUUCUUUUAAUUAAUGGUUUACCGGUAGCCGAAACUAAAAUGUUUUCUAUCCUAUUUGUCACAUUUAUAUUUUCCAGUGAUGUAGUUGGCAAGCCUUAUUAGCUAAUAUUCUUUGCUAUGCCUGUGCCAUACCUGUGCCUGCAACUAAAUUCAAAUAGUCAUGUGAAGGACCAUGAAAUCAUUCUUAUCAUCAUGAAUUGCUCAAAUUUAGCUGCUUCCUCAACCCUCUCUAUGUAUGGCAAAUUUUUAUACUGCAAAUUUCCCAUCAGAACCAGAUGAGCAAAAUUGAGAUUUUCUUGUUACUAUCCUGUCCCAUGUGAAUUACAACUUAUAGUUUAUAUGUUCUUUCCUGGAUCCUUCACCUUAACACAUCCAUUACAGGCCUGAGAAAGGAGGUUGAUGGCAUAGCUGGGUGUACAGUUUCUGAAUGUUUGUGGCAUUGUGGACUGAGGUGCUAAUUAGGACUAGGAAACUACAAAAAAGUUUCAACUAAACUUUUGAGACAAUGGCUAAAUUAUGAAUUUAUAAAAAUAAGGAUUUUGCUGAAGAUGGGGGAAAUAUUACUUGAUGUUGGUUAACUCUGAAGUGAGGCUUUGUUGAGUAGAGUCCUGCUCAUUUGUGAUUCAGUCCUGUAAUCUGUUCUUUAACUUGCGUUACUUUUUGCUAUAGAUAAUGACUGAACCUAUAAUUUAGUAGAGAGAAGGAAAGAUCAAUAAUCAGAAAAUGCAAGGGCAGAGAGGAUUUAAAAUGCCCUAAUCCUAAGUGUGGAUAUGAUACUGUUUGAGACAUUAAGGUACAAAUUUGUCCGUAAACAGUCUCUUUCUGGCAAAGGAACUCCCCAACAAUGCAAAAUAUUUCAAGCAAUUUUUUCCCUUUGGCUGGAUCAAAAGAGUAAUUUCUCCAUUUUAAUGUCUAAUAGUUAACCAUUGCUGUGAUAAACAGAAGUUUGCAACAAAAAGAUCUUUGAAGUUUUUCUGAUUGAAUAAUUCUUUAUUUAGGUAUUAAGCUUAAACUUUACUAUAACCUCGAAUGUGCUGGUUACAUUGCAUGAUAUCAUUAUGGUUUGAGCCACAGUUAAGGUCUAGUUUCCUACUCACCUUUCUGAACAACAUUGCAGGCAGUGUAUGGUACUCUCUUUGAAGCUGAGCAUAGAUCUACCUUUUACAUCCCAUACUGGAAAAUUCCUCUGGCAAGGUGGGUGGUACCUAGACAACGGAAGUUCCACUAUGACCUUAAGAUCAUCAAUGACUGCCUUGAUGGACUCAUCAGAAAUGCAAAAGAUAGCAGACAGGUUUGGCUUUAAUCCAUAAAGGAGUGUCACUCUCACUCUCACUCUCAAUCACACUUAUUUGUUUUAAGAAUCCCGAUCCCCCUCCCCAAACUUCAUUUUUGUUUAGUUUUGUAUUCUUUAUUGUUUUUUUACUGAUAACCAUGUUUUUUUCUGUUUAUGUUUUUUUACUGAAAACCAUUGUUCGGAGAAUGCAAUGAAAGUUGUUUAAUCUUUCUAGGAUUUCCAAUAUAAACUAAAUGUCGAAUAUUGCUAAUGCUUGAUGGCAGGAAGCCGAUGUUGAAAAGCUGCAGCAAAGGGACUACUUGAAUAUUAAGGUGCAGUUACAUCCUCAUUGAAGUGUCCUUCAACUAAAUGUUUCCUGUUCCUUCUAUAGAUGGGCGGUCAUAUGUUUUAGAGACCCUUUUGAAAUGUAGAUAUCGUAACUAUAAUGACUUCAGGAUGCAAGUGUUUUGCGUUUUUUGGUGGACAUGAGGGGAGCUGAUGUUGAUGAUCGUCAGGUAAUUAUCCCUCGCUGAUUUGUAUUUCAAGAAAUAGGAUUAACUCAAUAUCAUAUGUUUUCUCUUCUUGUUGAUGUUAUUUUGGGCAGCAUAAAUACGUCUUCUGAUUCAAUGUAGGUGUAGAAAUAUUAUUUGGCUGGUUCAAACUGCCACUAAACAAUAAAUCUUUUGACAUUUCUGAAUAAUGCACGAAAUUGGUAUUUAGCUUUGAGCUUUAUUCAACCCUGUGGCCUUUUUUUUUAACAGCUGAGAGAUGAUCUAAUGACGAUGCUUAUUGCUGGCCAUGAAACAACUGCAGCUGUUCUUACUUGGGCUGUUUUCCUUCUUGCACAAGUAUGAUUCCUAGUACCAACUUUUGGACAAUAUAUAUCACUAUUUUUAGCCAUACUUAUGUGUGGUAUUUUGGUGAAAAUGCAGAACCCAUCUAAAAUUAGAAAAGCUCAAGCGGAGGUCGAUUCAGUUCUCGGCCAAGAGAGACCAACUUUUGAAUCAAUUAAAAAGUUAGAGUAAGUCUCCACGUCACCGCUUUGAUUAAAACUUCCUGCUCCUCGUUCUAUGCUAUGAUUAGCUUCUAAAAGUCCACUAGUGCAGCCUGUGACAUGAUAAGUAGCAUGCUGAAAGGGGCUAACGCAUGUUAUAUGUAAUUAUGACGGACAUUAUUAUUAAAAUAUUAUUAUUGGUUUUAGUGGUCAAAUUGUACUCUCUCCUUUUUUUUUCUUUUUUGCCUUUGAUGCCCAAAGUUGAGUAAGCUUCAAUAUAUGUUAACAAAAUACCAUGCAGUCUUAAGUUGACACUAAUGUUUCACAAAUAAGAUGUCUAUUAUUUGUUCCCUAUUACUUUCACACAAAGCCAAUCAUUUCCAUUUGAUCGGUUACAGGUAUAUUGGAUCUUUUCAAAGUAUAAUGUUAUUUUGGAUUCUGCCGUUACCUUUAGGUACAUAAGACUUAUUGUCGUAGAGUCUCUUCGUUUAUAUCCUCAACCUCCAUUGCUUAUCAGACGUGCACUUGAAGAAGUUGUAUUACCAGGUAUAUCUCAUAUAGACUCUCUCUCACGGGUUUCAGACUCUUGGAUUUGGUUUUAACAAGCAACAUAUUGUUGGAGAUUGAUGUCAUUCUUUGGAGCUGAUAUAUUUAGCAUGUGCAGUUAUUGCUUGAAGUUGUUAGCAUAUAGGUCAUUUAUGUAGUAGAAGGCGAUUAUAAGGUGAACAUUCACGAAUUAAAGAGCUGAAAAAGAUUAAUGGAAGGAAAAUAAGAGAGUUGGAAAUAACUGAAAUUUAUGAUCAUGUGACUAUAUGAGGAAGGUUACAUGGUGAUCUAGGGAAAGUAAGAUGAAAGCAUAUGAAAUUUUUAAAUGAUUAAAAAAAAGAAAAGAGAAGCCAUUUGCUGCAACAUAUAUCAGUGGUUUCAAAUUGGGCGUAAAUGGAUUCCUUAAUUUUGGGCUUAAAAGCUAAGGUUUUUAUUGACAGGUGGUUACAAAGGUGACAAAGAUGGCUACACCAUUCCUGCAGGGACUGACAUCUUCAUUUCUGUGAGUUAAACCAGUAUUUGCUUCUUCAUAAACCCUUUCAGAAAGUUUCUUGUUCUGAGUCCUAUUGGCGUUUCCAUUGACAUCAUCUUUCAAAACAUAAUUCUUUCAGGUAUAUAAUCUUCAUAGAUCUCCAUAUUUUUGGGACCAGCCCCAUGAUUUUGUUCCAGAGAGGUUUCAGGUACAAAAGGAGAGUGAAGGCAUUGAAGGAUGGGCUGGUUUUGACCCUUCUCGGAGCCCCGGAGCAUUAUAUCCUAAUGAGGUUUAUCAUCAUAAACUCAAUGUUUCAAUCAAACCACACCAUGCUCAAAAUUCAUGUUUCUUAUAUGCAUGUUUGUUAUUAUUUUCAACUGCCAGAUUAUAUCUGAUUUUGCUUUCUUACCCUUCGGCGGGGGACCGAGAAAGUGCGUGGGAGAUCAAUUUGCACUCAUGGAGUCAACUGUGGCAUUAGCCAUGUUGUUGCAAAAGUUUGAUGUGGAACUAAGAGGAUCUCCUGAAUCCGUGGAGCUAGUUACAGGAGCAACAAUUCACACCAAGAAUGGAUUGUGGUGCAAGCUAAAGAGGAGGUCUAAUGGCCAUUGAUAUUUGUUCUUCACCUUUGUAUCUAAACUUAGAGAAAGUGUACAACGUAUUUUUGGACUUACUGAAAAGGAAAUUAAAUAUAUGGGUUUACUCUACAAAUGGUAGAGAUUGAUUCAGAUUGCUGGAAAAGGAAAAAGAGAAAAAGAAGAAAGAUUAUAGGAUUAUUGGCAAAAUAUCAUACAUACAUGUUUUCCCUCUGACCAUUCACUUGCAUGAAAAUCAGAGGUAAUGCAAAGGCGGAAUGUUGUUAGAAGUGUUCAUGUACAUCAUAUAUAUAUAUAUAAUAUGAGUUUUAAGUAUGUUAAAUUCAAUAUUAAGAAAAAAGUUAAGAAUUUUUUUUAUACAAUAUUGGGAUGAGAUAACACAAUUCCAAUUCGUACCAAUAGGGAUAAAUAAUUUACAAUUUUUUUAAUAUUUAACUAGUGUAUAUAUUUAAUUUUUAUAGGUACUAAUUACAUAAUAUAUAAAUAAAAGUAUAUAAUAUAUAAUUUUUAAAAAAAUUAUAAUUAAUAAUUAAUAAUCUUUGAAUUUGGUAAUUUUUUCACUUUGGUUUUUGAAUUUUUUCUGUCCACGUUUGGUUUAAAACUUGACAGCUUUUUUAAAUUUGGUCAUUGAAUUUGAAUUUCAUAAAAGUAUGUUGACAUGGCAUUUUGAGAUUAGGUCUCGUGAUGUGCCACAGAGUGUCAUAUUACUAUACUUUAAUGGAAUUCAAGUUUAGAAACCAAUUCAAUAAAAGCUAUCAAGUUCCAAAACUAAUGUAGACAAAAAUUUCCACAAACCAAGUUAGAAAAUUUAUUUCCUAAAUGUUACUUUAUCCUUUUUCUUUUAAACGAUUUAAUUGAUUUUUGUUUACAUCUAUUUUCCUAAAAAAUCUUAAUCCAUUUUAGAAAUGACUAAAAGAUGACUAAAAAUCUUUUUUUAAAGUAAUCAAUAUUAUUAUCAUGAUAGUUUUUUUAAUAAUUUUGUAUAAAAUACUACAAUAUUUCAACAUUUCUAAAAUUUCAAUUUUAUUAUUCUAAUCAAAACUUCAUUUAAUUUUAAUAAUUAUAUUUUUUAUAUACUUCUUUUAACUUAAGUUAUGGGUGAAAGAUCUCAAAAUCACAAGCCAAUCUUUUGAUUUAAGAAGGAUGCCAAGAAAAAAUCUAACUGUACCUGGAAAAUGCAACCAUCUAAAGGCAAUUCUAGCUGAUGCAAUGCUUUAUCUCGACUUGUUUAUUCGAUGAACCCUCAAUUGUGCUUUUUAUUUAUCUUUUAUCACUUCACACAGUUCUGGUUAUUCGAUUAUUGUGAAUCCUGAUUGGAAAAAACCAUUCAUUUUUACUUAUGUGUGACACCAAUAAUCAUGUCGUUAGAGUUGUGUUGGGAAAAAAUUAUAGGUGUCGGAUUUUCAUUGGCUAAUUUAACAAUUCACUUAUCAUAUUAGACAUUUUUAAAGUACAUGUAUCACAUUAGACAUUUUAUGAAAAUACAGAUACCAUAAUGAAAUAUAUGUUGAUAGUUUAAAUACCACGUUAGACAUUUUAUGUAUGUAUAGUACCAACACGGGUGAAACUAAUUUUUUUCACAACUCCAUUUAAUAUAGCAUAUUUAAACUGGCCAUUUUAAGCAACCAAAAUCAUUCAACUUAGCGUGUUCAUACCAUUCAACAACCAACCAAUUCAACAAGAAAAUAUUGCCAUCACUCAUAUAUAUAUAUAUAUAUAUAUAAGGUUCUCAAAAUGCUAACAAAAUCCCUAUGCCGUUUGUUUCAAAUUUUUUAUGGUGAAAGGAGAAAAUACUCUCCUUCUCGCUUCAUGUUUUAUAAUUUUUAACAAGGUCAAAAUUAAACUGUAUAAUUUUAUAAUAGCUAAAAUAUAAUAUCACAAUAUCUUUAUAAUUUUUAAGAGAUUAAAUAAUUUUUUUAUCUUUUUAAAGAGACAAAAUAUAAUUUUAUUAUGUAUUAAUUUAAAAUUUUAUAAAUUUCAAAAAAUUAAGAAUUAAAUUUCACAUUUUAAGAAUACCAGAAACCUUAUCAGCCUAUACCAUCACCCCUAAGCACCAAAGGUGACAUCAUCUCUAGAAAUUUUUAAUAAAAAAUAUUAAAGAUGAUAAAUAGAUAACGGCUACUUGUGGCCUUUUUAUCAUUAUUAAUAUUUUAGGUUUAUUUUGUUCUAAACUUCAUUCGAAUUAAAAUAUCAAUAUCCAUUUAUUCCAAAUAUUAUAUUCAAAAUCAUUUAGAAUUUAAUGUGAAUGACAGUUGCAUGAUGUGUUUCAAAUUCAUAUUCCAUUAUUCCAACUUGGGAAGAGUUUACAGCAGAUGAAUAUUUUCCAAACACUUCAAAGCUAUUUUGGAUGAAUGAACUUUUGGCAAAUCAACUUAAGAUGACUUUAUUUAUAUGGCUUACUAUACUACUAUUUUCCUUAAACAAUUAUGCUCCAUGGUUUUGCUUGCAGGAAGUGUUUUUUUCCCCUUCUUUUUAAAAACCUUUACCUUUUACCUAAUACCAAUAACACUAAAUUCUUCAAAUAGCAUUGCCAACUUGGAUUUAACUGUCAAGUUCAUUAGAAAGCUUACUGGGGUUUUCAUUUCCAGAAAAAAAACUAAGGAUAUAUUCUCGACUUGUGAAUUUAGGCAACCCUAAAGGAAUAAAACUUAUCCUACCAACAUCAUGAUGUUAAUAUUGUCUUUUUCGUUGUAUUAAUGUACAGAAAUGUUACUAUUUGCAGCUACUAGGAAAGGAGCUUAUCAUGAAGAUGCUUUGAUGCAAUACCGAGAAAAUGAGUCGAGUCCAGGGGUCGCUCCUGCAAUCAGAGUAAUGAAUCCAUGAUAAAAGGCAUGCAUCAUUAUUCACAGCAAACCGUUAAUGAUUUUUAUCCUAAGAAAGUGCGUACCUCAUCUUGCAGGCCUUCUUGAAUGUCAAAACCCUGUAUGGCUGGUGCUCUAAAGGGAAGAUGACCCUGCAACAAUGUUCCAGGGGGGAUAAAUUAACCGAUUCUGAAUCACUUUAUAUGUAAAAUGAAAUAGUUUCAUCAAACAAAAUCAGCAAAAGAAAAGAGGGCAGUAACCAGCAGCAGGUUUAGUCUCAGUACCUGCAUAUUCUGUUGGUUCCCGUAGUGAUUAUCACUGGCUGCUAGAGAAUGUAGCUGUCCCUAAAGAUAAUUAUUAAGUUAAAAAAGGAUAAGGUUAGAGAACUAUAUUGCUUUCAGAACAUUAUGCCAGAAAAUCCCAACAGUUGGGACAUACCAGCCCUAAUAAGUUUUGUUGAUUGCUAUAAUAACCACCACGAAACGGAGAAAUUGAGUUCAACUGUCCCUGCAGAAAGUACGAAACCAAUAAGGCUAUUUAUAAUCAAGAUAAACAUGGUUAGGGGCCUUACGUUUUACCAUUUGAAGGCAGAAAAAGCACGUCAUUAUAAUGUGAUCAUUAAGAAACUCCAUACCAUUCCUUGAAUAUUUUGUUGAGCACCAUAGUAACCAUCAAGAGUUGGGGCUCUAGAGCUUACAGCCUACAAAAGUUGUGUUAGAUGCCAAAAAUGAAAUCAUAUCGCUAAUCAGCCUCGUCAUAACAAACCACUACGUUUGUAUAAAGGAUAUUCCAUACCAUCCCAUGCAUGUCCUGCUGAGAAACAGAACAACCAUCUAGCGCAUUGGCUCUUGAGCUUGUCUGUUUCGCAAAAUCAAAGAUGAGGAUUAAUAUUUUUUAUACUAAUGUUGCAAUCAAUUGCUUAUAUUCAGUCAAAAUAUGUAAGAUGGGCAACAAACCAUUUGCUGGCAGCUGUCUUGUCCCAUAGAUACUCCUUCCGAAUCAAAAUGAACCUACAAUAGAAAAAUAGUCUAUUUCUAAAGGCCUAUACAAUAUUGCCAAAAAUAUAGUUGAAGAAUCUGCAUUUCAAACACUGAGCCUAAACAAACCUUUCUCUUUUUACAUGCUUUCUUCUUCUUAGACAAUUUGGUUGUUGCAUUCCAAUAAUUCUCCGCAUCAGUCUCAAGAAGACCAUGAACAGAUGACGUGCUUGGCUCACAAACACUUUUUCCAGUGUUGUUCACACUGACACAAUUUUUUAAGGCUUUUUCUAAUGCCUGUAGUGCAAUAGUAUAUGCUUCUUGAGAUAAAGAACCUUCUUCACCCAAUUUGAUGGCUCGCUUGCAUAGAUCAUUGAAACGUUGCACACGAUAAUGAAGCCUGUUUGAUUUUUCACCUAGAGUCUGCCUAAUCUUCACCUCUUGUGUCCAACGCUUUAAUAUUUAGUGGCAUGGAAUGUCAGAAACACCAGACAUUUGGAGAACAAGGAGGGAGUGCUUACAAAGGAAUCCUUUGUAUUCAAAUGAACGGCAUAAACAACAUAUGUCAAAUUCUCUUUUGCUCCAAGCUACAAGGAAAUUUUGACGUUCUUCAAAAUCAUCAACUCGAAAGACAACAUUGUCCUCAUCUUCGCUUUCCUUCUGUAAGUGACAAGACACAAUUCCCAAAAUCUCAGCCUGAAAUUUCUUGAACACUGUAUCUGUAUAGAUCAUGGACAUUUGCUUCUCAAAAACUGAGACAGAUCUCAAUUCAGGUUGCUUACUUUGGGUUUCAAAAUCAGCUUUGGCUUCCAUUUCAUACAACUCUAAUGAGAAUGAUUUAAGCUGCUCAAUGAACUCACCGAAUGUAGCUGCUUUGUGCAUGAACUUGUCAAAGAAAGAUGCAACACGUUCAGAUCGAUUGGUUGUAGAUAUUCCAGCUAAAAAUAUAUGCCGCAUAUAAAUAGGAACCCACUUUUCCCGAUCAUUAUAUAAUGAAAGAACCCAUUCAUGCUCCUUCAGCUCAAACUUGUCAACCAUCCUAUACCAUCUCUUUUCAAAUUGUUCAUGCGUCCAAGACAUAUAUAUGCAUUUAUUAAACUUUUUUAUGAAAUUCUCCUUCUGAUUCAUAAUACAACUCAAAUGUUCAGGAAAUUUACUUAGUACAUGCCACAAACAGAAACAAUGGCGAGAGUCAGGAAACACAUCAGCAACAGCUUCAUUCAAAACUUUGUCUUGAUCAGUAAGUAUCACUUUAGGAGCGUGUCCACCCAUUGCUUUAAGCCAUGAACGCAUUAACCAAACAAAAGCUGAUGUAGUAUUGUCCCCAAUGAGGGCACAUCCAAGCAACAUGUACUGGAAGUGAUGAUUUACUCCAAUAAUAGGAAUGUAAGGAAUCUUGUAUUUGUUUCUAACAAAAAAGGUAUCAAAAAAUACCACAUCAGCAAAGUGACUGUAAUUAUGCCUACCUUUUGCAUCAACCCAGAACACACUCCUUGCACAUUUCUCGUUAUCGAAAUCAAUUGCAUAAAAGGAACCUGGAUUCUCAUCCUUCAUGCACAUAAAAAAAUCAAGCAUCAAUUCUACAUCUUUCUCGUCUAGAACCAACUGAAGGCCUUUCUUUUGGCAUGACACUGCACCAGGCUGCUUGCUUCUUCCCCUGAUAGCAUAGUAAAAAUCAUCGGGACAAAUCUCAUGAUUGUGCUCUUUUACAAAACUAUGGAUUACCCAUUUUUCAUCUUGCCUCCUCUUUAUAUGCAUGCGUGCCUUGCAGCCAGUCUUUGGACAUGAUCAAGGAUUGAGAGUUGUGUUAGAUUCACGCUUGCUUCCAAAUCUAGAACAUGCAACUUUUACAUCAAUAAAUUUUCCAGAUCUUUUUGAACGACGACUAGAAACUAUUGUGAUUCCAAAUCCCACAGACCGAGCAUAUUCUCAGUAAAAAGCAUAUGCCGUUUCCUUUGAUUCAAAUUCCAGACCAUUUCGAGGCUCAAAAAUGGCACCUUCGUGAACAUUUGCUUCAACAGUAGUCACAUCCACAUGGUCCUCGCAACCAGUAAAACUCUCUAUCAAAUUUGGUUCACAGGCUUCCACAGCAUGCUCACUGGUUGCAGGAGUUCCAUCAUUAUCUUCCUCAUCUAUUUCUUCUGCAGCGUCCAGGACAUCGCUAUUCUCAUCUGAUCCAGGAAUUAACUUCUCUUGUUCUUUUGAAGGCACCUCAAGAUCUAUUUCCAUGGAAAACAUUGAACUUGUUUGAAAAACCUAUCAUGCUCAGUAAAGAGACCUGAAAACAAAGAGAAAGAAAGCAUCAUUAGCAGCCAUAUGAAGCCUAUGCCAAUGUUUAUACUUUCGUUUUUAUGGAAAAGAAAAAGCGGCAAUUCCAGAUCCAUAAUGACUAGCUUCCCGUUUUAUAAAAGAAUGCUAAUUUACUUUGACCCUAAUAUACUUAUCUGGAGUAUUUAUGAUCUGUCAUUACUGAAAGUGGUUCUUGGGUGCACACAUUCAAAGAUUGUAAGCAAAGUUCAAUUUACGUUCAUUUAAUGAUAAAACUUUUCUACUUUUUUUUCACAGCUGACUGCUGUCUUAUCACUUAUUCUUCUUCCAAAACUGAUGUGCAAACCUCAUUUCUCCAUAAGCCAAUCAAACAAACCAAUGCAUCCUCAAUAUGAGAUCUGCAGUCCACUUCCACUUUCACAUUGUUUCAAUAAAUAUUAUACAAUAAUACCUUCUCUUAACUUCAGCUGGCGCCUCUUUUUACACUAUUCAUAGCCUCUACAAGAUCAAAGAACAUGAAAAUCAAGUUCUUUCAACCCAACAAGUUCUAUGCACAUCCACUAGGAGGGUGAAAUUAAUAACUAGUUAUUCUUUUCUUAAUCCUAACAGCUCCUGCUGCAGCAGAGCAGAAUAGCAGCAAUAAAACUCAAGCAAUGAACUAAAACAUAUAUGAAAUUCACACACAGCCUUACCUUACCUGUCACCUUAGCAGAGUUUCAAUUAUUAGCAGAACCUGCAGCCGGGGUUUACUAAUAAAAUUUGAAGUAUCAAGUACAGGGGGCACUGAAAAUUUUUCCUUGAAUUGUUCCUAAUUUUUUUCACAACGUUAACACGAAAAUUUAAAACAAAACACUAUAAUUUCAUUUUGGUAGCAGAGUUAAACUAGGUUUUCUGAAAAUUUCGGGUUAAAUUUGAACCCUAAAAUCUAAUAAUAAGAUCUUAUUAGCUGACAUAUAUAUAUAUUAAAAAACGUAGAAAAAGAAGAUUUGAAUUCAAUUUCUUGUUUACCAACCAAAGCAAAGGAAAGCAAUUGAGAAAAGGAAGAAAGAAAUUGUUACAGUUGUAGUGUAGUUGAAAGCUUACAUUGCUGCUGCUGCUACUGUGAUUGAAAAUGAAGACCGCUUUGAGCCAACUGAAUUUGGUACAAAUUUUUGUCUUCAAAUAGAUAUUUAUAUAUAUUUAUCUUAUUAGCACUAAUUUACUAAAAGGAAAAAGAAAAUCUAAACUAAAAAAGAGUUAACUCCACAAUAAAUCCCAACCUAUAAUCUUGAUUUUAAAUUGAUCCUUAAACUUUUAAAUAUUUGAAUUGAAUCCUCAAAGUAUAAAUAUUGUAUCAAUUAGGUCUGUCCAUUAUCGUUAUGUCAGCUUAAGUGCUAUCUUAAAUAUGAUGCAGGAGUAUAUUUAAAUCAUAUGUAAACUUUAGGUUAAAUUCUUCUUUUAGUCCUUGUACUUAGCAAAAGUUAUGAAUUUAGUUCUUAUACUUUAUUUUGAUAUUUUUGGUCCCUAUAUUUUUUUAAUUUUAAAAUUUCAAUCCUCACUAAUUGAUAAUUGUUCAUUAAGUUAUGUUAUGUUAUUUCCAAAGUUUGACGCAACAAACAUAUUAGCAUAUGUGUAAUGCCAUGUCAACUUAUUAUUUCUACAUAUUACUCAUUAAAAAACUAAUUAAUGGAUUAAAAAUUGUCAUUUAUGUCGAGACCUAAAUUCCAAAAUUCAAAAAUUAUAAAGACUUAGAAUGAUUCAAUUAGAAAUAAUGAACUAAAUCUACAUUUAUACAUAGACUACAUGACUAGUAAUUGACUUUAAUCAAAUGGAUUUAAUUAUUACUAUUCGGAUCAAGACUAAAAUUUUACAUUUUAAAAAGUACGAAAACUAAAAUUGAUUAAAUCAAAAAGUACAAAUACUAUAAUUAAUUAAAUUAAAGUAUACAAACUAACACAACUUUUUACAAAGUACAAUGACUAAAAUCUAAUUUUAAUCCAAAUUUUAAAUGCACUUGUAUAGUGUAGCUAUAACAUAGACAUGUUAGCCAUACAAAAAAGAAGCAUAUAGUGUAAUUAAAAUUUACUAUUUUUUAAUACAUGUUGUACUAUGCAAUAAGUAUAGAUGUCUUCAAAUUAACGUGUUUAAACUGAUAAUUAAGUUAAUAGAAAAUUUAAAUUAAUAUAAUAUAUAUAAACCUUAAAUUUUUAAUUAAAAUAUUUUGAAAAUUUGAAAUUGAUUUAAAUUUAUUUUCACGUUGUAUUAAAUUAAAAUAUAUAUAUAUUUAGUGAAUUACAAGAAGAGAGUAAAUCCCUAACAAUAACGAGCUUAAUUACAAUACUUUAAUUAUCUUAAUUACAAGAAGAUGGUGAGACUUAAACUCAGGUCACACCUACCAAUAAACACCUUAACCGUCAAGUUAACACAUAAGAUUUUAAACUCAACUAGCUUAAUUACCAUACUUUGAUUAUCAUAUCUUAAUUAAUGGUGCUCAAAAUUUUCUAUUUUUGUUUGUUGAUGUGAGUAUACUUGGGUUGAAUUGGAAUUCACUUAUCAUUAAAAAUAAUUUUAUAUUAAUAAUUAUAAUUAUAAUCAAAUUUAAAUAAUACUCUCUUUUUUUCAAUACACUUGUCACAUUUUCAUUUUUAAUGGUAAAAAGUUUCAACUUUGACAUCUUAUUAUAUGAAAAGGUAAAUUACACCAACAGUCACCAAAUUUUGGGGUGAAUGACAAAACAGUCACCUAGGUUUCAUUUUAGUCACUUAACUUUCAAAAAGUAACAAAACGGUCACUAACGUUAUAAAAAAGUGACAAAAUAGUCACUAACUAACAAUUACCGUUAGGGUAUUAACGGGAUUGUUGACGUGGCAAGUUAACCGCUAAUAUGGCAAGUUAACUUGCCACGUUGGUGACGGCUGAUGGGUUUGGGAUGGGUUUAGGGAAGGGUUAAUGGGUUAAUGUUUUAGGGUUAGAAACAGAUUAGCUUUAGGGGGAUUUAGAGGGGAAAGGAAAAUCGAUUUGGGAAAUUUCGAUCGUGAUUUCGGGUUUUUUAGGCUUUAAACGGAUUGGGAAUCGAUUAAGAAAGGUUUAGGGUUAGAAAUCAGUUCAAUAAUCGAUUAACAGGUUAUAAGUUUUAGGAUUUAGGGUGAUUUAUUUUGUUUAGGGAGAAAAGAAGACGAACCAGAACUUUUUAAUUGUCAGAGAGAAUGGGCAAUAGAAGGGAAGCUACCACUGUUGUUACAUCCACUUUAACGGGUAAGUUAUUGCAUUUAGCUUUAAUUUUUUGGAUUCCAAUGCUGUUAUUUCGAUUUAGGGUUAAUUAGGGAUAUUUUGGUUUCAAAUUUAAUUUCGAUUUUGAUUACAAUUUUGAAACACUCACUGAUUUUGAUUUAGAUUUAGAUUUCAAUUUUGAUUUCGAUCUCAAUUUAAGAUUAGAAUUUGAUUUUGAUUUCGAUUUAGGGUUAUUUCGAUUUUGAUUUUAUUUGUUAUUAAUGUGCAUGACAGAUUAGGGUUUGGUUUUUAAAGUUUAUGACAUAUAAUGUAUAUUGUAUUGUGUCUGCCAUUGUUUAGGGUUAUUUCGAUUUUGAUUUUGAUGUUUAUUGUUUGUAUCUGCCAUUGUAUGAAUGCCAUUAUCAAACUGAUCUUUAUUGUGUAUAUCUGCCAUUGUUUGUAUCUGUCAUUGUAUGAAUGCCAUUAUCAAACUGAUCUUUAUUGUGUAUAUAUGCCAUUGUUUGUAUCUGCCAUUGUAUGAAUUUCAUUAUCAAAUUGAUGUUUAUUGUGUAUAUCUGCCAUUGUUUGUAUCUGCCAUUGUAUGAAUGUCAUUAUCAAAUUGAUGUUUAUUAUGUAUAUUUGUCAUUGUUUGUAUCUGCCAUUAAAUUAUACAUUAUUAAACUGAUGUUUAUUGUGUAUAUCUGCCAUUGUUUGUAUCUGACAUUAAAUUAUACAUUAUUAAACUGAUGUUUAUUGUGUAUAUCUGUCAUUGUUUAUAUCCAAGCUCCUAUUGUUAUUUACCUUCUUUAUUGUACUGGUUAUUGCCUAUUAUUGUCUGCCAUGUGCAUGAGAAAAAUGGUUGUGUUUGAUUAAAUUAAUUUUUGUAUUGGUUGUUGUCUGCCAUGUGCAUGACAGAAGUGUUUGUAUUAAAUUAUUGGGCAUUUUGUAUUGGUUAUUGUCUAAAAAAAAAGGUUAAAGUGUUUGCCUAUGUUGUCUGCCUUUAUUGAUGAGUACUUUGUUUUGCAGGCUUAAUUGAUGACAAUUUUAAUGAGAAUGAAGAAAACGUGUUUGGUAGUGAUGUGUCUAGUAGUGAAGUGCCUGGUAGUGAUAAUGAUGUAUCUGAAAGAGUUACUUUAGAUGGUUUAAACAUGGAUGGUAUAGAAGUAGAUGAACUGUGUGAUAGUGAUGAUUCUGGGAGGUUAGAUAGUGCACAUGGAUCUGACUCAGAUGGCCAAAAUUGGCCUGAGUUCAACCUAGAGAAUGACAUGAGUAAUCUUAGACUUAAGGUUGGAAUGUUAUUUAUGUCUAAACAUAGUCUAAAAGAAGCUGCCAAGCAAUAUAGUAGGUUGAAUAGUUAUUUUAUUGAGUUUUCCAAAAAUGAUUUAAGAAGGUUAAAGGCAGUCUGCAAUGAAAAAUGUUCUUGGUUUAUAUGGGCUUCUAGGCUAAACCCUAAAGACCCUACUGACCAGACUUGGCAAAUUAGGAGUUCAAACCCUAACCAUACUUGUUCUAAAGUCUAUAAAAAUAGGAACGUAACCUCAGCUUGGAUAGGUGAACAGUAUAAAGAAAAAUUCAUUGCCGAUUCUGAUUAUUCUUUGAAAUCAUUACAGCAAGAUGUCAAAAGAGAUUUUUGUUGCUUGGUCUCAUUAACCAAAUGUAAGAGGGCUAAACUUAGAGCAUUGGAAUUAAUUGAAGGAGCUCAUAAGGCUCAAUAUGAGAAGAUUUAUGAGUACUUAUUGGAGUUUAGGACCCAAAAUGAGGGAACAACAACAAUUUGUUAUUUAGAUAACAGAUUGUUUCAAAGGAUGUAUGUCUGUUUGCAAGCAUGCAAAGAUGGCUAUAGGGCUGGUUGUAGGAGGAUAGUAGGUUUAGAUGGAUGUUUCUUAAAGGGCUACUAUGGUGGCUACUUGCUUGCAGCUGUUGGGAUAUAUGCAAAUAAUGACAUCUAUCCACUUGUAUAUGCUGCUGUCGAAAGUGAAAACCAAGCAUCAUGGCUUUGGUUCUUGGAGUUGCUUCCAAUGGACUUGGAAAUUGUGAGCUCGUACCACAUAUCUUUCAUGUCUGACAAAAAAAAGGUAAAACUCUAUUUAUAUAUAUAUAUAUUUAUGUUGUUUCUAUUUAAGGUUUGUCAAAGAAUUAAAUUAUUUUUUCCUAAUUGCAGGGACUUUUGGAAGCAAUAUGUAUGUUGUUUCCUAAUGCAGAAACAAGACACUGUGUUAGACACCUACAUUCUAAUUUCAAGAAUGCUGGUUUUCGAACAAAGGAGUUGAAAGAUUUGCUUUGGAAAGCUGCCAGAGCAAGCACUAUAAGAGAGUUCGAUGAUGCCAUGGAUGAACUGAGAAAAACCAAUCACCUUACUUAUGACUGGUUGAAGAAGAAAAACCCUGCUCACUGGUCAAGGUCUCACUUCUCAAUUAAGAGCCAUUCUGACAUGUUGGUGAAUAAUCUAUCUGAAUCAUUUAACAAGGUGAAUCCCUAUGUUUUAUGUUUCUUACUGAUCAUUAGCAAUUCACUAAUCAUUUAUGUGGUUUAUGGACAGAUGAUACUGGAAGCAAUAGGUAAACCUAUUCUGACCAUGAUGGAAACAGUAAGGACCAAGAUUAUGUUACUUAUUGUCAAGAAGAAAGAAAAAGCUAACAAAUGGAAAGGAACUUUGUGUCCAAAGAUCAAGAAAAAGCUGGAUGUAAAUAUAAAAGAUUCAUUAAGGUAAAGAUUCUUUCUAAUGCCUAUAUUCUGACUUAUUGUUGCUGAUCAUAUGCAGUGAUUAUUGGAAAGCUAUUGACUUUUUUUAAUAUAUAUGCAAUGAUUAUUGGAAAGUUGUUGACUAUUUUAAAUAUGCAUGCAAUGAUUGUUGGAAAGCUAUUGACUAUUUUUUAAUAUGCAUGCAAUGAGUUUUUUUUUUAUAAUAUGCAUGUAGUGACUACUUUUUUAGGGGGUGUGUGUGUCAUUGUAUGUUUUAACCAAGCAUGCUCACUGUUUUUAAGUUGUGUUCCAUCACAUGCUGGUGGGGACAAGUAUCAGGUUGAAUGUGGUCUAGGCAGCCAGCAUGUGGUAGACUUAGUUCAGAAUUCCUGCUCCUACAGGAAUUGGGAUCUCACUGGCAUCCCUUGCAUGCAUGCAUUAGCUGUCAUUCAUGUAAAAAAUGAGUUCCCAGAGACCUAUGUACAAACCUGGCACACCAAGCAAACCCAGAUUCAAAUUUACUCCAACUUUGUAAGUCCAAUAAGGGGUCCUAAACAAUGAGCCUCUUUGUCAAACAUGCUACCAAUACUACCUCCUCCACUAAGAAGGCCACCUGGCAGACCUACUAAAGUGAGAAGGAAAGAACCUGAUGAACCACAAACAACAAAAAGGUUGAGCAAGAGAGGGGUGGAGAUGAGGUGCAGUAAAUACAAAAUAAUAGGCCAUAAUAAGAGGAGUUGCAAAGGGAAAGUUGGCCAAAACAUUCUAGUAAGUAAUUUUCCUUAACUUAUAGUAUACUCCUAUCUAUGAAUUUGUUUUUAAUUCACAUUUCUUUUAUUCUUGUAGGUUAAAAAACAUCAAGUUGGUGUUCGAACCCAGCAACAGGCUACCCCAAGUCAGCAAGAGGGUACCCCAACUCAACAAGGUGCCCUAACUCAGAUACCUACUGCCCCAACUCAUCAAGAAGCUGCCUCAAGACAAAAGCUCCCAUUAAAGAGAAAAUCAACCACAACCACUGUUAGAUAGAUGUCUUCUACUUAAGAGUCAUCCAUGACAGACCAUUGAUGAUGAUGUGAACAGACUACAUUUUGUUAACCUUUUAAAACUGUGUAAAUUUGCCUGCUACUAAUUAUUAACUUAGGCAGAUAAUUUUUUGGGAAAUUUGCCUAUGAUUGCUACUGUUGAUAAACUUAGGCAUAGUCACUGAAUUUUUUUGUAAAUUUCCCUACAAUUCACAUCUGUUCAAUUGUAAUGAAUUGUAGGAAAAUUUGGUAAUAUUUUGCUCCUCAUUCCUUUUGUAAAUAGUUUGGCAUAUUGGCCUUAAUAUAUGAGCAAUUUAGCAUGCUAUUUGUUAUCCAACUGUUAAGCAAUUUGUAUACCAACUGUUAUCUUUUCUAACUAGCAGCCAUGUAUACAAACUGUUAAGCAAUUUGUAUAUCAAUUUUUUUAUCUUUUCCAACCAACAGCCAUGUAUACCAACUGUUAAGCAAUUUGUAAACAACAACAUGAGUUGGUUAGCUAUGUAUACCAGCAGCCAUUUUUAACACAUGUUAAGCAACAAAAAUAUUCCAACACAAUUUGUAAUCAACAAAAAAUUUCCAUUUCAUUCAAGUGUUUGUAAGCAACAUGAGAUGGUUAGCCAUGUAUAACAGCAGCCAUCUAUACCAAUAUAAGCAACAAUUUACCAGCAACAAAAUUACAAUACAUAAGCUGGUUUUCAAUUAACAUAAAAUAAUUUUUAAAGUUUUGAAAACAGCAAAACAGUAACAAUUACAAACACCAAAAACUAGGUUCUUCUCUCCCUCUUCCUUGCAUCCUCCAAUGUCCUCAGUUUUUUUAGAAGACCCAAUAACACCAUUCUUGAACGAGGCGUCAAUGGUAGAUCAAACCAGCUGAAAAAUUGACAUGGUUUUCGAAAUCAACUGCCGAAUUUGUUACACCCAAAAAACCUCCUACCUGGGUUGUCAUUGAACCAAGACAUGCUUAAUUUGGCUGGGUUUCCACAAUAGCACACCGGAAUCACUUCAGGCAUAUCCAUUUUUCCUCUUCUCCUUCUUCUUCUUCUUCUCUUCCUACUUCUCUUCUUCUUCUUUUUCUUUUUUUCAAACCCUAAAAUGGUGCUAGUACUAUUAUUAAAGUGUUAGUAACCGGCCAGCUAGACUUAAGGUUGACAGCAAGGACUCCGUCACCUGCCACGUCACUUUACUGUGACGUCUGUGAUGGAAAACGGCAAAAAGGACCGUUUUGUUACUUUUUGAAAGUUAAGUGACUGAAAUGAAACUUAGACGACUGUUUUGUCAUUUACCCUAAAAUUUGGUGACUGUUGGUGUAAUUUACCCUAUUUAAAAUUUAUCAUGAAUAAAAAUUUAGCUACUCAUAAAAAAUAUAUUAAAAGAAUAUUCUUUGAAGAAGGUUUUAAAUAUAUAUAUAUUUAUUUAUAAAAUUUAAUUAAUUAAAAUAUUUAAAAUAAUUGAAGUGAAAGUUUAAAAAAUUUAACCACAAAAUAUCAACAUGACUUUUUUAGCGAGACAGAGAAAAUGAUAAAAAUGUUUAAAUAAAUAUUAAAAUGAAACAAAAUAAUUUUUUGUUUAAUUGACUAAAUCUAUCAAAAUAAAAUAUAAUUUAGUAUUUUUUUAAAAUAUAAUUUAGUUCAAUUGGCAUUAACAUUAUUCUCAAUGCAAUAAAAUGUGGGUUUGAGUGUGUUGAAACGUAUAUAUUUUUAUUCAAGGGUUGGUUAAAAAAAUUAAAUUAGAUAUUAAAUAGUUAUUUUCCUUCUUUCUUUACAUUAGUUUUGUCAUUAAUUUUAUUUCUAACAAAAUCAUCUAAGUAGUUGAUUUUGAAUUUAAAAGGUAUUACUCAAAUAGUUAUCUUAGUGAAUUAUAAUAUAUAAAUAGAUAUCAUUUAUAAUAGCACUUUUUAGCAACUUUUUCUGAAUCAAAAUCAACAAAACAGCUAAAUAAAGAUUAAGCACAUAUAGGGCAGCAGCUAUAUGAAACUUCAUACUAUCAAAAUGUAAAAAUUUUGGUUUUGUUGUUAACUGCUAUGAACCCCAUUUGUAUUAAAGAUUUUCUAUUUUGUGACACUGAAGGGGAGGGAUACCCUUCUACUGUAAUCAGAUUUUUGUUGUCGGUGAGGAUGCACAUAAAAAUUUUCAAUUAAAUGGUGUUUAUUUGACUCAUUUGAAUUGAUCCAAUUUAUAGAGUAUAUAAAGAAGCUCAUCUAUUUGAAACUUUAAUGGCCCAAUGAAAAAAAAAAUAUACAAUUAUCAUGAUGAAUAUUAUAAAUACUGAGAGAUAAGUGUUAUAACAAGCUUUUUUUAAUAAUAUUUUUUUAUAUAACAAAAUAAAAUGUUUUUAAAUAAAAGUUAAAGUUGAACAAAUUGGCAAAAUUAUAUUUCAAACGAAGUCUAAGAGACAUAAUUUUGAAAUCUUAAAAACACUUUUUGAAUAAACUUUUAAUCAAAUUAAAAUGAUUUCAAUUGAGUUAGACUUUUUCAAUCAAAGUUAAAUUGUUCUAAAAUAAGUCAGUAUAACUCUAGGCAAAAAGGCAAAAAAGUAUUGAUGCUUUUUGGCUAAGUAUCGAUAGUUUCUAAAAUAUCGAUAUCCCUCCAAAAAUUGGUACCAAAUUGACAUUAUGUUUCUCAAACAUUUUAGUUAAGAAUUGAUCCAGUCUCAAUAUUUUUCAUAAGGUAUCGAUAAAACUUUACUAGUUUCGAUAUUUUUGGCUUUAAUGGUCACUGAAUUUUGCAUUAAAUGUUAAAGAUUUUGAUACUUUGUUAGCAAGUACCAAUACUCAUGGUUGCAAUUGAAUUAAAUGCAUUGAUUAUUUCAUCCUCAAGGACUCUAUUUAUUUCUCCAACAACCAUAACGGUUGGAAAUCAAUUAAAGGUAUAAAUAUCAUCUUUCGAAGACUCUACAAUAACUAGAAAGACUAUCAAGCUUAAAAUCAAUCAAAACAAUAUUGUGCUUUUAAUUCUCAACAAUUUUCUUUAUACACACUUGUGAGCUUUCAUUCUAUUCAUUUCAGCUCAAGUGUUUCUUCUUGUAUUUGUGCUUAAUUUGCAAACAUUCUAAUCUUGGAAGGGUUUGUUCUUAGUUUGCUUACUCUUUAAGAGGAUUCUGUCUUAGGGUUUUGAUAGAAACUUUAAGGGAGUUUGUAAGAUUAAACAUUGUCCUCAAAGGUUUUUAUAUUAGUAAAUUUGGGAAAAUCCUUAGUUAUAGAAAGCUAAGGUAAUGGAGUAGCCAAUUGGGGCCGAACCACUAUAUAUCGCCUUGUUUAUUGUCUCAAUUUAUUUUCUUAGCUACCGCAAAUUUUUAAAGGGUCAUUUCAUCCUCUUUUUGACGAUUUCGAGUUGAUUAAUCGUUCUAACAAUAAGUUUGUAUAAAGUUUAAAUCCAUUCGGACUUUCAUAUUGUAGAUAGGCUAUAAUAAUGAUGUCAAUAAUUUAAACUAUACCGUUGGAUCUAGGGGGCUCAACUUAUAAAUAUAUCCCUCUCUUUCAUCUGUAAUGAUUUUAUUUAGAGUUAUUAAAUAUACAUUGAGAGUAUUUACUCAAACACUUGGUGUGUUUAGCUUUCUUGUGGCUUUUGUGUUCGCUUUUUGCUUUUUUCAAUGAUUUUAUUUAGAGUUAUUAAAAUUUGCUUCCGCUUUAUUUCGAUGUCUGUAAGAAUUUCUUUUGUGAUUUAUCACUUUCAAAAGUUAACUAACUUAAAUAGAUUUGAAACAAAAGAAUCGUUUAAAAUAACGUGAUUUACUAUAUUAAAGUUUUAGGCCAUAACACUUGCACCUAUAUAGAUUUUGCAGCAACUUUCUUAAAAAGUUGGAUGUCCUCGUCGAUUCAAACUUUUUAUGUAAAAAACUUAUUUGCCUUUGAUGAUUCUUCCUAUAAAUUUGUGUCUUAUUCAGAUGAUACAUGAAGAGAUUUCUAAUUAAAUAAUAAUUGAAAUUUUCGUAUAUAAUACAUGAAGAGAUUUCUAGUUGAAUAACCAUUGCUUAUCGUGAUGGAUGGUUUUCAGUUUGAUUACCAUCUCAAAAAUUGUUCCAAUAACAGUUACAUGAUUUGGAGUUGCACCCUCUAAUAAUACUUUGUUCCUAUGGAUCCAAAUACUUCACAAGGUGAUAAUGAAGGUAACAUUUACCACGAUUUCCUUUUCAAUCUUCGCAUGUUACAUGAAUUUUGUAAUCCAGAAACCAUUUCAGUGUACAUUAAGAUUGCAUGUUCUAACUUCCGAAGCAAAUUGAGUGAUAAAACAAAUAAGUUCAUAAAAAUAUUGGUAUUAUUGUCCAAAUUCAUUUCCCACAUAGUUUUUUAAAUUAUAAAAAUUUAAAACUAUAGAAAUUUUACAGCGUAAUAAAAUUAAAAACUAAAAAAAGAAGAGAAACAAUAGUUAUUACAUUAAUUUAUUCAGGUUAAUUUUAGGUGGACUUUUGUAGUUUUUAAAAAGGUUAAAUUUUAUUAGUAACCUAUGUACUAUGUAUAAAUUAUAGAUUUAUCAUUUUUAAUCUCUAUACUUUUAGGGUUUUAAGAUUUUGAUCUUUGAUAAUUAUUAAAUUCAUUAAGUUCUGUGUUAUAUAUAUAAGAUUAAUAGCAAGAUUUAACUAAACAAAUUUAAUUAUUAUCAUUUAUUCAGAACUAAAAUCUACAACUUAUACAAAAUCAAACUUUUUAAAAUUAUAAGAUCUAAAAAGAAUUAUAAAAGAAACAUUAAAAACGACUACAAUCUAAAAUGAGCGGUCGAUUUGGCAUUUGAAACAAAUUUAUUAUUAGAAAUCUAGUUUUGACAUUGCAGUUAUACAUUGAAAAAGGAAUUAGUAUCAACCUCAGAAACUUAAUAAAAAAGUUAUAAUUGGCGUGAGAUGGCAGAAAAGUAUCAUUUCUCCCUUUAUUUAUAAUUUUUAUAAUGUAACUACAAAUAGAUGUGAAGCCCUAGGCAAAUCAUUGCUAAUCCAAACCUAUAUAACGUGUAAAAUUAAAUAAUUGCCAUCUAGUCCAAAAAAGAUGAAUCAAAUGUACAACAUAAAACACAAAAUUGAUAAUGGUGGAAACCGACUAACUGGUAGGAAAGGUGGCUUGUUCACCCCCUUAAAAGGCACAGAACCAUCGACGGUAGCAGGACAGUUGCAAAUGUUAUAGGGAAGGAGAGCAAGUUGAAAGGUAGAGGAUAUAUUGGAAUGGAAUGGCCCCUUGUUAAAAGAAUGAGAGGACUUACAUACAAAAGAUACAGGAGAUGCCAUGUUCAAAGUUUUACUGAUGACAAGGUCACAUCUUGUUGCCCCUUUAUACAGGGUGCAACAUGACCACGUGGAUCGAAAAUGAGACAUUCUAAGGCAGCUUAGCAAUCAAGGAGCGUGAGGCCAAGUACUCUUGACGAAGGUAGUCCAUAAGCGGCAUUGUGUUCAAGGGGUGACAUGUGGAGCCAUUUCCGGAGGUGGUAUAACAAAAAUGAACACUACUUUAAACCCAAAGGAACAAUGCAGGGUAACAAAAUCCAAGUAGGUCAGAUUUUGAAAACUAGAAAUGUAAAACAAUGCUUUUUAGAAUAUUGCCUACUAUUUGCUUGACUUUCAUGAACUUUCCUCUAAGUGGUGGUUGUGUAACGAGUGCAUAAUGUUCACUGCAACGCUCGUUAUACGAGUAAACUAUAGGUAACAAACAACCUCUGUCCACUGGAUUUGCACAUCAAGCCCUCCCAUAUGGAUUAUGAUUCCAAUUUCAAUAAGCCCCACUCCGCUACCUCAAGCUUCCGAUAGCCAAACACAAGAACAUGUUGCUCACUUCAACUAAGAAUCAAAUAGUUUGUAUAAUGGAUAAACCCUAAACUAAAAGCUUAAUCUCCCGAUCAAUGCAGAUUUACAGAAACAGCGAUAACCAUGAAAAGCCACAUCCAAGCAUAUUCAAAAUGCAGUAAAGCAUACCCAUUUCUUGGGUUAGCUAAAACAUUCAAAAAUCCAAAAAUAAAUCAGUGACAGUGAUGACAUUAUAAUAGGUUCAAACAUUAAAAGAUUCAAUUCUCAACCUCCAUUGACCUACAGAUCUACGUUAAGACAAAAUGAUAAAUCAUAAAGGACAAAAAAUAGUUCAAAAGCUUAAAUUUCUUAUAGAAAUGAGCAAAUCACGUUCCAUAAUAUAACAAAAAUAAUAACCCAGAAAUAUCUUAUCCAAACAGAUUCAAAACCCGUCAUUAAAUUCAAAAUUGUUCGAUAAAACUACAUAAGCAUAAAACAUGUUCCAAUAAAACACUUAAAACCUGAGCUUAGUAAAGAACCACCUGUUUUUCCCAGUCUUGAACCUCUCUUCAAACCUCUCCUUCGUUGCCUUACAAGCGGCCACUUUCUUGUCCUUGGUCUGGAGAGCAUCGACGGUAACCAUGUCUUUCAAGUCCACAUCGAGGGUGUAGCGCGUGGGCAUCAGGUGCUGGUAAUUGACGAGCUUGAUGAAGCACUUGACGCGUGACUUCUUGGCGGUUUUCUUCGCGGAGUCCUUGCGGAUAACCUUGCUCGGAUACUUCUUUAUCCCUGCAACCAAACAAUGGCCAUAGGCGCGGUCACGUGUGCCAUCGUCGAAAGAUCUGACAAUGACGGCUUUGCGGCCAGCGUAUCGGCCCUGGAGGACGAUAACUGCCUUGUUUGGUUUAAGAAACUUCACCAUGGCGACGGCGGCAGCUGCGGCUCUGAUUCUCUUCUCCCAAAAACCCUAAGUAAAGAAACAAGGAAAAAAGGAAAUGAGGUAAUAUAUACUGCGAGUUGAGUGAAACCCUAUAGGUUUCGGAAUCUUGGUGGGCUGGGCUUACAUUUAUGAACUCCCUAGCUAUACUAAGAAUCAUAGGUUUAUUUUAUUUGGAUUAGAUUUUGGGGCCUUAAUUUUCCGGUCAGAGUGAUGGGUCUAAUUAGGUCCAAUAAUUUCGCAUGCAUUUUGUAUGCAAAUAAAUAUAAAAGAAGGUUAUAUAACAUCGAUUUUUAAAUUAAAAUUUUUAAAUAAUUUAAUGACUAUUUUAUAACUUUUUGAAGUUAAGUGAUCAAAACGUAAAUUUAUUAAUAAUUUAGUAACUUUCAAUUUAGUUUACUUUAAAUAUUUAUAUAUUAGUAAUUUGUGUUUUAUGAUAUGAUUCGUUCAUGUGUUUUUAUAGGAUUUUUUUAUUUGAAUAGUAUGAAAACGAUACUCAAAAUAGUAUAAGUUCAAGAUUAUUUAUUAAAAUAAAAUGAAAACUACAAUGAAGGUGAAAGUUGCACAAGCUACAUGAUUUUAUCCAAAAUACGAAACUUAAAUAUGUGCAUGGAUCUCGAGUUAUAAUGUACGGUUGUUUUUUAUAGGUUUUAGUUCAAGUAGUCUAACUCAUCGAUUUUAGUUUAAAUUGUAUCAAUUUUUAAUAUAAUCAUAAUUUUUAGUAUAAUCAUUAUUAUCACUAAGUAUGCAUAUAAGCACUAGUUUAGAACAUAAUUUAUUUGAAUUUUAAUUAUUAAUGCCAUGUCAGAUUAUAACUUGCAAAAUAACUUAAUUUAAAAUUUCAAUUACGUCAUAAAUAUUUUAUAUAUAAGUUAGUGAAUUUUUUUUUGAAAGAAUAUAAGUUAUGAUUAAAAAUUAAUACAAGGAUUUAGUCAAACAUAUAAUAUGAAUAUGUUAUGUGUGAUUUUUUUUCCAUUUGUAAAAAAAUGUUAUUAAAUUUGUAAAUAUUAUAGUUAUAUGAAAUAACUAGAUUAUAAGACACAAUUAAAGCUAUUAAACAACAAACUUAACCAUAUGGUGUAAUUUACGACAUAAAACUUUAUGCGACUUACAUACAUAUGAUAUGAUAAUAUCCAAAAUUAGUUUUGUGAAUACUAUAAGUUCCCCGCAAUUUUGAAAGACAUUUAAUUUGUAUGGUAUAUCAUACAACUAUAAUUUUGUGGGACUAACUUUUUGUUUAAGUCCAAUUUAAAUAAAAAUUUUAAAAUUUAGAUUCAAUCCGUAUUAAAUUUUUUAAAUUUUAUUUUUUAUAUAAUUUUAAAAUAAAAUAAAAUACACUAAAUAGACUAAAAACAUUAAAAAUAAAUAUUUCACGAUAAAUUGAAAAUAAAUUUUAAAAAAAAUCUUUAUACUUAAAUAACACUAAGAUAAGUUCAACUUAACAAGAAAAUGCAUCUAAAAUAGCCGCAAAAUUAACAAUAAAACAAGUGUUAUAUAAUAUUCAAACAUUAACAACAAAAUAGUAGCAAUAUAAUAAUGAAAUGGUAGCAAAAUAAUGACAAAAAAGUCGCAAAACAACAACAAAACAUGGAAAAAUUUCAGGUUUUUUUUAUUGAAAAAUCGAGUCAGGCCAGGCUUGGAUAGAAAAUUUGACUCGGGGCUCGGCCCGUUUUCUAAAUCGGCUUUAUUUUUUUACGCAAACCCAUUUUUCGAGUCUAUACUUUAUUUAAACCCUCUCAUUUUUCGAGCGAACUUUUGAACCGAACUAAACAACUCUACAUACAAGAUAAAAUUUCAUGUGACGUAUAUGCAUAUAAAUUAUAAUAUGGUCACUAAUUAAUUAAAUUAGUUUGCAUUUAAAAACUCAAAUAAAAUAUAUGAUGAGACAUUAUAAAUAUAGGAUUUUAUUUAAUUAAAUCUUCACCAUUGUGUUUCUAGCGAAAGUGAGAUAUUGGUCAAUGAUCACAAGUGUUUGGUGUUAGGAGGGAGACAAUAAAUGAGAAAAUAUUUGAUAUAUUAUAUAUGAGUUUUUAUGUAACAUGAGUAAAUAAUAAUAUUACUACAAUAAAAAAUAGUAAAAGAUUUAUAAAUAAAUACUAAUAAUUUUAUUUAAAUAUAAUUAAAAAUGGUGGAGUGGAUUUAUUUAAACAUGUGUAAAAUGUAAAUCUAAAGUAGUUUUGCACCUAUUAUUAUAUUUUUAUACUCUUAAUAUUUUAACUAUCAAACUGUUGAACUUAUCAAUGUAAUUGUACUUGUCAUGCAUGUAAGUUUUCAAACAAAUUCCACAUCUCUAUCAGACCAAUCUAAAAUAUUGUAUAUAUUGAUAUUUAUUGAACGACUGACACUUUUUUUACAUAAAAAUAAAUAGUUGUAAAAUUUAAUUUAGUUUGACAUACAUGAUUUAUAUGAAUGAAAUAUGAAAUAUGACAGUUAAAUCAUUAAAAUAUUAAGUGUACAAAAAUUUUAAAAUUAUUUUAAUUUUACUUUUACAUGGGUGUUAGAUAAAUAUAUCCCUUUCUAAAAAUAAUUAUUUGAUUUAUUAAAUAAAAAUAAUUAUUUGAUAUAUAUAUAUAUUUUUAAUUUUACAAUAGGAUUAAGAAACUUCAUUUCAAAAAGAGAUUAUUAAUAUUAUUGCAUCAACAAAGUGUACUCAUAUGCACAAAUCAUUAUAUUAUAAUAAAAAUAAUUAAACUGAAAUAAUGAUAAUUUUUUAGUAUUGUUUAUGAAAUUAAAAAAAUUAAAUGAACAGAUGUCUGUGAAGAAAAUAAAGGUAUCGUCAGAUAAUUUUUGUAGAGAACUGUUAAUGGUAGGAAGAAGAUGACUUUGGUUGAUUGGAAUUAUGCCUGUCAACUCUGCGGGCAUGGAGGUUUAUGAUUCAGACAUUUGAGGAACUAAAACACUUCAUUCCCAUUAAAAUUGGGGUUUAAUCUAGUUUCAAAGAAUGAUGCUUUUUGGGUUCAAGUUUUUUUGGUCAAAAUAUGGGAUUAUGGAGAGACUACCUAUAAGUAUAUUGCGUGGGAAUUGUUCCUUUAUCUGGAGAGCCCUUAUCAACGUAUGGCCUUUAUUGUGUGAAAAUUUAUUUCAGUCGAUGGAGAAUGAGAAUUCUAUUUCAUGUUGGAAGGAUCAUUGGAUUUCAAACAUAGGAUCGUUGUUUAAUAACAUGCCUGUACACAAUAAUUCUAUUCUUGAUUGUACUCUUAAUGAUAUGGUAACAAAGGAUGGCAUAUGGAACCUGGAUUUAUUCAGAGUCCAGCUAUUGGAAAAUAUUGUUAUAGAAUUGUAAGUAUCCUCCCUCCUCAUCUUUUAGUAGGAGAAGAUAUAAUCAAUUGGCUUUGUACUUCCACUUGCUCAUUUUUGGUUAAAAGUGCGUACUAAUCUAUCAGAGAAACCACGUGGCAUUCAAAAGACAGAUGGUGGAAAAUCGUUUGGAAAUUUCAAAGUCCUCGCGUGUUCGACUAUUUUUAUGGCUUGUGUUUAAACAACGUCUCCUUACAAAUAUGGAGAUAUUAAGGAGAGGCAUUGCUAAUAAUGGUGUUUGUUUAAGAUGCAAUCAUGAGCCUGAAGAUAUCUUGCAUGUGCUUAGGGAUUAUCCUGCUACCAAAGAAGUUUGGAUAUGUCUUGUGCUGAACAAUAAGCAAGUUGGUUUUUUUUUUCUAGUAAUCUACUUGAUUGGAUGGAACCCAAUUUAUGUAGUACUUUGAGGAUGCUAAGUAUGAGAAUCACUUGGGCUAGCCUUUUUGGUUUAAUUGUCUAGCGCAUAUGGAAAAACAAAAAUCUUUUUGUGUUUCAAGAAUUAUCUUAGACUCAUUCUGAAACUAUUAGAUCAUCUAUUAGUUGGGCUAAGCAGUUUGAUUUAGCUCACAAGAAAUGAUCAUCAAGACAACAUUUUACUGAUCUCAAUCUACCUUUAUUAGAUAAUUGGAUUUUCUUAUAUACUGAUGGUGUUAUUAAGUCAGAUGCAGGUUUCACUACUGCUGGGGGUGUAUGCACAAAUAGAAUGGAGAUUGGAUAUUAGGUUUCAAUCAUUAUUUGGGAGAAUGUUCAGUCUUUGAUGCUAAGCUUUGGGGUGUCAUGGAUGGUUUGAUUCUUCUUGAAAGACAGGGGUUCAACAAGGUUUUGAUUCAUACUGACAAUUUAGAGGUGGUUAAUGCCCUCCAACAUAGACAUUUGGCAAAUUCUUUAUCGAGAUUAUUGUGAAGGAUAAAUCAAAUACUAAGGAAUAUGGACCAAUGUAGUAUUAGACAUAUUCCAAGUGAGAUGAACCAGGUGGCUGACUACAUAGCCAAAAUAACUUUUAACAGAACAUUUGAAGUACAAGUAUUUGAGGAUGUAGCUAAGCAACUGGAAGCAGGAUUACGCACAAAUAAGUUUACUGCCCUUUUAAAUCAUGGUGACUUGAACUUAAUAUUUUUUUUAAAAAAAAUCCUAAAUAAACUCCAUAUAAUUUAUUAUUUGAAUAGUUGACUUAUAGAAAUAAAACAUAUAGUCAUUUAAUUUUGUAAUUUACAAAUAAUUUUACUCUUUUAAAUCUCUAAUUAAUUUGGGGCAAGUGCGAAUCUAAAAGGAGUAGACAAUCCCCUACCCAAAAUUGUUAAGUCCUAAAAAUGAAGAAAAUUUUGUGAUGCCUUAAAAAAAAUUAUAAAGAAAUUAUAAAUUAAUAAUGAUAAAAUUAUAUUUUAAUCUUUCAAAAAUUUAUAAUUCAAUUUCAACCCCUUAAAAUAAUUUUUAAAGUCACUCUAUUCGUGAAGGAAUAGUGAAUAUAAAAUAAGUGUUAUUUAAGAAUCUUAUUCAAUUUUUAAAACACAAACUUUUUUUCACUCCAAAUAUAAUUAAUUUACUUAAUUAUUAAAAUAUGAAUGAACACUAAGUCAAUAUGAAUGUUACAUCAUAUAAAAAUACUGGAUUUUAAAUUUGUGUUAGUGUUAUAAUUAAAGGUGGAAGAACACAACCGCCAAUGAUAGAAGCAGGGGGAGAUGCCAUUUGCUUGGUGUUUUCCUUUAAUCUUUCUAUUUUACAUUUCAUGUUUCUUUUACUUCGGAAAAGGAAAAUAAAGUCAAUUUAAAGUAUGAAGAGAGAAACAUAAAAUGUCUGAUAUCCCCAUUUAAGAAAAUAAUGAAAAACAAAUGUAACGAUGAACUCCAGUCAAUAUAAAAGCUGUGUAAAUCAUCAACAGCAUGCGUCCAGAACACAACAACAGCAUAAAGCAGCAGCACUGCAAUAAAGCCCAAACAAAUUAAUACCAAUGGAUUUUAACAAAGUGUUACUGAUUAAUAAAUUCACAAUAUAAUAUGGACAAUUAUUUUGUUACUUACCAACCCUUCCAGAAUCCAUCACCUCUGGACUUGGUUUCCACCGCAACAAGCUUUUGGGAAUAGUAGGGCUGAUCAUCGCCUUUGCUCAAUGGGUAACCAGCCGGCUGUGGAGCCACAUACGGACCUGCUUCCGUGGAUGGUGGUUGGCUUGCAACUGGAACAACAAUUCAACAACUAAAACCGGAAUUAGUCGCUGGUUUUUGCAUCACUUAGAAACCAUAGUUAUUGAAAACUCUCUCGAUACAUAUAUAUAUAGCAUAUUAGCAUGUGAAGAAGAGUGGUGACCUGAAGGUUGAUUUAUCUGCUGCUGUUGGUUAUGGUUCAUCUUCGAAUCUAGUUCGAACAAGCGGGAAACAAAGAUAUUGGUUUUCAAGAAAUGAGAAGAAAGUAAUUUCUAUGGAGGAAACUGGGAUAUUGUAUGUGUAUAUAUAUAUGUCAAAGGGAAGAAAAGAGCGCAAAGGGUAUAAGAUAAAUAUCGGAGGAUUUUCCAAAGCGACGUUUCCUCUUUGGAAUUGCCGUCGGCAGCCGGCACCGCGCCGGCUGGACGGGUGGGUGGUGGUGAUAACAUGCGACCAAACGUCCAUUUACACGUCUCCCUCCCAGGGGGUUUAUUUUAAUUAUACAACAUUUUCUUAACUUUGGCUUCAUCUUCUCAAUUAUUUGUCAAUUUCCUUCCUAGAUUUUUUUUUAAAGUUAUUUUAUCAAACAGUGACGCUACAUCAUUUCUAUCGCUUUAAUUUUUUUUUGAAAUUUAGGAUAAAAUUGAUGAUAUGGCAUUAAACAAUUGGAAAGAGAUAAUAUAUCUGUUUUAUACAAAUUUUUCCCGUUAUUUUAUUGUUCAUUUAGAUGUAUUUAAAUUUAAAUUUAUCGAAUAUAUAAACUUAAAGGUUAAAAUAUGCUAUUAGUACUUAUACUUCUAUAGAAUUUGAGAAUUAGUCCUUGUAUUUUAAAAAUUAAAAAUUAAAUCCUGCUACUUUUUUAAUUUAAAAAUUUUAGUUAAAUCAUGAUUGUCAUUGGUAGUUUUCGUUAAUAUUUGUCACUAUAAUAUGUUUAUUUUCUAUCACUUAUACACCAUGGCAUAUGAAAGUAGUCUAACCAACAUGUCCAAUUGAGAAAUUUUAAUUGAAAUUACUUAUCAUUUCCAUGAUUGGACUGAAAAUUUUAAAUAAAAAAAUUAGGAGAACUUCAUUUAAAAUUUUUUAAGUGUAGGGACAAAAUCUCAAAUUUUUUGUCAAAGUAAGGACUAAUUACAUAUUUUAACCAAAGUUAAAUUAGAAUAAAAAUAAUUUUUUUCAAUAAAAUAAAAAAAUUAUUAAGUAAUUAAUAUUGUAAUAUGGAAUACAUGUCAAAUUAAUUAAUAUUAUGAUAUAUGAAAUAUAUAAGCUAAAAUUAUAAUAAAAAUUAUAAUUGAUACAAAUGUAAAUAGCUUUUUUCUUUCACAUAUUAUUAUCACGAUGUCAAGUUAUUAUUAUUUUGGUAUUAUCACAUAUUCAAUUUAGAUUAUAAUAUAAACAUAAUAAAAUAAUUUAUGUUAAUUCAUUGUUAAUAUUAUGAUAUUUUAAAUAAUAAAUUAUUUAUAAAAUUUAACUUGAAUAUAUAAGUUGUAUUCGUCUUUUUAUAAUUAAUAUAAAUGAGCGGUAAAUAUAAAUUUAAUACGACUUUUAACGAAUCAAAAGCUAAAAUUUGUACCUUUUUUAUUCUGUGGCGUAUUUGGAAGAAUCGAAAUAUGUACAUCCUUCAGGGGAAUUCUAUGCAGCCAGGAGAGAUUAUCAAAACUUCUUUUAGCUAAGCGAAGCACUUCAUCUCUACUCAUAAUGAACACUUGGAUGUUAGCACGCAACAGAGCUUCAAGUGUUCAGAUUCAGGUAGGUGUGUCUAUCUUAAUACUGAUGGUGCUGUUCACCCUGUCUCUGGUUUUUCUACUGUAGGUGGAGUUAUUCGUGACAGGAAAGGAAACUAGAUCUUGGGCUAUAAUUGCUUAUUGGGGAAGUGUUCAGUUUCGGUAGCUGAACUCUGGGGCUUAUUGGAUGGCUUACUUCUCCUCCAGAAAUAAGGAUACGAUGAGGUCAUCCUUCAGUUGGAUAAUCUAGAGAAUGUCAUCUUUAUUAGUGACAAGUUAUUUGCAGGAUCUAAAAGCACGCUAAUAAGGAGAAUUCAACAAAUCUUAGCCUCUGAAAGAAGUUGGUCCUUGUGGUAUGUUCCUAGAGAGAAGAAUAAGAUAGCAAAUGCCUUAGCAGAAAUGACUUUGUCAAAUGAUGAUUCACUGCACAUGUUCAAAGAACCCUCUAUGGAGAUUAAGGAUGUAACGUCCCCUAACCCUAUACCUUCACCAGAAUAGGGUUACGAGACAUUACCAGUCAGUACAGUCUAAUUCCAGUCAUUAAUUAAAAUAAAUAUUCACACACAUCCCAGUUUUAAGAUGUCGUCCCUUUAAUGGGCUGUAAUAGCCCAAAAUUGGGUCUAGUUGGAAUAGAGGUUUCAGGACCACAAAAUUUGAGAUAUAAAUAAUUAUUUUAUGAUUAUUUUGAUGUCUAUGAUAUGAUUGCAUGAUUGUGUGAAAAUUUCGUGAAGAAAUUCUAUGCAUAAAGUUCUUAAUUCGAAGUUAGGGACUAAAUUGAAUAAGUAGCAAAACUUGCAUUCUAGAAGUUUCUAGUAUGAAAUUGAUUUGAAAUAUUAAUUAGGAGGUCUUAAAUAGCAAUUUGACCAAUUUCUAAGUUAUGGACAAAAAUUGGACAUGGAUGGAAUUUUUGGAAAGUUUAGUAGUAAGGGUAUUUUGGUCAUUUAGGGGUAAAAUGAAUUAAAAUACAAAAUUAAAAGCCAAUUUUGCUCAUCUUCUUCACCAUGGACGUGUAUACCAAGGGAGACUCCAUGGAUAGGGUUUUCAAGCUUCCCAAGCUCAAUUGUAAGUCCGUUCUAACCCCGUUUUUCAAGUUCUUUACGUUUUUAGAGUCCCGGUAACUUGAUUUAGCUUAUGCUAGCAAUAAUUCAACCUAGGGUUCAUAUUUGGAAAAAUACCCAUAGGUAAAAUUUGUGUAUUCUGGUGUUUUAUGAUACAACAUGAGGUUUUAAGUUAUGUUAGACAACUUGUGCUACUCGGUUUUAAGUGAAAACGAGCAAAAGGGCUUAAUCGGUAAAAAUACCUAAUAGUCAUAAGUAUAUGUUAGAGUGAGAAUUUGAUGUUGCCAUAAAAGGGAAAAGUGAUCAUCAUGUCAUAAAACAUAAGAAUAAGGGAUGAAGUUUAAUUCCCGAGCCUAGGGGCAAAAGUGUAAAUAUGCAAAAGUUUAGGGGCAAAAUUGUAAUUUUUCCAAAGUUUGAGUUAAGGACUGUUUUGAAUAGUAAAUUAAUUAAAUAAGUAAAAUAUGAUGUUUUAGAUCCCAGAAAAAGAGAUUUGAACCUAGAAUGAGAGAAAAAUUGAAAAUUGGGAAAGUUAGUAAAAUGGCCGUUUUAAUAUCAAGGUAAGUUCAUAUGUAUAAUAAGCAUUAAUUUAUGCAUGUUUCAAUGUAAAAUUGAUAUAUUUACUAUGAUCUCCAAGGUGUUGAAAGUAUGUAAGUUGGUAUGAUAAUAAUACAACAAUAAUGCUGUAAUUUAUAUUUGAAAGUUAAAUUUAGUGAAUUAAUUGAAUUAUGUUAAAUUAAAUGAUUAUGGUGCCAAGUUUAUGAAUUGAUUUAAAAAUAUGUCUAUGGUACAUGAAGUGCAUUGAAUUAUCAUACAUAAAUGUGAUUUCUAUGAUUAUGGAUAUUAUGGGAAAUUGUAAAUUCAUAUGAUUUUUAAUAAGACAAUGUGUAAUUUAAUGUUAUUGCGUUGAUAUUAAAUGAGAUGUAAGUUUAUAUGUAAGUAAUACAUCACUAUUACUUGUAUUAUGAUAUUUUAUAAAAAUAUUGGAAAUAUAUUUGUGGAUAAUUACUUGAUUGGUGAAAUCGUUGGAAAAGAGAGAGAAAUCCCGGUUGAACCUUCGGAAAGAUUGGAUGAUACAGAUGGUAUGUAGCUAGGUCACAUGUAUAGUGCUGAGUGCACAUCAUGUGUACAAGAGAGCUACAAGACAUUAUGAUGUAGCUAGGUCGCAUGGGUGAUACUAUGUGUACACCAUGUAGACAAGAGAGCUACGGGAUAUAUGUAGCUAGGUCGCAUGCGUGGUUCCAAGUGAAGGACACCAUGUAGACAAAAGAGCUACGAGAUAAACUGGCUAGGUCACAUGGGUGGUACUAAGUGUUCACCAUGUGUACAAGAGAGCCGAACUAUAUGAUGGGUGGAGCUAUGUACUGAAACCACCAAGUAUCGAGGAUUGAUCCGAAGUGUUCAACGGGAGACUCUCUAUGUAUUGCUUUGUGAGUUUUGUGAUGAAUAAGUGCAGGAACUUGGUUAUGUGAAUGAUGUGUUCAUUAAGUGACCAGGAUGUGGUAAGGUUAUAAAAAAGUAAGUUAUACAUGAGGAUGAUUUUAUGGUGACCUUGUGAUCAUGGGCCUAUACUUGUGAUGUAUGAAAUGUGGUGAAAAUGAGGUUAAUACAAAGAAAGUGUGAAAGAGUGAAUUAGCAAUAAAACUGUUUUGGACAGUAGCAGUGACGUGAUUUUGAAAAAUCACCAAAAAUAGUAUAAAUUGAAUCAGAGACUGAAUGAGAUAUCAAAUUAAAGCUUAAUGAGUUUAUUUUCAUAUAAAAGAAAUAUAGAAAGCAAAGGAGUUCUAUAUUUUGAGAUAUUUAUGUUUUUGUGAGACUGAUUCAGAAUGAUUACGUGAUCCCCUGUUCUGACUUUGGAAAAUCACAAAAAUUUGGAGAAAAAUAAUUAGAGGCUCAAAAUUAUAUUUUUUAAAAUCCAUAAUGAGUCUAUUUUCAAGAUAAAUCAACAAGAACAUUAUCCGAGUUCUGUACUGUGAGAUAAUUAUUUUUUAGUGAAGAGAGGUCAGAACUGUCAGAAAGUGAAACAGGGGAAAUUUUAAUGAACAAACUGUACUAAUUGGCUGAACCAAAAAUUAUGAAAAUUUUAUGGUGGAAAUAUAUGUGAGUCUAGUUUCAGGGGAAAUUUACGGAUCUUAAUUUGGAGCUCUGUAGCUCGAAUUAUAAAUAAUUAAGUGACUAUGACUCGUGUGGACAGUUUGAUGUGAACAUUUAUUAGUAAAUUGUGAAAUCGUACUUACAAGAAUGCUAUAUACAUUAAGGAUGUGGAAUGGAGAGGAGGAGGAGGAAAAUAAAUAUAUGUGGAAUACAUGGAAACUAUGGUAUAUGAAAUAUUGAUAUAAUGAAAUAAAUGAUAUGUGUUUAUAAGAAAACAAAAAGAGAAUGUUAUGUAUCAUGACAUGUAUAUAUAUAUAUAUAUGACUAGUCUCAAUGUAAUGCUUGUUGGGUAUGGAAUUGAAUUGAAAUGUUUCAGGCAAACAUGUUAUUCUGCGCAUCCGAAUCGUGGUAUUUUAUAAAGAUAUGAUCUAGCUUUAAAUAUGAAUGCUUGAUGAUUAAGCUGAAGAUAUUUGGUAAGAUGAUAAUCUUGGUAUAAAUGUAUAAGUGGUACUAUAAUAAACAAGGUAAAAUGAGUAUGAGAGACACAUGUAUGAUGACAUACAAAUGCUAUGUUUGUGGUUUAAUUGAGGAUGUUUAAUCAUUACAUGAAUACCAUGUUAUAUGCUUUUGAUUUUGUAUAAAUGUGUAAGAUAUCAAGGUUGACCAAAGCUUGGAAAAUAGCCUAGGUAUAUUCCACACAGGCAGAGACACGACCAUGUGUCUCAGCCGUGUAUGGAACACGACUUUGGGACACGGGCAUGUGGAGCCUUAAAGCAUGAAAUUUCCAAGAUUUUCGUAAGUUCUCGGUUUAGUCCCAAACCCUUUCUAAAGUAUGUUUUGGGCUCCGUAGACUCAAAUAAGGGACUAUGUGUAAGAUAAUGAACGCUUUGAAUUAUGAAUAAAAUUUUAUGGCUCGUAUUUUAGUUUAAUGUUUGUAUGUUUUUCUGGUAACGCCUCGUACCUUAGCCCGGCCUCGGAUACGGGUAAGGGGUGUUACAUGGGCCCUCGCGGUCCAAUAUGAUUAGUAAAUUCAAUUCGGGACUAAUUUAGAAUCACUACGAAUUUUUAGUAAAUUUCAAAAUUCAUACUACAUACCGUUGCCAACCAUAAUUUACUCAUUUCAUCAAUACUUUUACAACCUAAAUGACUCUCAUUAAACAUCCUGGGUACAUGCCAUUAUCAAUACUUAGCGUACAGUUUGUUUCCGUGCGCAGGUUAAGUAAAGAUAGUACGUUGAAUCAGCAUCCCAGGACGAUCCUGAAUUCAUUAAGGUAAAGUAUGUAAUUGUAAAGAACCGAAAGUUACGGUAUCGGAAAUUGAGUCUUGAGUACUGUUUCCGUGAAAUUUAUUCAUGAAUAUUUAUUAGAAAUAUUUAUGAAUUAUAGUUGAAUGGUUAUUUAGUGUUUAAUUAAGUGAAGUAGCUUGAAUUUAGUUUAAAGGGCUAAAUUGCAUAAGGAAUAAAAGUUUAAUUAUAGAUUAAAGAAGUAAAAGGGACUAAUCUAUUAAUUAGACCCUAAGUGCCAUGUGUGUGUUAAUAUUGAAUAACAUGUGUAAUAGUUGGUAUAUAUGUGUAAUAGCUAUAAGAUAUUUUAUGUUAUAGCUAUUACACAUGUUAGUUUUAUAUUUAUUAUAGGUUAAUAAUAGUAUAAUAAGUAAAAUUGAUAAAAUAGAAAAAGAAGAUAGAAAGACUAACAGAGAGCAAACGUGAAAGAAAGAAGAAAGAAAGAAAGAAAUAAAAAAGGGAAAUUUGAGGAUUAAGGCCCUAAAGUUUGAUUUGUAAGUUGUUUUAGCUCAUUUUCUUAUGAUUUUUAUGUUUAUGGAUGCCUAAUUCAAAGUUCUACAUGUAUGAGGUUAAAAUGAAGAAAAAUAGAGAAUUUUUGGAUAUUGAUUUAGUUGAAUAAAUUGAGGUUUUAUGGGUUAAAUUGAUAGAAAUUGAAGUUAGAAGUGAUUAGUUAAAUGAAUUUCUAAGUUAAGUUGAACAGUGCUCAAAAUUUAUGUUUUAUAAUGAAUUUGAUGAGUUAGAAAUUGUUAAUGAGUUGAUUAAAAGAGAAUAUGAAGCUUAAGUUAAAGAAAAAAAGAUUAGUAAUGGAAAAAGAAUGAAAUUGGAAUUUUUGUAAAAGUUUGGUAGAAAGUGAAAAUGUGUUUUAUGAAUUAAUAUAGUGAUGAUUUUUAAUUGUAUGAUUGUUAGUAGCAAACGUAGCACCGAAUACGUCAUCAAAGAAGGGAAAAGAGAAAGUGAACGAAGAUAUUGAUUAAAUUCGAUAAAUAGUGGUUUGUAUUUCUAUAAACCGAGCUUAAUCGUUAUUGCUAUAUUUGAUAUUUAUAUUGUAUGAAAAUGUGAAUGAGGUAACUAUUUUUACCAUAUUGAAAUGAAUGUGAUUUUGAAUUCCCUAUGAACAGUGUCGGGCUAGUCGGAUAUAGUUGACAUGUCAUAGGAAUUGGAAGUAUUGGGAUAUUCCGACAUUGAGUCGAUGAGACAGUAUGUGUCGACUACUGUUAAAGUUUCGGAUUUGUUCCGAUGAAGUACUUUGUGUACUAUAAUGUUAAAGUUCUGGAUUUAUUCCGAUGAAGCACUAUGUGCUUAUCCUGGAGUGUGGGUUGGAUCCGUGUAUCCGUCAGUGUCCGAGUUAUGUUAAUAAGGGUAAAUAAAGUAAAGGUUAUUAAAGUACUGAUUGAUAUUGAAUAAUAGCAAUAAUGUGUUUGAAUUUCCAUGUUUUAAAGUUGAUUAAGCUAUUUUUAUAGAAAUACCACUGAGAGUAUUCUCAGCGUACGGUUUGUUUCCGUGCGCAGGCUAGGUACGAAAGUAUAAGGACUCAGCAUACAAGCGGAUCCCCAAACUCAAAUUGGUGAAGUUUCUAUCUUUUUGGAAAAUGGCAUUGUACCUAGGAUGUCUUUUGGUCAUUUUGAAAGUAUCUAAGUUGUUAAGUGAUAUUUUGGUAUGUUUUGUAAAUGUUACCAAAACCUUAAGUAUGGUAUGUUUUGAUAUGUUAGUGAAGAGUAAUAAGAGGAAGUGUUGGUAAAUAUUGUAGAGAGAAGAAAUGAAGAUGUUAUAAACUUAGUUAUCAACAUUUUAUACUAAAACAGAUUUGGACAGUAGCGGUAGUCCAACUUUGAAAAUAUACCAAAAAUAGUAUAAAGUGAAUUAGAUAAUGAAUAAAAUUUGUAAUUGAAGCUUAAUGAAUCUAUUUUUAUAUGGAAGAAAUAAAAUAGGUAAAAGAGUUGUAUUUUAUGAGAUAUUUACGUUUUGGUGAAACAGGGUUAGAAUAAUUUCUAGAUUCCCUGUUCUGACUUUAGAAAUUCACCAUAAAUUGUGUAUUAAGAAUUAGGACUCAAACUUUAUUUUUAUAGAUUCCUUAUUGAGUCUAUUUUUAAUUGAAACAAAUGGCAUAGUCAUUGGAUUUCUGUACAGGAAGAAAUUUGAUUCGUAGUGCAUAAGGGUCAUAGUAGCCAAACCCUGAAAUAGGGGAGACUUUUUCUAAUAAACUGUACUAAUUAGCCUGACCAAAAAUUCUAGAAAAAAAUUAGUAAGUAGAUAUAUGAGUCUAGUUUCAGGGAAAAUUUACGGAAUUAGAUUUCAAGUUUCGUAACUCGAGAUAUGAUUUUUUUAGCGACCGUGACGUAGAUGGAUAGUUUACUACGAAAACUGUUUAAGUGCUAAGAUAAGUUUUGUAAUGUCUCCUGCUCGACUCUGGCGACGGUCUCGGGUAGGGGGACGUCACGGCAGGUCUAGUCGGUUCUCGGAAUAGUUAGUGUGAGUAAAAGUCUAGCUAUACAUGCCAUACCUGUAUUUUGAUAGUGUGACGACUCUUGACGAUUUUUAGAUAUUGUGACAGCCCUAAAGUGACCCUAGUCGGAAAGCGGUUUCGGGACUGCUAAACCGAGUCACCAAAUUAUUUGAAUAUGAUAAUUAUUGUCUAAAAUAUGUGAAUAUGAAUGUGUGAAAGUUUGAAGCUUCGAUUUAGUUAAUUGCAUGUGAAUUUAGUAAAUAGGACUUAUGUGUGACACUUUUGAAAUGUGAUAGGUUAAUCUAUAAGGAUCUAUUAGUGCAUGUAGUCAAAAGGGUGGACUUGCAUGUCAAUUUCCCCACUUAAUUAGUAGUGGCCGGCCAUGACAUUGAGGAUAGACAAAAUGUGAUGGGUAAAAACAUGUCAUAAACAUGUUGUGUUAAUGGUUGAUGUUAGAAAUGAUAAAAUAAGGAGCAUGGUAAUAAAAUAAUGAAAAGGAAAAUGAUGAAGAAAAAAAAAGGGUUCUCAUGUGGUGAACUUGGCCGAAUAGAAGAAAGAAAGAGAGGGAAAAGAGCAUGGAGAAAAUCGGCUAUGGUGGUUCGCUAGGCUAAGGUAUGUUGAUGUUGUUCCAUGAGAUUCAUGCAUAUUUUUAGUUGUUAGCUUGAGUUCUACCUAUCCCAUGGUCUAAAUCUUUGUUAUGAGAUGGAGAUGAUAUUCGGCCAUGGGUGUUGCCUUCUUGGUUGGUGGUUGAUGUUGUGGUGAUGAGGCAUGAAGAUGAACUAAGUUUCGGCUAAGGUGGACUUGUGUUGAUGUCAUUUGCAUGCUAAGUGUGAAGCUUUGUAAUGAUACAUGUGAUGGUGAUUGAUGACUCUUGGAUUUUCUUUUUAGCAUUUUUGAGUUAGACAUUAAGUUCUUUGUUUAACCCAUGACCAAAAUUGAAAUGGUAUGGCGUCUUGAUGCAUUCGGCCAUGGUAGGAAGUAGAAGAGAAAUUGGUUGUUGUUCAUGUUAUUUGGAUGAAAAAUGGUAGUAAGGUGAAGUGCAAAUGUUAGUAUUAAAUUACUAGUGUAUAUAUGUGUAUUAGCCGAGUUUUGAACUUGAAACAAAUGGUAUGUAGUCAAUACAAGUAACCACAUUUGUAGGAAGUAUUAAGCAUAUAAUUGGCCUCAACAUAGACAUGCAUAUUCGGCCACAUGAGGUAGAUUGGUGUUGCAUGUAUUCGGUUAGAGGCAAGCACAUUGAUGCUUUUGUCUUGACUUAGAUAAUCGACUCAAGGAGAAUUUGUUAAAGUGCUUAGUCAAUUGAUAUUAGGUUAAUGAUGUGUGUAUUCGGUCAUCAAGGUGCACAUGAGGAAAUGUUAGAUUAAUUGUAUUAAAUUGCUCAAUGUGAUUAAAAAUGCGUAUGACCAUUUUGUAUUUGAGCUAAAGGUGGCCAUAUGACCUAUCAAACUCCUUGUCAUAUUCGGCCAUAAGCUAGCAUAAUGAGACUCUAAUAAGUUAAAUUUGUUUGAAUUAGCUCAAGAGCUUAAAGGACCAAAGUCGGAUAGGGGGAAAGAGAAAGUAAACGAAUAGCCGUGGAUAUCUAGUUGUCGACCACUUCCGAGGUAAGUUUUAAGUGAUUAAACGUUGAGUAAAUUCAAUCAUAAUAGGACAUAAUGAGUUGAUUUAAUAAGAUAUGAUGUGGCCAUGAUAUGUUUUAAACUCAAAUGGUGAGUUCAUAAGUGUUUGGACUUGGAAAUUUAAGAGCAAAUUGUAAUAUUUUGCUUAGGACAGCAGCAGUAACGUGAUUUUAGAAAAUCACCAUAAAUUGAUGGUGUGGAAUUAUAGGCUGAAUAAAAUAUGUAAUCAAAGCUUAAUUAGUCUAGUUUCUUAUAAAAGAUACCAUGUGAGCAAAUAAAUUUCCUAUAAAUAGAUAUUUAAAGUUGAGUGAGACGGUGUCAGAAUGACUCCGAAAUCCCCUGUUCGGUUUUUAGAAAAUCAUUAUAAUUUGUACAAAAAUGGUUAUAAGAUAAAAUUUAUAUGCUUAGACUCCUUAAUGAGUCUAGUUUCAAAUGAAAUCAAAUAGAACACACUUUGAAUUCUUUACAAUUAGAAAUUUGAUUCGUAGUGAAGAAUGGUCAGAUUAGUCAAACAGUGAAACAGGGGAAACUUUAAGAAAAAUCUGGUAUUGAUUGGCCAAACCUAAAAUUCUGAAAAUUUUAUGGAUGGAAGAUAUAUGAGUAUAUAUUCAGAGAAAAUUAACGGCAAUUGAUUUUGAGUUUUUUAGCUCCAGUUAUAAAUAAUUUAGUGACUAUUGCUCAGGAAAACAGCUUGUAGUGAAUAUGUGAAUUUGUUGUAAACAUUGAUGAAACUAUUUGAGUUGCUUAUAAGCUAUUGCUGAAAUUGAUGCAUGAGAUAUGUAUAUGUGGUAAAGCCGAAUGGCUAAUGUGAAAUAUGUAUGAGAUAUGUAUAUGUGGUAAAGCCGAAUGGCUAAUGUGAAAUAUGUAUGAGAUAUGUGAAAUAUGUAUGAGAUAUGUAUAUGUGGUAAAGCCGAAUGGCUAAUGUGAAAUAUGUAUGAGAUAUGUAUAUGUGGUAAAGCCGAAUGGCUAAUGUGAAAUAUGUAUGAGAUAUGUGAAAUAUGUAUGAGAUAUGUAUAUGUGGUAAAGCCGAAUGGCUAAUGCGAAAUAUAUAUAUAUGAGAUAUGUAUAUUUGGUAAAGCUGAAUGGUUAAUGUGAAAUAUAUAUAUGAGAUAUGUAUAUGUGGUAAAGCCGAAUGGCUAAUGUGAAAUAUGUAUGAGAUAUGCAUAUGUGGUAAAGCCGAAUGGUCAAUGGUCAAUGUAUAUAUGAGAUAUGUAUAUGUGGUAAAGCCGAAUGGCUAGUGUGAAAUAUGUAUGAGAUAUGUAUAUGUGGUAAAGCCGAAUGGCUAAUGCGAAAUAUAUAUAUGAGAUAUGCAUAUGUGGUAAAGCCGAAUGGUCAAUGUGAAAUAUAUAUAUGAGAUAUGUAUAUGUGGUAAAGCCGAAUGGCUAGUGUGAAAUAUGUAGGCGAUGUGUGUAUAUUGUGGCCGAAUGACCAAAUGUGAAAGGUGUGUAUUAAUAGAUAUUUGAUGAGGCAAAUGAAUUACAAAUAUGACGGUCGAUGUGAAUGUUGUAACAUGUAUUUAAUGUACAUGAAACUUGGAAAUAUAUUCCGGCUAAGACCCGAUGACUACGUGUGGAGAUUAUGUCCGGGUAAGACCCGAUGACUACGUGUGGAGAUUUUGUCCGGGUAAGACCCGAUAACUUCGUGUGGAGAUUUCAUCUGAGCUAAAGGUCUCGCCGAUAAUCCGAGUAGAGGUUAAAGCUAUAAGACUUCGUAAUAAGAACUGCUUAUAAAUAUAUUCAAUGCGAAAGGUUAAACAGGUAUGUACUCCAAGUUUANNNNNNNNNNNNNNNNNNNNNNNNNNNNNNNNNNNNNNNNNNNNNNNNNNNNNNNNNNNNNNNNNNNNNNNNNNNNNNNNNNNNNNNNNNNNNNNNNNNNNNNNNNNNNNNNNNNNNNNNNNNNNNNNNNNNNNNNNNNNNNNNNNNNNNNNNNNNNNNNNNNNNNNNNNNNNNNNNNNNNNNNNNNNNNNNNNNNNNNNNNNNNNNNNNNNNNNNNNNNNNNNNNNNNNNNNNNNNNNNNNNNNNNNNNNNNNNNNNNNNNNNNNNNNNNNNNNNNNNNNNNNNNNNNNNNNNNNNNNNNNNNNNNNNNNNNNNNNNNNNNNNNNNNNNNNNNNNNNNNNNNNNNNNNNNNNNNNNNNNNNNNNNNNNNNNNNNNNNNNNNNNNNNNNNNNNNNNNNNNNNNNNNNNNNNNNNNNNNNNNNNNNNNNNNNNNNNNNNNNNNNNNNNNNNNNNNNNNNNNNNNNNNNNNNNNNNNNNNNNNNNNNNNNNNNNNNNNNNNNAGGGAGGGGAGAGAUCCUCUCUUUCGCACCUUUUGGGCUGAGAAGGCUUGGCCUUUGGGGACGCUUUAAACAGGGGCUAGAAAGCCAAGCUCGCAACGUCCCAACUACCGCCUGUGGUGGCGCCGUGACAAUGGCGGCGACGAGGGUUUCAAAACCCUAGCCGCAAGGAAAAGAGGAGAGGGAGAGAGAGCAAAAGCUCUCUGUUUUUUGUUUCUCAAAAAAAUGGGCUGCAAAUGAAGAAUUUUUUUUAAAAAAAAAUUUUGGGCUUAAAUAUACUGAUGAAAUGGCACUGUUUUUGUGAUUGGGUUCAAAGGCCAAAAUAACGUCGUUUUGGGCCCUGAACCGCACGACCCGACCCAUACCCAUGGGAGAUCCGCGUAUUCCCUUUAAAUGGGAAAAUAUCCGCAUUGGUUCCUCCGAAUUUUCGCGUCCUUCAAUUUAGCCCAACCCUUACUUUUAUUUUUUUUAAAUUAUCCAUACAAUUUUAGUUUUAAUUCAUUUCAGCCCCAAAACAAAGCAGCGCAUAGAAGGGUCUGGGGCAUUUUCUAUUUCACCCCCUGAGAUUUUUCAACUUGCUGCGAUUUGGCCCCUUUGCUUCAUUUUUGCUAUUUCAAAUUUAUACCCUAAAUUCUGAUUCAUUUUCAAUCACGUCCAAAAUUUAUUUAAUUCAUUUGUUAACUCUUUUUUUUUAAAAAAAAUAAAAAACGUUUCAUUUAUAUGUCAUGUUAAAUAUUCUAUAUGUUGUUUAUUUUACAUCUAUUUUACUGUUAAUUCAAAUUAUUAUUAUUCAUUCUAACUUGUUUUAUGUACUGCCUAUUCAAAAUUGUUUUAUUAUGAAUCUUAAAUCACCUUAUACAUAUAUAUAUAUACUGGUUUCUAAAUUAUUUCAUAUAUAUUAUUUACUUUAGAUUCUUUCCCCAUAUUAUAUACAUACUGCUUUUCGAAUCUUGAUAUAUAUAUAUUGUUAUUUUAAAAAAAAAAUACUGUUUUGAAUGCUGUCUAUUUCAAAUUUCCUUUUACAUAUUAUUUUAAACUUUUAGUAUAUAAGUUUUAGAUUGAUUUAUUAAUUAUUUUAAAUUAUUUCAUAUGCCUUAUUUUAAACUCUUUUCAUUUAUUUUAAAUUAUUCUACUAUUAUUUAUUUUAAUAUUCUUUAUAAUAUUUAUUUUACACUUUUAUAUUUAUAUAUAUUAUCUACUUUAAAAUAUUAUAUAUAUAUAAUCUGUUUUUUAAACCGUUUUAUACAUAGCUGAUUUUAAUUUUUUUUUACAUUAUUUUGGAACUCAUUUAUUACCAUUCUUGAAAUCAUUUUUACAUUCUAUUUAUUUUAAUUUGCUUUAUACUUAUUUUAUUUUUAAGAUUGCUAUAUAUGUAUUAUUUAAUUCAUUGGUCUCUGAUUAUUAGUGUUGGUAUUUAAUAAUGUAUAUUGUGUGAUUAUUGCCAUUGUGUAUUUUAAUUUGUUGAUUUCGUUUUUUUUUCUUGUAUUUUUGUCGUUUAUUUGUAUAAUGUUUAUUCAUGCAUCAUCGUUCCAUGUCGCACUAUGUUUUUAUUUCAUAUCGUCACCUCAUGAAUCAAGUCUCGUUACAUUCAUCCAAUAAAUCAUUUUAUCUUAAUCCAAGCAAACAACGUACGUCGUUUAAAUAUUGAAUUCGCUAUUAUUCAACACAAAAAUUUUAAAACAAGACAAUGUUUCGCGUUUUGGAAUAUCGAGAAAUUGUGCCCUAACUUACGGGAGUUCGGUUUUCUCGUUGAUUCUAAAUUGCCAAAUAUCCUUUUGAGUUUCAAAACAUAAGGAUUCCCAAUCAAAAUUAAGGACAAACUUGUGUUCGGGAGUUCAUGGUAUUGUGUCCUAACUUACGAGAUGUGAUACUCCGAUAUCUCGAGACAAAGAAAUCUUUAACAAUCAUUUUGGUCUAAUUCAAGCAUUUCUUUUAAAAAAAAAUCAACGUUAAUGAAAAAGGAUCACAUUUUAAAUCCAUUUCCGAUUUUUCAACUUUCGACAUUAAGACAUUAACUAAUCAAUUUGGUACCAAUUCUGGGCGUGACGAGGGUGCUAACCCUUCCUCGCACGUAACCGACUCUCGAACCUUUUUUUUCUCGAGUUUCGUAGACUAAAAACACCGUUUUAGUAAACUAGCAUGUUUUAUUAAAACAAAGAUGAUCCGAUCACACCUAAUAAAGAUCAGUGGCGACUCCUGUUUUAAUCUUCGCUUUCAAACAAAAUUGAUUCCCGUUUUCAAAAAAAUAGUUUUGACAGUCACAAAUAGUAAUUAAUAUAUGUUUAUUUCAAAUAUUAAUUUUUUAUUCUCAACUUAAUUCUAAUUCAAACUGUACAGGCUCAAUUAUGCCUGGCCCAAACUAAAAGACCAAACCCAAUUAAAUACAAACCCUAAAGCCCAAAUCCUAGCCCCCUGCAGAGAAGAGAAAACAGCAGCAGCCCUCAACCCUCAGCAGCACACUCGGCCAACCAAUGGCCGCCUCGCGCACCACCACCGGCAUAUGCUCCCUCCAUGCGUCUGACACGCCCAUACCCUGCAAACACAAACAACAAAAACAGCAGCCACAACAGAGGAAUAAGAGCAUUUUUUAUUGUUAUUGUAAUCGGUUAUAAAACCGAAGGGAGAAAUUUUGAAAGAAGAAAAGAAAAACACUUUGCAAACAAGAUUAAUCAAAAAAAGAAUAGAAUUUUUCGAAAGGUGAAUAUUUUGUUGGUGUUUCAGUUUCCGAUUUUCUUUGCAUUCUAUUUUGUUUUCUUAUUUUUUAUUUACGAAAAAAUAAUAAGGGAAAGGAGGAUAAAAACACACCUUCGAUUAGCCAUUUGGGUGCGCUCCGGUGUCCUUUUGCCGAUCUGAUGGCCGUCGCACCCCUGGGGUUCGACCAACGGCCGUGGCAGAGGGUGAGGAGCCGAUGGGUCCUCCCUUUUCCCUUGCGUUGCUGUGGUCGUGAGUGUUCCUACUUCAAACCCGUUCAAAAAGAGGGUCGAAGAGACCCUUUCCAUGUAGCGCUGGUCGCCGUUCGCGGCAUGGGACAUGGGGGAUCUCCCAAUGAAUCCAUGGUCGGCCAUGGAGGAGGGAUAGAGAGCAAGAGACGCUCUGCUGUUUUUGUGAAAAUGGGGGGGGGGGUUUAAAACCUAACAGAGAAGAGAGAAAGCUUUUGGAAUUUUCUGUAAAAAUGGACUGCAAAAAUGGAAUUUUCAAAAAAAUUUUAGGGUUAAAUCUGCUGCGUGAAACGGCAGCGUUUUGAAGGGUGACCUAAGUGCACCGUUUUAGGGGUGCCCGUUCGCGACCCGACCCGUACCCGGGGGGAUCCGCGUUUUUCCUUUAAAUGGGAAAUUGCUCGCCUUGGUCCCUCCCCCCUUUUCUGAUAUUUGAUUUAGUCCCGAUUGGCUUUUUUUAUUUUUAAAUUUAGCCCGAUUAUUUUAUUCCAUCUCUGAUUUGAUCCCUGGACUGAACAUUGAAACGCAGCGCAUUGAGGGUUAGGGUAAUUGCCCAGUUGACCCCUGUGUCUUCACGCGUAUCUCAAUCUAACCCCCUGGCAGUUUUCUAUUUUAUAAUUUAUACCCUUUUUAUUUUUAUUUUAAUUUAGCCCUCACCCUUUUAUUUCAAAUUGUUUUAUCAUGUUUUUAUACAUUUUAUUUGCUGCCCAUUCAGAUGUUAUAUUUAUUUAGUUUAAAAUUUCACGUGUUACUUAUAAGAUUUGUCACAUUGUUAAUGUGUAUAUAUAUACAUUAUUUAUUUAUGUUCCCUUUUGUAAACUGUUCACCUUUUUAGUUUGCAUGUUUGUUUUAAAUAUUUCACAUGAUGUGUUAAAUUGUUUUGUUUUUAUUGUAUAUUUUAUAUUAUUUUAUCUUAUGCCGAAAACAUUAUUCAUAGCAAUUUAUAAACCACCGUAUUUAUACUUCAAGAGUACCAUUUUUUUAAAAAAAAAAGGAAAAAAAUCAUCUUUUGCAUUAUUUAUUUAAAAUUUAUUUCAUUAGUUUAAAUUGUUUUCAUGUACCCUUCAAAUUUCCAUUUGUUUAUUCUAAAACAUUCUAUUUAUUAUUUAUUAUAGGAUUUUCUUAUAUUACCCGUAGUAUGCUUUUAUGUACAUAUAUUAUUGGUUCUAAAAAUUAUAUGUAUUAUCUUUUCUUAAAUCGCUUUAUAUACAUUAUUGAUUUUAAAAAGAAUUUCAUCUUUUAUUUUAUUUAUUUUUAAACUCGUCUAUUAGUUUUCUUUAUGGUUUUAUACUUUAUUCAAUUUGACUUGCUUUGUACUAUUUAUAUUUUUUAGAUUGCCAAAUAUGUUUUUGUUCAUUAAUUGUUAAUGUUAGUAUGUGAAUGAUGUAUGUGAGCCAUUAUUGUCAUCGCAUGUAUCAUAAAUUGUUCACUUACAUUUUCACCUUGUUCAUGUAUUAUUGUUUAUACUCAUUCUCUCGUAUCUCAUAUAUUUGCCUCACGAAUUAAACCCCAAUGUAUUUAUCCAACAAAUCACCUUAUUUUAACCCAAAUAAAUAACACAUGUUGCUUGAAUAUUGUAUUCGUUACUAUUCAAAAUCAAAAUUUUCCAAAUAAGGCAAUGUUAUGCAUUUUGAAAUAUCGAGGAAUUGUGCCCUAACUUACGGGGUUUCGAUUUCCUCGUUGUUUCUAAAUGGCUAAAUAUCCUUUUCGAGUUUUAAAACACGAAACUCUCAUUUAAAUUAAAAGACGACCUUGUGCUCGAGAAUUCAUGGUAUUGUGUCCUAACUUACGGGAUGUGAUACUCUGAUAUCUCGAGAUAAGGAAAUCUUUAAACAAAUUGUUUUGUGCUAAUUCAAAAAUUUUAGAAUCGAUAUUUAUAGAAAAGAUCGUAUUUUAAAUUCAUUCCCGAUUUUUGAUUUUCGACAUUAAGACACUAACUAAUCAAUUCGGUUCCAAUUCUUGGGCGUGUCGGGGGCGCUAAUCCUUCCUCGCACGUAACCGACUCCCAAACUUGUUCUCUUAAAAUUCGUAGACCAAAACACUGUUUUAGUAAACUAAAAUGUUUUAUUAAAACAAAGGUGAUUCGAUCACACCUAAUAAGGAUCGGUGGCGACUCUCGUUUUAAUUUUCGUUUUCAAAACCAAGUCGAUCCCCGCGUUUUUUCAAAAAAUGGUUUCGACACAAACUACACAGAUUCAAACCAGCAGUGUACACCUUGAUUUCGACAAAAAAAUGUUAAGCAUUUAUAUUAUUUUCAAUAAUAAUAUUUCUGAAACAUUGCAAUUUUUUUUUCUUAAUAUCAUCUCGAUUAGUACAUGUUAUUUUUUUCAUAAACUAAUAUCAGAAUAGUUUAAAUGUUUUUAAAUUAAAAUAAAAUUCAAUUAAUUCUAACUCAAAUCUAAAAUCACAAUCUUUCGACUCAAUUCUGGGCGUAGUAAUAAUUUUCUUUAACUACUUACAGAUUAUGAUGAUUCGCAGAUUACCAAAUAGAAAAAAGGAAGUAGUUAAAGAGUUCCAAUCAACUGAAAAAAGAAAAAGAAAAAACCCUAACACACUUGAUUAUGCUUCAAAUACAAUUUGUCGAUGGCGAAGAGGUUGAGAAUCAUUGAAUAAAUGAUGAAAUCUCCCAGUUCUAGAAUUUAAAUACUUUGAUUAGUGUUGGCUUUGUCACUUUUUAACCAAAACUUUCUAAAAUUACAACUGAACGAAUCCAUUUCAUGAUCAUGCUUUGGCUUUUGAAUCACAUGUGAGAUGCCAGCAACUGUUAAUAUAGUAAUGAUUGGGUCAUGUGUGAGUCCAACACUACAUGAAUACAAUGUCACUCUAACCAUGUUUUUUAUACACGAUCAAAGGUAGAAUGAAAUAAUAAGAUGUGAACUCGUGUUAAUAAAUAUAUGAUACUGUAUAAAAGUUUUCUUACCUUUGAUAAGGUAUGAAAAGUGACACUUAUCCUAAAGUUCAAAGUUGAGAAUAAAAUUAUCCCUUUCUCCCAAAAGUUACAGGUUACCAUUACCCUACAACUAUGAUAGAAAACUGACAACGAAGAUUAAAUGAGCAGCUACUUUUACACUCUUAUCUUAUAGGUAAGAAGUCCAACAAUAAAGAUAAUAAAUCCAAAUGAUUAUCACGAGGGACCUCAAGGAAUUUUGAGUGCACUAUUUGAUGAUAUGAACAAGGACCACCAUCCCACAUGCAUAUUUCUACACAAAAGAUUUCCCUCCACAACCCCGAAAUUAAAGUUGUAUUCUUUACAUUGCUUUUAGCUUUUGGAAUUUAUAACCAUCCAUGGAAACAAAACCUCUUUUUCCUCAUAAUUUCCUUGUGCAAAAAUUUUCAGAAAUACGUAGUAAUUAUAUAUGUGUGUGUGUGUGUGUGUAUUGUAUGCUUGGAGUUGGUGUAAUAGUUAUGUGUUGGAUGUAAAUUAUGGAGCAAUAGGAGUAGUGGGAAGCAGUGAAUAGUGUGUAGUCUGCCAAUGUCCACCCUAUAGUCUCUUCUGAUUGUCUUCUUCUUCUAUCUUCUGUAUUUGAAAUCUAGCCUCACCUUUUAGCUCUGAAAUUCCACCUUCUGCAACACCUCAUAAAAGCUAGUCCAGAAAUGAACCCCACAUGGUUAAAGUUGUGAACUAUUCGAAAAUGGCCCCCAACCCAAACUAUCCACUUCCAUGCAAUAUGCACAAAUGAAUUGUAUUUAAAAGAUACCACUCUCUGGCAUGUUUUAAACAAAAGGGUACAUUCUGAAAGCUACACUUCAGCUUUAUCAAAUUUAUAUAUACAUUUACACAAUCUUUUUCCAUUUUAUUAUGUAUGAGUCUACAUAAGAGAGGAUUUCCCUGUCUUUUCAGCUCCAUUUGUCUUCAUCUUUUUCUUUCACUAAUAGAAGAACAAUGCAAGUUCUGGUCGGGAAACUGUUCCCUUUCACCAUGUUUAUAUGUCUUAUGAACAUAAUUGUUCUGCCAUUAGUCAGCUCGUCAUCUCAACAACAUGUGAAGUCCAUUGACAGCAUUGCAGAUAAAAAGGAUAGCAUUCAUAAGGUACGGGAUUCAUGUUCUUCACUUAGCAUCUUAUUAUGAGUAACUGAGUUCAGAUAUAUUGCUUUCAGUUUACAAAUUAAGAAGCUUGAGAAUAUUUUGUUUCUGGUUUUGGCUUCUUAUUAAAUAGGUGAGUCAUAAACUGAUGUUUGAGAUUAGACUACAUGGAUUCCUCCUUUGGGCAUCAAUGGGGUUUUUGAUGCCUGUUGGGAUACUUGCUAUUCGAAUGUCAAAUAGACAAGAAUGUGGAACAAGGCUUAAGAUUCUUUUCUAUGUUCAUGUAGUUUCACAGGCAAGUUCAUCUUUACUGUUACUGUAACAUCAAUGCUAUAUAUGUAUAUAUAUAUUAUGAAUGCUUGAGAAGCAAGAAGAGGGUAAUGAUUUUAUAAACAAAAGUCGAUCAGCAACCCAUAGAAUCUUCAACCAGAUGUUCCCAUUGUAAUAUAAUAAUAGAUCGGUUAGAUAUCUUAAGACUUAAGUGAAGACGGCACAUUAAACAAAUAGUUUAGAGAAUGAUUAAUAGUGAUAUUUACUACAAGACAUGAUUCUUAAAAGUAUCUUUUAUUCAUGCAUUGAAAAGUUAAUUUUUGGUUCAGCAGAUCCUUUCUCUACUUAUUUCAACAGCUGGGGCAGUCAUGUCUGUCAAAAACUUCAAUAAUUCCUUCAACAAUCAUCACCAAAGACUAGGGUUAGCUUUAUAUGGUAUCAUAUGGUUACAAGCCUUGACUGGGGUUCUUCGCCCAUGCAGGUAAGCGACCAUAUCUCCCUUCUAUUUCGGGAAUUUCAUGACAUUCUAACACAUAUUGUGCAUAAAACAUUCACUGCAGGGGAUCCAAGGGAAGAAGUGGAUGGUUUUUUGCACAUUGGUUACUGGGAACUGCAAUUUCCAUUUUAGGUAUAAUCAACAUUUACACUGGAUUGAGGGCGUAUCAUGAAAAGACAUCAAGAAGCAUAAAGCCUUGGACCAUAGUUUUGACUGCAGAAAUCUCUUUGAUUGCUUUCGUUUACUUGUUUCAAGACAAAUGGUUGUAUAUUCAAAAGCAAGGACUUAUUUUGGGAGAUGAAUCAGUAACACCUAAACAACAAGAUAGUUCAUCCACUGAGAAGCAAAAGGAAUCAAGUAGUGAGAAAUGUUGAAGAAAAUAAAACGUUUUAAUCUGUGAGUUAAUUACUAACAACUGAGUAUUUUUCGUCCAUUCUUUUUCCUUUUACGAUAAUCUUAUACACAAGACACAUUAUUGGUUGGCUUAUUUGAUGAUAUUUGUUGGAUAUUUAUGAAAGAAGGUAUUGAGACAGAAAGCAAAAAAAAUAAAGAAUGAACUUUAAUUUCAUUAACUGGCAUUUUUAUUCACUGAUUUUAGUCUAAUCAGUAACCAAAACAUCUUGUCAAUAUUUUAUUGUUUCAAAUGAAGUUGGCAACUUACAGAUUAAAGAUUUCGCAUGCAUAAGCUUGCUUAACAUAGCUUGUAGCUUUGGUGACUUCGCAUCUUUAAUGAGCUCGCAUUAUUGAUGAACUUAUAGUUUUUUGUGAGCUCACACAUUUGAGUUCACAAUUUUGGUGAGCUUGCAGUCUUAUGAGUUCGCACGUUUGACAAGCUUGUAGUCUUGGUGAGCUCGCAGAUAUAAAUUCACAGUUUUGGUGAUCUCUUAGUCUUAAUAAGCUCGUAGUCUUAAUAAGCUCACAAUUUUAUAGAACUUGUAAUUGUGCAAAUUGAAUUCACUAAUGCAUAGAUGGCCACCUUGCAACAACUUUGCUAUUACUUUUUUUUUUCAUCCUUGUUACCCAGAAUUCAUUUUCAUUUUCUUAAUUUAUGUUACUUAUUCAAGGCAUAUUUAAGUAUUGACGAAUAACAAAGACCAAGCUCAACUUGUCAAACUUCGAUGGAGACUCCUUCAAAACAAGCAUUCUCUAUGACUCUCAUUCUUAAAGCUAAAUAUCUUCACGGAAGAUCACCCCUACGAGGGCCUCAACUUGGGUCCUUCUUUGAUUGCUUCAAUCGUUCCCUAUCAAACAAACUCAGGUUUGUUGAUCAUACUAGGAUUAUCCAAGUCAAAUGGCAACCUCAUGAUGAUGGUUGAUACAAACUCAACUGUGAUCAGAAGCCGGCCGGGGUUUGCAUAUGUGACCAUGAAGGCAAUUGGAUUGCCUGUUCUCAUAGAAUGCUUGGGCUUUCUUCUAAUAUGGUUGAGCAUUGUGGGGUUUGUGUGAUGAUCUUUAACUUGCUAUUAAGUUGAAUAUUUCCCCCAUUAAUAUGAUCAGUUUAUUAAAAAAUAAUUCUUCUAAAAGUCCCUUGCUUGAUCCCUUAAUUAAUGAUUGUAGGACUUUCUUGACAAUCUUUUAGAAUAGACGACUUCUGCGUGAAGGAAAUUGUUUCGCGUAUACUUUUGCCAAGAAUCCUAACUGCUCCGAGGGACUUACAAAUGAUUAUGUUAUUUCUUUUGAUAUUUUAAAUUUUAUAGUUUCUAUUCUUAAAUUGAUUUCAUUUGAGUACUAUAAAAAUCAAUUAAAAUAUUCAAUUUAAUUUGUUUUCAAUUGGGUACCUCCUUUUUUUUUUUUUAAAUACUGAUUCCAUUAAAUCAUUAUUGACCAAUAAAUUAGACCGACGUAACUAAUAUCCCCCCAUACCAAUCCCCCUAUAACUAAAGCAUCAGCCAAACUAUUCCCUUAACGAAAACAUCAACAGAUGACACGACAAACCACCUUACAAUAAGGUUAUCAAAAGAUUAAAAACAUCCGAUAAUGGCCAAGCUCUGAAAUCUGGACUAAUUCAACAAGAAAUUACAGCCCAAGAAUCAGAUACGACAUACAAUUCUGAUGAAAAUUUGCAUUUUUUGAAAAGCUCGUACAAUUAUUAAAUUAUAAACUAUUCUGUAAUUAGUAUAGAAAAUAUAAUUUCUGCAUAAAGGGUAGAUCGAGUUGAAGAGAAAAAGCCGCUGUGACACAUCGGAUUGAACACCUUGAGGAUAAGCACAAUAAUUACAACCCUUCGGGACAGCAAAAAAGCCUUUCGCUUCGUAAGUUUCACUCUUUUUUUUAUUUUAAUAUUUUACAUGCGUUAGUUAAUAAGUUAUAAAAAAGUUAAAAAAUGAUUUUCUAAUGUAAAUAUUUUUAAAAUUUUUAGAGCUAAGACUAAAUAGAUAAAUUUUGUAAAUGUUGAACAUUAAAUUUAUUGAAUUUUUUAGAAUAAUUAGAACUAAAAUGAUAAAUUUUACAAAGAUUGAGUGCUAAUUUAUUUUUAUAUUUAAGAUUAAAUUGAUAGAAUAUAAUAUAUAUAGGCAUUAGAGUACUAAUUUUGUUACUAGACCAAUAAAAUAAAGCUCUCAUCAGCUCGAAGUAACUAAAAUAUUUAAUUUUAAAAAGUUUAGUGACUAAAUAAAAAAAAAUUAAUAGUUGAGUGAUCAAAGUAGAACGAAAAGCAUAGUUGGGUGACCAGCAUUUUUAUAGUUUACCAAUAAAAAAACAAUUUUCAACAUGGAAACAUAAUUAUUUAACACAAAAAUUUAACAGAGGAGCUAAUUUGUACAUUUCGAAAUAUAUAAGGACUAAUUUGCCCAUUUUUUCAAUAGAGGGGCUGGAAUGCAGUCCAUCCCUAAAUAUAAGGACUUCCCUAGUAUCUUUAUCGACAACCAAACAAUGUGAUAUUAUUAUUUAUCUAUUCUAUUCAAUCAGCCAAAUUAUAUAAUACCAUUACAUCUCUAUUCCAUUCUCACGAAGUAGUUAUUCAAUUCCAACUCUAUUCCAUUCUAGUGAAUAAACAUGAUGUUAAGGUUCACUAAUCUAAUUGGCACGAAUUCAAAUAUCACAAUAUGCAUAUUUUUAUUAAUUUUUAUUAAGAUGAAAAGACUAAAAUAACCUCAAAUAAUAUAACUUAUACGGAAGAACACUUUCAUAAUUUCUCUUGGUUGAAUGAUAAAUUUAAGAUUUUAUUAAUAUGAUUGAUGUGGGUUCAAAUUCCAUAAUUAAAAUAAGUUAUACUAUUUGAGGGUGCUUUAGCCUUUUUAUUUUAACAAAUUAAAAUAAAAAGGCUAAAGCGUCUCAAAUAAUAUAACUUAUUUUAAUUAUGGAUUCUUUAAUUUCCGUAACUAAAUUUGGACUCGAUUGAUGGGUGACACCAACUUAAUAAAAGGCUUAAUAAAUAGAAUAGAAAAUAUAAUUUAAUAAUUGUUUAGAUUCAUAUAUCUACAAUCUAUAUCUAUAGUCUACAUAAAAGCACGAGUUUAGAAAAAAAUUUGAAUUGGUGAGAAUAUAUUUUAUUUUCCAUCAUAUCACUAAAUUCACAUUUAAAAAUAAUUAUAAUUUAAUAAAGUUGUGAUGAUUAUACAUAAAAAAAUAUGAUAAUUAUAAAUUUAACAAUAAUUAUAAUUUAAUAAAAAUUAUGAUAAUUGCACAUUUAAAAAUAAUUAAAAUUAAAAUUACUAUUAUUAAUUAACAUAAAAAUUAGACAUACAUAAUUAACCAUUUGACAUAUCUUAAUUAAAUAAUCAAUGCACAAAAUUGAAAUAAAAGCAUUCUAAUCGACUACAAAAAUAUAUAAUUAGGUAAUAAUUUGCAAAUUGAAAGUUUUUUCCCAAAACACAAUAUAAUUAUAAAUCAGUCACAAGAUAACAACUUAAAAUAACAAUAAAGCAUUAUCUAGACAUUCAAUAAAUAGUGAUUGCAUUUCGAUUCAAUGUUCAAGUUCAUUUAAUAGUUUUGCCCAAAUCACACAAAAAAGGAAAGACAUUCGGACACACGAGUGUCCAAUUGAACAUCAAACGUUAGAUGAAAUUUACGCAAGCUCCAACAAUGGCAGCAAUGCUCUACUACGCGAUAAACGUGACUUAAUCAAUAACCAACUAAACAUCAGAUGGCUAAAGCACAACAAUGACAAUAUUCCUAAACACUCAAGGCAGUCCGCACAAUGAACAAUAAGCGAUGAUGAGGACCCCUACACUCUAUAGCAUGCUGACUAUAUCCAAAAAAAACUUUCAACUAACUUUACAGGUGUUUAAUCAAUUAUUAAAGUAAUAAUUUUAACAAUGAUUUUCAGAAAAUAAUCAAUUAAUAAAAAUAGCAGCUAAUAAUAAUAGCAAUCAUUAAAUUUAAUUUAAUAAACUACCACACAAGUAAAAUUUCAAAUGCAAGGAAUUACAACAUCACAAUCACUAAGUUAAUAGUUUAAUUAUAACGUUAAAAUAUUUUAAAAUAUAAAGAUCAUAAACCGAAUUUCGUUUAGAAGCAAUAAACCCACAACGAGCUUCAGGAUAAUUUGUAACAAUGUAUAAAAUUAAAUUCCAAUAAAUAAUCAAGAGAAUAAUUUAAUUAAAAUAAACAGAUAGAUAAUCAUGUGUCCAAAAUAAUCAAAAUUAUUAUGCUUUUUAAAUCACAUAUAUAAUGAGUAUUAAAUUUAAUACAUGGAAGAGCACAUCUAACUGAAGUGAAAUAUGAAUUAAGAUAUAUCUUUAUAAAUGAAUAAUAAGUAUUAAUGCUCGUUCAUUAUCAAAAUAUAUGCUCCACUAUUGUUUUUAAUUCAUUAAAGAACAACUGCCAUUUUAAAUUGAAUCUGAAUAAUCAGAUAAAUGUUAAAUUUCGAGGGAUUUCGUGGCAUGAUGAAUUUUCAAACUUGAUCCUGAUCUCCAUUAUCAAUCUAGACCCUCUAUAAGAUCCAUGAUCGGGACUACAAACAACUAAAAUAAUCAAAACAUAAUGAUGAAGAUAGAAUUAGAAAUUAACAUAUCAAGAACAAAUGAGAAAACAAUUUUUAGAUAAAGGUAGGGAUAAACGAUCAAAUUAUAGUUCAGAUGGAAUCGACUUAUUUGGCCAAUUUACCUGCUAGAAGGUGGACGACAGAGCAGAAAAAAGGUUUUGGCGCAACGAUUUUCUUUUCUAUGUACGGCAAUCGAUUCUUGAUUGAAGUGGUGAGGAAAUGAUAGCAAAUAACCUAAGUUUGGAGUUUUAACGGCCAAGGAGAGAAUUUGCAUUAAAGCAACCCCUUUUUGAUGGCAAAUACAUAUACAUAUGUUAUGAAAUGGAAAUUAGUAGUGCUGGCGGCAAGGGAAACGAGAACAACUAAAGGAAAAUUUUGUGGGUUAAGGGCUUAGGGCAAUUGGCUUUUGGCUUUUGGUCAAUUGACAACAUAAAGCCUCCACAAUUCUACCUUUAUUAAGAUUAGUUCCUAAACUUUUAAAACUUGUAAUUAUUCUAAAAUUGUUUUACCUAAACCCCUAAUCCCAUUAAAAACUCUAUUUAUAGCCUUAAUAAAAAAAUAAAAGGUUAAUUACAAGUUUAAUCUCCCACAAAUUUUUGAAAACUCAAUUUAAUUUUUAAAACAAAAUCGAAUUUCAAUUUAAUUACAAAAUCAAGCUAAAAAUUCAAAUAAGCAUGUAAUCCUAAGAAUACUAAAAAUCUAAAUUUUAUCAUUUAAUCCGAAAUCCUCGAAAUAAUUUAUUUUAUUUUUUAUCGAAGUUGUACCUAUUCGACACAAAAUCCGAAAACAAAAUUAAAUGUAUGAAAAAAUAUUGUGAUAAUUAUAAUUAUAAUUAUAAUUUAAAAUAAUUAAUUAAAUUUGGUUGAUAUAAAUAAAAGUUGGGCUAAUUUUUUCUUCUUCUAAAUUUGUGUUGAUUUUAUUGAUGUAAAAUAAAGUUCUUAUUUAAAUAUAAUUCUAAACAUAUUAAUUAUCACUUAGUUAAUAUUAAAGUUAAUUAUUUUAAUUACCUAUUAUUUUGAAUAAGAUUACUUUGCUUUAAUUAUUAUUGUAGGUUAAAACUAUAUUGUAUGUUAAAUAUGUUAAAAAUACUUUAGUUAUUAUUUGAAACUUUUUUAUUUAUAAUAUUUAAAUAAAUUAAUAUAUUUUAAUUAUAUUCAAUAAUUCAAAUAAGAAAUAUUAUUUUAAAGUAUAAUAUUUAAAAAAAUAAUUUGCAGGAGCAUCUUUUAAUAACCUCAACUCGCCAGGAUGCAGCGACAUCUCUUCUUGGCUACCCUCUGAUCUUCGUCGCCAACGCAUAAGGACUUUGGGCAGCAGACAAAUUGACUACAUUAAUGCUGUCUAAUUCCACAACAAUCCGUCGAAAACCUCUGAACCAAGCAAGUUCCAAGCCAUAAUUCAGCUUGGAGAAUAUUCGGUAUUCCAAGAUUCCUACAAUAUCCAAGACUCCAUUGUUCGUCAUUAUCCCGGAGCACUCCCCACUCAAUCAAUCCCAUUUCUCACCUCCAUAGCGUCAUCCGUAUUUAGCUUAAUCCACCCGUAUGUCUUAUGUUCCCCAACCGAGAUGCUGUAAUAUGUCUAGCCCAAGCCCUACUUUUGCUAAUAAGCAAGUCAUAUCCAUUAUAAUCAAAUAGAAAAUAGUGACUUAAAUAAAAUUUUUUAAAUAGUUUAGUGAUUAAAUUAUAAUUUUUUUAGUUAAGUGACCAAAACAGAAAUUUACCCAUAAAUUAAUAAAUAAUGGUGUAAUUUACCCAAAAUUUAAUUACAAAAUUGGUCCCCAUUAAAAUUUGAAAAUUUAAUUUAAUCCCCAAUACUAAAUCAUAAUUCAAUUUAGCCUCAAGAUUAAACUAAAAAUUCACACAAUCCCAUAAUCCAUCUUCAAAGAAUUAAAAAUUGUUUACCAUGAAACACAGAUCAAGGGACUGGAUAAAAUUAAGUGUCUAUACUAGGAUUACAUAGGGUGUUGAAUAUAACUAGAACAGUUCACACCAUGAAUGGUGCAAAGAAUCUCUAGAUCGAUAUUUCUGAAGGGUUUGAGGAUAAGUUUUUGCAAUGGUGUGGACUACAUGGUUUCCAUGUGUCAUUGUCUCGUUGUUGUACAUGUAUUUAUAAAAAGAGAGUGGGUGGGCAUGGGUCCUAGUUAUUGGGUUUCUUACUCUAUAGGUGUCGUGUAGAGUUACGAAUGUCAGUUUAAAGUAUUGUUGGAGUUGACUUGAAUGGAUUGGGUGAUAUGCUCGUCAAACUAAAAUGUGAUGAGUUAAAGAAUGCCUUUAAAAACUCGUAACUCAUUUAUUUUCAAAGAGUAUGUGGGUCAGCUUGGUGUGCCAAGGUGCUUGGGUGAAGGAUAUUUCUUUCUAGUGAGGCUACGAGGCCGAGCUCCAUGGUGCAUAAAAUUGAGCUUUGCCAAGUUCUUGGUAUCUUUUAGAUGAUUUGGCAAGAAGGUUUUUUUGUACCUUUUAGAAUGGAGUGAAAAUUUUUUUAAGUUAACGAGUCCUAUUUUAUCAUCCUAACUCAAUAUGAAAUUUUAUCGAAUUGAGUCUAGUGAAAUUAAAAAUUAAUCAUAUCAUAUUAAAGUCUUUUUACAAUAUGAUAAACUCAAAUAAUUAAUUAACUUAUUUAGCUUCCAAAAUUAUUAUUUUAGAUUUUUUUUUAAAAUUUUAACUUUUUUUAUAUAUAUUUUUAUAUCUUUUAAAAGUUUUGAAACUUUUAUAAUUAUUUUGAAUUUAUUAAAAAUUUGCUCAUUUUCAAAAUUGAUGAAGAUCAAAGAGGUUUCACCCCAAUCUAUUAUUUGAAAUAUUUGCAUUAUUCGAAUUGUAAAAUUUAACUCUAAUCGUACUCGAAACUCGAAUUAUUUUUUCGAGUUGACUCGAAUAACUUAAUUCGAUUAAUUCAAAAUUCAAAAUUUUUCAAUUUUUUAAUCAAAUUAAAUUUUGUUAAACCCUACAAAUGAAAAGUAAUUGUAAUUAUUCAAAAUUUUUACCUUACUUACAAAUGAGAAAGUAAUGAAAUAUAAUUUUUAUUUUAUUUGAGUUAACGUGUAAAAUAAAUUGCCAUUAUACUGUACAUAAAAAAUGGAAUUUGUCAUCAUAUUUUAGUUUUAUUGAUAUUUGUUCCUGAACUUUUGAAAUUAAGAUAAACUUACCGCUCAACUUUAACUCUAUGUUGAAAUUUUAUCAUUUAUUGAAUUUUGAAAUUAAAAAUUGAUUUUAAUAUUUAAUUUUAAUUUUAAUUUUAAAUAACUUGAAGAAAAAUAUUAAUAAAAUCAUUUUUAAUAUUUUAUUUUAAUAAUUAAAAAUAGUGAAUUACUUAAUAUAAUGUUAAAUAUUAAUAAAAAAGACUUCUAUUUAUAAAAAAAAAUAUUUUUCUCAUGUCAUUUUUAAUCAUCAUUUACAAGUUAAUUUCUACAUUUAAUGGAUGUCUCACAUAUAUCAUAUACAUUUAAAUAGUGAUGAUAAUUUUAUUAGAUAUUAAAAGAUUAAAAAGUAAUUGAGUGUAUCUUAACAUUCAAAUGAUUGGGUAAAGACAUGAAUGCGUACCCAAAUUAUUACAACAUUAAAUCCAAAAUUCCAAAUUCAUUAGUCGCCUGUCUUUGAUUAUUCAACUAAUUCAAUUCCACUUCUGUUUUUUUCCACUUUCUUUCAAAACAAAUACAAAUUUAAUGCUAAAGAAAAAAAUAAUCUCAGGGCAUCUUAAUAUUUGGAUAACUGAAAAAGUCAAUUGUUGUUUGACUAAGUCCACCGUUUCCCAUAUGCAGUAGAGGAGAGUGAUGAUAAUAACAAAUGGUUUUUAGGUUUUUAGUGACAUUCUCUGGAUUACACAUAAGAAACAAAUGUUAAACUCUACUAACUUCACUAAUCAAUUUACGAAAAUGGGAAUUUGAAAAUUCAAAUCUACUGUAACUGACCCUUUCCUGCACUGCAUCUCCACUUCACUAUUAUACACCAGGCGGUGAUGAAGGGGUACCUUUUAUAACACAAGGAAUCAUGUACACCCUAGGAAACAACGCUGCCCUUGAGAUGAUGUAUCGAGCCAAUGUGGGUGGGCGGGAAAUCCCGCCAAAUGGCUACACUGGGAUGUUCCGGGGCUGGUCAAGUGACGACGGAUAUUUGACAACAGCCAAACCAAGUGUUCUUCCUGUUAAUAUUAGUAUUAAUCUCAACUUCAGCAGUAUACCAUCGUACUCUGCUCCAAAGGAGGUUUAUAUAACUACCAGGACCAUGGGGAUGAACAAGAACCAGCAUAAGAACUACCAGCUGACGAGGGAGUUUCCUGUUGAUUCUGGGUUCAAUUACUUCGUAAGGUUACAUUUUUGUGAGUUCCAACCAGAGAUAACCAAAGAAGGUGAUAGAGUGUUUGAGAUCUCAUUGACUAAUUUAACUGCAGAAACUGAAGCAGAUAUUAUACGCUGGAGUGGUGGUAAUGGGAUUCCAUUCUAUCAGGAUUAUGCGGUGGCAAUAGGAACAAAAGGAAAUCAAAAGCAACAACAUCUCUCUAUUACUUUGCAUACUUCGCCAGAACGGAGAACUCUUUAUUCAGAUGCAAUCUUGAAUGGCCUAGAAAUCUUCAAAUUGAGCAACAAUUUUGAUUUCACCUGCCCUAGCUUUGAUCUUAUUGGACCAAACGUUCAUCAUGUGAAGCAACCGGUUAUGCAAUUAGGAAAGAAGAGGACAGCAAUUGUUGCUGUUGUUGCUCCGAUUUUUGGUUUCAUCACACCUCUUUUACUUUUCGUGAUUUUCCGGAUAUGUUCCAAUAAUUUUGCCAACAGCAGCACCCCUGUUCCACCUUCGGAUAUUUGUAGCCGCUUCUCACUGAGGGAGAUCAAAAUAGCUACUAACAACUUCGAUGCGAAUUUCAUCAUCAGAAGAGGCGGAUUCGGUGAAGUCUACAAAGGAUUCACUAAUGCUGGCUCCACCCCUGUUGCAAUCAAACGCUUGAAUCCAGGUUCACAACAAGGGGUGCUUGAGUUUAGGACUGAAAUCGAGAUGCUUUCCAAACUUAGGCACCAAAAUUUAGUUUCUUUAAUCGGUUAUUGUGAAGACAACCAGGAAAUGAUCCUAGUGUACGACUACAUGGUUCAUGGGACCUUGAGAGAUCACCUCUACAACACUAGUAAUCCCCCUUUACAAUGGGAGCAGAGGCUCAAGAUGUGUAUUGGUGCUGCACAUGGGCUGCACUAUCUCCACCGAGGUCCAAACCACACCAUCAUUCACCGAGACGUGAAGACAACAAAUAUUUUGGUAAGUGAGAAAUGGGUGGCCAAAGUAUCUGAUUUCGGAUUGUCUAAAAUGAAUGACUUAUCCAACACUCAUAUCAGCACUGCUGUCAAGGGCAGCAUUGGGUACUUGGAUCCCGAAUACUACCGUCUUCACAAAUUAACCGAAAAAUCUGAUGUCUACUCUUUUGGUGUGGUGUUGUGUGAAGUGCUAAGUGCAAGAGCACCGAUAGAUUGAAAUGCUGAGGACCACAUGCAAAUAAGUUUAGCAGAGUGGGCACAACAUUGCUACAACAAUGGAAGCCUUGAUGAGAUAAUUGAUCCUUAUUUAGAGGGUCAGAUCAAGCUUCCAAGUCUAUUAAAAUUUGGUGAAGUAGGUAUAAGUUGUUUGGCUUCGGAAGGGAUGAAAAGGCCGGCAAUGAGUGAAGUGGACCAAGUGGUGUAUGGACUUGAGCUUGCAUUGCAGCUGCAUGAAAGUGAAAUAAAUGGAAACGAUGCGAAUCAUGUAAAUUAAUGACUCAUCUUCCGUAGAUUAUCAUGUAUUGUUUUCUAGUGAUAGAGGAUCAAUGAGAGUUGGUCGGUAGAUUAGAUACUUUAAUUAUUUGCACAUUAAUUGUGGUAUUAAUUCCAGCUUUUCGUGAACAACGGUUGUUAAAUUAGCUACAAGUUGUAUCAUGCAUGUGAAAUCUUUCUAAAACAUUGUUAAUAUAUAUUUAGUUAAAAUUUACCACUCGACUUUCUUCUGUAAAAGACUUUAUUUCAAUAACUUAUUAUCAAAAACUUCAUAGGUUUAGACAUAAAAGUUAAAAUCUUGUGUUGCAACACAAAUAAUAUAUUUCACAACAUUUUAUAAUUAAACUUUUUUAAUGGAAAAAGAAAGUAGAAAAAUCGAGUUGUUUUUGGUGUAAGACUUUUCCAAGUCUUCAUGGUCAACGUCUGUAGAUGAGUCUUGCAGGGGGGUGUACAGAAAUUUUUUAUUUUUAAUUUAACCAUAAUCUUAAUUUAAUAUUUGAUUUAAUGUAAUUUAAUUAACCCAUAUAUUUUUUAAGUGCAGCAUGUAUAGUACAAUUACAAAUAUAAGUCAAUUAACUAUAAGCUUAGAGUUAUAAUAAAUGAAUUGUUCAAAUAAUCACUAAGUAAAAUCAAACUAUUACGAUGCUAAUGAAUUAAGAAAUGACAUAAUCCAAACUAAAAUCAAUAAAUUGGAAUUAACUAAACUAAAACUCCAACAAACAACGGACUCAAAAACUUUCAUAUAUAAUUUUCAAACUUGAAUAUUCAAGAAUUCCUACUUCUACCAAAUGAGUCAAGUUCUCGUUAGGGAUUAAGCCAUAUUUUAAAUCGUGAAUAAGAGGUCAUGAAUUCAUGCAGCACAAUGAUGCAAUUUGUUGGAAAAACGAUUGUAUUAAUAUCAUAAGUUUUAGGAUAAAUUCUAAAAUUAUACAUAAAUUAUAGUUUAAUGUGUAAUUAUACAUAAAUGAAAUUUUGAUUUGAUCCAAUUCUUAUAAAUUAUUAACAUAAUUAUCGACAUUAUAUUAUUUUAUAUUUAUAUAUUGCAAUAAUAAAUAAUUAUAUUUAUCCGAUACAAUUUAUUUUUAUAAAUGUGCAUGAUUUAAUUAAAAUUAAAGUUUCAAGUAUAUAUUUAAACCAUAACUAGAGUUUCAUGUGUAUAAUUACAUCAAAUUAAAAUUUAUAUAUACAAUUGUACAUCAAAUCAAAAUUCAUAUAUUAUUUUAAGAUUUAUUCCUAUUUAAUAAAGAGUACCGUUUUAAAGGUUUAAUCUAUAACUAUAUAUUAAAGGAAGGUAAAACCGCGUUCCUCCUUUUGUGGCAUACACUCAUCUGGUUUUUUAAAUAAGUUCAAAAUUCAUAUUUAAUUCUUAUAUUAUAAUUUUUAAUAUAAUUUAAUCUUUAUGUUUUUAUAAUUUUAUUAAUUAGUUCAAAUAGUUAAUAUCAUUUUCUAUUCAAUUAAAAUAUUACAUAGUUAUAUGUAAUUUGAAAGCGAAUCUUUUUAACUUCAUAAAUUUAAAAGAUUAAAUUCUUGAAAAUAAAAGUUGGAUGACUAAAUUCAAAAUAACAAUGUGUAAAAACAUAGAGUUAUAGUUGUUUGAACCAAUUGAAUUAGUCGAGGUACCAAUCCGAAAAGAAGCAUCAUACCACUACGAGUUGGUAGAACAAGUCUAAAAAAUCGAUUGAAUUAUUUUUUUAAAUUUUUUAUUUUUAUAUUUUUAAUAAUUUAUUUAAUUAAAACGUACUAAUUAGUAAUCUAACUGGUUCAAACAUCAUUUUGAUUCUAAAAUCUUUGCGUAGAAUAUUUUUAAUAUUCAAAUUUUUAUCAUAUAACUAUACUAGUUUAUUUUUAACUGUGUGAGAUUUCAAAUAUUAAAUUUAAUUUUAAAUUUUAUAAAAAAAAACCUUUAAUUUUAAAUGCUUUUGUCUUUUUUCUUAGAGCGUAUUUUUUUUAAUUAAAUAAACUUUCAGGUGGACAAUAGAAAAUUGAAAUUUGAGAAUAAAAUUCAAAUUUUAAUGAAUUAGAAGUAUUAGCAGUUCUAUUAAGAUGUUGUCACGCUUAGUAUGAUGCUUGGAAUAUUUCGAUCUUUCUUCCUGGUUAUCUAUCUGUUUUUCCUCACCAAUGGAGAAUCCAAGCAAAACAACAACUUUUUCCCUUCAAAACCUCUUGUUUCUGCUGCUUCUUUGUCUCCUCUUCUUCUUCGGUCAAUACCUUCUGGUUCCUGUUACAACAGAUUUCAAUGUUAAGCUCAGGGAUUUAAAUUGCAGCCGCGGUCGCGUUUUCGAUUGUAUUGCGUUUAUCGUGGUUGCGGACAUAACGGAUGCUAUUGCGGUCACUGCGGGUAUCGCGGUCGUGAAUUUUUUUAAAAUUUGCACAACUUAUUAUAAAACAUAAUAAUUAUAAUUAUAAUUAUAAAAAGUCACUUUUAAUGAUUUUUAGAGUGUUUUCUAACACUUAUGAACUUUUAUUAAUAUGAUAUGAGAACACAACUUUUAUAAUCAUUAAUUAUUCUUAUAUUUAUUUACGAAUUUUCUAAGAAUGUUUUAUUAACUAAUAACAAAGUAAAAAAAAAAGAAAUAUUAAACAUUUAUCAUAUUUAAUAAGUUUGAAAGUUUUUAUAGAUAAAAUAACUGAAAAUUCAUUCCUGAGAGAUAUCUUCAAUAUUUCUUGACAACUUUGAAGAUGGUGAAGAUAUAAACAUUCUAUGCUGCAAAAGGAAAAAAAGGAAUAGAUAAAUGUAUAGAUUCUCAUUGAUUAUUCCUAUUUCCUACCACUUAUUCUCACUCUCAUUCUACUUUCAUAUAUAAUUUAACACGUUUCGAUUCUUAAUUAUCUUUUCAUAAAAUAUACUCCAUUCAUUUAUCUAAAGAUAUAUUUUAAAUGUUUUAAUAUCAUUAAAAUUAAGAACAUUAACAAAAGUUUUCCUUAAAAAAAAUAUACCUUACAAAUAAUGGUAGUGGUAUGAUUUAGUUUUCACCAAUUAGUGGAAUGACGAGGAAGAUCAGAUCCUUCACCUUCACUUUGAGAGCAUUCUUGACUUGAUUCUCUUGGCCUUUGUCUAAAAAUAUAUCCAAAAAAAGUAACAUUUUCACCUUGGUUUUCAUAUAAUUGAUGUGGAGGAUAUAUUUGAGGAGGAGGAUAUAUGAAAGGUGGAGGUGGGUGAUACAUUGGUGGUGGAGGAUGCAUUUGAGGCUGGUAUGGCACAUCAUAAUUAGGAAAUGGUGGAUAAUAACCAUAUGGUUGUGGACAACCAUGUGAAGGUUGAAAAUAUGAAGGUUGUUCUGGUGGAUAAAAACCUUGAGUGCUAGUAGAUGAAUCACUAUACCCAAGGUUACUUGAACUCGAUCUCCUACUAGAUGAAGAGCCUAUAGAAGUAUGCUUUUUGCCUUUUCCUUUUGAUGGAGCUCUAGGUUCACUUCUAUCUCUCCUAGGUUCAGGAAACAUAUUUCCAUCAAACUCUGAUCUAUCACGGAAAUGUCCACUAGUGGUACCAACCCCAUAUUCUCCUUCAUACUGGCUAGAAGACCUAAUUUCACCUUUAUCAACACUAUAUCCAUCAUCCUCAUCAAUUGGACUUAAACUACCACCAUCGGGUUCAUCGCCACUCUGACUUGGCGUUGAACUAGAACUUGAAUGAGACAAAUUUUGUUUUUGAGAUUGAUUAACAUCCAUUUCAUCAUUAGAAGUAUCCACAGGCAACACACCGGCAUUUCCACCAUCUAAUAAUGGAUUUUCUUUCUCAUGAAGCCAUUCUGAUAGUGGAUCAACAUAUUCAAAGAUAUGAUCAAGGCUGAUAGGAUUAAAACUAACGUUUAUAUCAUCAGUGCUCAUUCUUUUUUGAUGCCUUAUCUGAAGCCUCAUAUUAUAAUAGGUAAACACUAGUUUCUCAAGUUUUUUAUACUUUAACCUAUUUCUUGCCUUGGUGUGAAUAUAACUAAAUGUGCUCCAAUUUCGUUCGCAAUUUGAUGCUGAAGUUGUUUGACUAAGCACUUUAAUUGCUAAUUUUUGUAAUUCGGGAACACAUGUGCCAUAUAUUAUCCACCACUCAGCUGCAUAAUAUUAUUUAAAUUUCAAAAUAACUUCAAAAUGUACAAUAUAAUUAAAUAGUUUAAUUAACUGUUUACCCGGAUUCAUUUGCUUCCAAGCUCUUUGUGCUUGUGGAGUACCGAAUGUCUCAUAUUUAUCUCUAAAUAGUAACAACUGCAUAAAUAAAAGAUAGAGUAACAAUAUAAAAAAAAAUAAUUCUAUUUCAAAUUAUGUAACUAAGUUACAAAUAAUAGUACUUGAAUCUAAUCUGAUUAACCAUUCUGACUUGAGUAUCAAGAGAAGGUUCUAAUCUUUCAAUUACUGAUCGUGUACCUUCUAAUGUUUCUAUUAGUACAUUCUCAGAAUGCUCCACCCCAAAUUGAAAUUGAGGAUUGAGAAAAUAACUUAAGUAUAAUUUAUAAGAAUAUCAUCAAAUAAUAAUAAUCUAAAGCUUUAAAUAAUAAAAUAUAAAAAUAUUUCUUAAUUAUAUGAAACAUUUUAUCUUACUAGCUGAAUGUAAGUCGGAAUGUAUAAAAUUCCAUCUAUUGUCAAUAAUCUAUUCGUACUCGGUGAAAUAUCGACAAUCUUGUUGAAUUGCUCGUUUAGCUCUAUCAACAGCCUCAUAAAUAAAUCUCAUUGUUGGUUUUUCAUUGCUAUCCACAAGUCUCAAUACUUUUACUAGGGGCUCGUAAACUUUUAUGAGGUCAUUGACUUUUUUCCAAAAAUCUUUUCCCAAAACAAUUUUUUUGGCUUCAUAAGCAGGCCCUGACUUUUGCUGUCCCCAUUUUGAUUCUUUAAAUUCCUAUAUAUUCAUAAGAAAAAUUUUAAAAUAAUAUAAUCUAAAUUAUUUGGAACUAAUAAAAUCAUUAAAGGUUGCUAUAUUUAAGUAACUAUAUUAACUAAUUAUAAAAUACUAACCUUUGAAUUAAACAUUUCUCUCAGACCUUGCUUUUGUCUUGUUAUCUCUUCAAGUUGAAUGAAAUGAGUUGCAAAUCGAGUAAGAGCGGGUCGAAGUAUUUGUUUCCCUUGUGUAUACUUCUUUAUCAAAUCAAUAGUCCAAAUGUGAUUAUAUAUAAAGCAAGUCACUUUCUUUGCCUCAUCUAACACUUUUGCUACACUGGACUUUUUCCCAAUAUCUUCAAGGCAUAAAUCUAAAUAGUGAGCUACACAUGAGGUCCAAUAUAGAUGUUUUCUUUUCAACAUUAAUUUUUUUCCAGCAGCUUUCAUUGCCGCCUCAUUAUCAUUAACUAUUUGGACAAUGUAAUUUUCUCCAAUUUCUUCUACAACUGAAUCUAACAAAUUGUAGUAGAAUUCAACAUCUCUACUUCGAACACUUGAGACAUCUACCGAUUUCCAAAAAAUGGUUCCUUUACUGCAAUAAAUAAGGAAGUUAAUGAUGUGCAUUUGAUUCAAACUGUUGGUCCAACCAUCACACAUUAGAGUUGCACCCAAUUCUUUCCAAUGAGUCUUUAGUCCAUUUACACAAUCACGAACUCGUUGAUACUCUGACUCCAAACACACAUCUGAAACCUCAUAGGGUGUUAGGAGCUUUACACCUUGUCCAACUUCUGUUGACACUUGAAUUAAGUUAUACAACCAUAGAGAGCUUGCUAAUUGAAAAGGAAGUCUUUCAUAUAUUAAAAAAUCUAGAUACCGCUUCACCUAUCUUCCUUCGAAAACUCUUUAAAAAAGAGUCAUUGACCUUUGGUUGCUUUGAACUUUUGCUUCUAACCAAUUCAGGUAUAGCUCCCCUUAAGGUAAACUUAGACUCGCUUGAGAUGGAUUUACUUGUUCUUUCUCUAUGAUAUUCUCUACCUGAUCCAUGAGAAGAUCGACCUUCUUCAUACAUGUUAUUCCAACCACCAGUACUUCGUCUGAAUUCUUCCCUUUUAUGCCACUCGUGUUGUGAUUGGAUACUUUCUCGAGUUGCUUGCCUUAUAGCAGAAACCUCAUCAAUGAAUUCCUUGUGUUCAUUCUCCUCUUCUCUUAAUUAAGAUAAGAAUUCAUCUUUUCUCCUUUUUUUGUCUAUUUUUGUAACACCCCCUAACCCCAAACCGUCGCCGGAACAGGGCUACGAGGCAUUACCGGAUAUAUCAGACAACUUAUGGAUAUUUUACAAUUAUUAUAACAUUAAUAGUAUAAUUGAAGAAUUAUGUCCCUAUAAUAGACUUUCAAAGCCCAACACAAGUAUUAAAGUGGAAUGGAACGGGACUUGUUCGAGUAUUCAGAGAUUUUUUUUUUACAAAAAUUUCGACAGCAUUUCUUCUUAAUUUUUACAUAAAACCCCCUGCAAAUUCAAACCAAAAACCAAACUAAUCCAAAACCAAUGGCACAAUCAAAAACAAUUUAAACCUAAAUAUAUCUAAAUAAUAACCAAUUCAUUAACAUAGUCAUUUAAUAACUAAACAUUCAUAAUAUUAAUCCAAAUUAACUAAUAACUUCACUUAUUUUUCAUUCCAACUUAAUACCAAAUUAUAUAAUAUAAUAUUCACCAUUUUAUCAAACUAAUAACAAAAUAUGGUAUACCAUUCUUAUAACCAACAUUGCAAGCAUAUCUAUAUAACUUAUACAACACCUAGUACAUGCCACUUUCAAUUAAGAAAGAAAACGUCACCCAAAAUUUGUUGGAGUCGGGAUCGUUCAGAUGCUGGAUCGAGGUACUAGACUCCUAUUAACCUGCGCACGGAAACAACCGCACGCUGAGUAUUCCAUACUCAGUGGUAUUACCAUAAUUCAAAUUAUAAUAGCAAUAAUUACCAAACAUGUAACUAUCUAAUUUCACAAAUAUCAAUUCAUUCUUAAACUUUCAUUAAUUAAUAAUAACGAUACAAUUUUUAGCUAUUCUUCAGUUUCCAUCACAUAUUACAUGUAACAAUUUCAAUCAAUACAUGAACAUUAAGUUCAUGCCUUUCAUUUUCAAUAUCAAUUUCAAUCCACUAUUCAACUUUUUCGUUUCUUUCAAUAUUUCAAUAAUAUAAUCAAUCAAUUUAUUUUAAAUUUCUCAUUUUAGAUAUUCACCCUAUUAACAAAUCCGGACUUUGACAGAUACACGGAUUCCAACCCAACACACCAGUAUGGCACAUUCUGCCUAAAACGGUACACAGUACCUGAUCAGUAUACGACACAUAAAGUGCCUAAAACGACACACGAGGUGCCUGAUAUGACACACGAGGUGCCUGAAAUACGACACAUAAAGUGCCUGAUCAGUAAAGCAGGCAAAUUCCGGUACACUUCCAGAUCCUAUGGCAUGCCAAUUAUAUCCGACUUAGCCCGACUAGUUAAUAGGGUAUUUCAAUUCUCAAUUCACUUUCAUUUCCAUUCCAAGAUUACUUUUCAAUUAAAAUUUUCACAUUCAAAUCAAUUUACAAUUCAAUUAUACAUACACAUUCAACAUUCAAUUCAAUUCUCAUUCAACUCAAAUAUCAAUACUUACCUUAUAAUUCACUUAUUAAAUAUAGAAUUGAUAUAAAACAUUUAAUAAAAAUUAAUUUGAAUUAUAGUAAUACAAACCGUAAAUUUCUCGUUUUAAUCCUCGAUAGCUUUCUCCUUUCCUUUGUGCGCCGAUGUCUUGGGUUCUUUGUUAACUACGAAAAUAAUAAUAAUUUAUAAUCAUCAAUAUAACACAAUCCAAUUUAAUCCAUGAGCCUAAACAUGCAAAUUUAACCAUUUUUAUGCAUAUAAUUCCACUAUUUACUUAUAUGUUCAUUCAAAGCUAUCUACUUGAGUCAUUGUUACUAAAUCAUUUAUAUCUUGAGUUCGGAAACUCCAAAUUAAGAUACACUAAUUUUCCCUGAAACAAGACUCACAUAUCUUCUUACCAUAAAAUUUUUAGAAUUUUUGGUUUAGUCAAUAAGUACAAUUUAUUCUUUAAAGUUUCCCCUGUUCUGCUGUCAAACAGUUCCGACCAUUCUUCACUAAAAAUUAAUUAUCUCCUUGUAAAAGAUUCGAACGAUGUUACUGUUUAAUUAUAUUGAAAAUAGAUUCAAUAAGGAUUUUAAACAUAUAAAUUCAAACCCAUAAUUAUUUUUGUACAAUUUUUAAUAAUUUUUCAAAGUUAGAACAGGAGAACCCGAAUUCAUUCUGAUCUUGUCUCACCAAACUUAUAAUAUAUCAUGAUUUAUAAUUCCGUUGCUUAAAGCGUUUCUUCUAUAAGAAACUAGACUCAAUAAGAUUUAAUUACAUAUUCUUUCUCAUUCUCUAGUUCUAUUUAUACAAUUUUUUUGUGAAUUUUCAAAAUCAGAACACUACCACUGCCCAAGACUGUUUUGUAAAAAAUGUUAAUAACCAAAUUUACAACACCAAUUCACACUUUAUUUCUAUUCAAAUUUCAUUUAAACUCAAUUUUAGCUAUUAAAUUUUCAACAUAUUUUCCUAAUUUCAAAUUUUUCUCAAUUUAGUCCCUAAAACACAUAACUUAUAGUUUACUUUACAUUUCAAUCUCUAUUCUAACUUAAUUUCAUUCAAUUAAACCCUUAUUUCAUCAUUUUGUUCAUCAUGAACUUUGUUUAAAAACUUAAAAACUUCUAAACUACUAACUUAAUUCUAUCAAAACCUUGUUUUAAUACUUUUAGAACAUCAAAAUUAAGAGAAAAGGACAUGAUUGAACUUACCAAUUAAACUCCAAGCUUCAAAAACCCUAUUUCCCAUUUUCUCUCUUUUAUUUUCUUUUUUCCUUCCCCUGCUCGAAUGCUUUCUGUUCUCUUUUCUCUAUUCUUUUUGUUUCUUUUCUUUAUUCUGUUUCUUUUAUUCACUUUAGUUACUAAUAAUAUAUAAUAAUAAUUUAUUAUUUAUUUUUUUACCAUCCACUUGUCAAAAUUAUACUAUAUAACCAAGUAAAAAUCUUAGAUUUUUACUCCUUUUGUCGCCUCAUCUUCCCAAAUAGGCUUAAUUCCCUAUUUGGUCCUUAUUAUUUCCUACUAAUUUAUAAUUAAACUUUUACUCCUUAUUCAAUUUAGUCAUUUUUACUAAUUACUCUAAAUUAAGCUAAAUUCACCUAAUUUAAACCUAAUUAAACACAUCGCUAAACUCAUAAAUAUUUCUAGUAAUUAUUUCGAACUCGAUUUACUAAGACGGAGGCCCGUUAAUGUACUUUUCCGAUGCACGUGAAUUUUGGGUCAUUACAUUUCUCCCCCUUAAUAAAUUUCGUCUUCGAAAUUUACCUGAGAAUAGAUGAGGAUAUUGUGCUCUCAUCGUUUCUUCUAUACUAUGACUCCUCCAUAACACUUUUACUAGAGGGACCCGUUUAUUUCUCAGCUCUUUUACUUCUCGAGCUAAUAUCUGAACCGGCUCUUCUUCAUAAGUCAAAUCAGACCGAAUUUCAAUAUUUUCAGUAGGAAUAAUGUGGGAAGGAUCUGAUCUAUAUCUCCGGAGCAUCGAAACAUGAAAAACAUCAUGAAUUUUCUGUAAUUCUGGAGGUAAAGCUAGUCGGUAGGCAACAGGCCCAAUUCUUUCCACAAUCUCAUACGGCCCAAUAAAACGUAGACUUAACUUACCCUUUCGUCCAAAUCUCAAAACUUUCUUCCAAGGUGAUACUUUGAGGAAUACUUUAUCACCAACAGAAUAUUCAAUGUCUCGCCGUUUCAAGUCUGCAUAUGAUUUCUGCCUAUCAAAGGCUGCUUUCAAUCUAUCUUUAAUCUUCUUAACUAUUUCUUCUGUUUCUUGAAUCAAUUCUGGCCCAAUCAUUUUUCUUUCAUUCAAUUUUGUCCAACAUACCGGUGAUCGACACCUUCGACCAUAUAAUGCUUCAUACGGAGCCAUUUGAAUACUAGAUUGAAAACUAUUGUUAUAGACAAAUUCAGAUAAUGGCAAAUAACGUUCCCAACCUGAUUCAAAAUCAAUGAUACAAGCCCGAAGCAUAUCUUCUAAUAUCUGUAUUACCCGUUCGGACUGUCCAUCUGUUUGUUGAUGAAAGGCCGUACUAAAGUUAAGUCGAGUACCCAAUGAUUCAUGUAGCUGUCUCCAAAAUCUCGAUGUGAACUGAGGAUCUCGAUCUGAGAUUAUUGACACCGGAAUACCAUGUAAUCUAACAAUUUCUCGAAUAUACACUUCUGUAAGCUUCUGCAAUGACCAAUCUGUUCUAACAGCUAUAAAGUGAGCUGAUUUUGUAAGCCGAUCAACAAUUAGCCAAAUAGCAUUCUUUUUACUUACCGACAAUGGCAAUCCUGUAACAAAAUCCAUUGUAAUACGAUCCUAUUUCCACUCAGGAAUGCUAAUAGGCUGAAGUAAUCCAGUAGGAACUUGAUGUUCUGCCUUUACUCGCUUACAUGUCAAACAUUUACUAACAUAUUCAACUAUGUCCCUUUUCAUUCCAGGCCACCAAUAUAAUUCUCGUAAAUCACAAUACAUCUUCGUUCCACCAGGGUGCAAAGCAAAAGCACUAUCAUAUGCUUCUAGAAGAAUUAACUCUUUUAGUUCAGAAGUAGCUGGAACACAAACUCAAUUUUGAAACCUCAAACAAUCAUGCCCGUCAAUACUAAAACUCUUGGUUGUACCAUUCUGAACCAUUUCUCUUUUCUUCAAUAAUCUAUCAUCUUUCAUCUGAGCUGGUCUAAUCUGAUCAAACAUCAUCGGCUUAACCCUUAAUUCAGCUAGCAAGCUUCCAUCAUCAUUAAUACUAAGUCGAGCAAAUAUUGCCCUUAAUUCCCCCACUGCUUUUCUACUUAAUGCAUCAGCUACCACAUUCGCCUUUCCCGGGUGGUAAUCUAUAAUACAAUCAUAAUCUUUCAGAAGUUCGAUCCACCGUCUUUGUCUUAAAUUCAACUCCUUCUGUGACAGAAGAUAUUUAAGACUUUUGUGAUCCGUGUAAAGGUAGCAUUUUUCACCAUAUAGGUAAUGCCUCCAAAUCUUUAAAGCAAAAAUUACUGCAGCUAGCUCCAAGUCGUGCGUCGGGUAAUUAUAUUCAUGUGUUUUUAAUUGUCGAGAUGCAUAAGCUACGACCUUCUCAUCUUGCAUCAAUACACAGCCCAGACCGCUCAGAGAAGCAUCACUAUACAUGACAAAAUCUUUUCCCGACUUUGGUAAUGUUAAUACCGGUGCCUCUGUCAACAUUCGCUUCAAAGUCUCAAAACUCUUCUGGCACUGAUCAUCCGAGAUAAAAGGAACAUUCUUUUGCAGUAGUUAGUAAUUGGUAGUGCUAUCUUUGAGAAUCCAUUUACAAACCUCCUGUAAUACCCAUCUAAACCGAGAAAACUGCGUACCUCUGAUACAUUCUUGGGUGGUUUCCAUUGGACAAUCGCUUCAAUCUUCUUUGGAUCAACCCGAAUUCCGUCUGCAGAUACUACAUGUCCCAGAAAUACAACCUCUGAUAACCAGAAUUCACAUUUACUGAGCUUUCCAUACAACUGUUUCUCUCGCAAAAUCUGUAGAACUAUUCGAAGAUGCUGAUCAUGUUCUGCCUCUGUCUUCGAAUAUACCAAUAUAUCAUCAAUAAAAAUCACCACAAACUGAUCUAAAUACGGCUGAAAAAUGCGGUUCAUCAAAUCCAUGAAAGCAGCUGGGGCAUUGGUCAACCCAAACGGCAUCACUAAAAAUUCAUAAUGGCCAUAACGAGUACGAAAGGCAGACUUAGGCACAUCACUUUCCUUCACCUUUAGUUGAUAAUACCCGGAUCUCAAAUUAAUUUUUGAAAAUACUGAAGCUCCCUUAAGUUGAUCAAACAAAUCAUCUAUACGAGGCAACGGAUACCGAUUCUUGAUCGUCACUUUAUUCAACUGUCGAUAAUCAAUGCAUAACCGCAUAGAGCCAUCUUUCUUUUUAACAAACAACACUGGAGCUCCCCAGGGUGAAAUGCUUGGUCUAAUAAAUCCACGAUCUAGUAAAUCCUGUAACUACAUCUUUAACUCUUUCAACUCAGUGGGCGACAUUCGAUACGGAGGUAUAGAGAUUGGUGCUGUACCCGGAUACACUUCAAUAGCAAAUUCAACCUCUCUGUUAGGUGGUAAUCCCGGCAAUUCUUCAGGAAAUACAUCUGAAAACUCACAUACGGUCCUGAUCUGACUACACUGACUUCCAACUGAAUCAAAAUUAAUAACAUAUGCCAAAUAUGCUGAACAAUCCUGCUGAAGCAAUUUAUUAGCUUUCAUCACCGAAAUGAUGUGUGUCGGACUACUGGUACAGAUGCCACUUACUUCAACUCUGUCCCCAUCUUCUGUCUGAAUACUAAACCUCUUUUUGUAACAAUCCAAAAUCACCUCAUAUUCGGAUAACCAAUCCAUGCCCAAUAUUAUAUCAAAGUCCCCAAAUGGCAUAAUCAACAAGUCAACCGAAAAAGUUUUAUUCUGUAUAAUCAACGGGCAUCUUAGACAGACCUGAUUCACUAACACUGUUUGCCCCAAUGGACUCGACACCUCAAUAGACACUCUAGACAUUUCGGAUUUUAAUUUUCUCAACUCAACUAAAUUUGAAUUAAUGUAAGAAUGUGCAGAUCUAAGAUCAAUUAAAGCAUAAACAAGCUCAGAAUACAGUAAAAAUAUACUCGUUACCACAUCACGGGCAUCACCUUCUUCACGAGUUUUGACCACAUAAGUUCUAGCUGGUAUUCUGGCUUCAGACUGCUGAGUAAUAAUAUCACUACUCCUUCUACCAGCUCCUCCUCUGGCAAUCGAACUACCUCUACCUAGACUUCUGCCUCGAGCAGUAGAUACUGAUUUCUGUGAUGUGACAGGAGUAUCAUUUUUAUUCUUCGGACAGUCUUUAACAAAAUGCUCCGUCGACCCACAACGGAAACAACCUCCGGUCACUUUCCAACAUUCACCCAAAUGUCUCUUUCCACAAUGUCCACAUUCUUGAAUGUCCACAUCUCGAGUUGGACCUCGUAUACUACCAGUAGAUACCGUCGUUUGUUUUCCCUGGCUUCUUCCACCUCUAUCUGAUCUAAAACUGAAUCUCCAACCACCCUGAAAUUCUUUUGGUCUUUUCGGCUGAGGGUUCCAACUGGUAGUUCCCGUACGCUUCCCAGCUGGUCGAACACUUUGAGUCUUUUUAUUAAAGCCCAACACUUGUUCUACCAUUUUAGCUCGCUCAAUCAAAUCUACCAUUUCAGUAAUACGUUGAGAUACCAACUGUAAUUUGAUCUCAUCUCGUAGACCCCGUAAAAAUCUCUUACAACUAUCAGCUUCAGUUGGAAUAAACUCUGAGGCAUAUCUACUUAGUCUCGAGAAUUCCCUCUCAUAGUCUAUUACUGACAUGUCAACCUGUUGUAACAUCAAAAACUCUUGUUUCUUGUCUUCGAUGUACAUUUCUCCGAUAUAUUUCUUUUGAAACUCUUUCUGAAAUAGAUCCCAAGUUAUCUGAUUCUCUGGUAAAUGUUGAACCACUGAUUCCCACCAUAAGGAAGCUUCUUCUUGUAACAAUGAUACAGCACAAAUCAAACACUCUCGAGGGGUACAAUCUAAUUGUCGUAAAAUUCUUUUAGUCGACUCCAUCCAAUUUUUAGCUACAGAUGGAUCGACUCUUUUCAGACCCAUAAAUUCAUUGGCACCAUACUUUCUCAAUUCCUUUAUCGGGGCCCAUCUUUGAAUUGGAACUGAAGUCAUAGCAGGAACAAUUUCCACUAUUCUUUGUAGUGCAUCGGAAAUUUUUCUAUUUGUAUCAGAAUCAUCUCUAUCAUUUCUUCUUUCUGCUCUAGGAGGUUGGUUUCUCAUCGGGUUAAUACUAGGUGUUACCGAUUCAGUUUCAUCUAACCCGUAAGAUUCUUCUUCUCCAGUAUGCAUUUCUUCAUCAGUAUCAUUUAUUCUUUCAUCCGACAUCUUUAAUCUAUAAAACAAAACAAAUAAAUAGAUCAGAAUCCAAAAAUCCCGACUCAAUUUUGACUCAAAAGUGGCAUGUACUUCUAGACUCAAUUUCGAGCUCGGUAUAGCCCGAGAAUCAGCUAAACCUGAUAGCUCUGAUACCAACAAGUGUAACACCCCCUAACCCCAAACCGUCGCCGGAACAGGGCUACGAGGCAUUACCGGAUAUAUCAGACAACUUAUGGAUAUUUUACAAUUAUUAUAACAUUCAUAGUAUAAUUGAAGAAUUAUGUCCCUAUAAUAGACUUUCAAAGCCCAACAAAAGUAUUAAAGUGGAAUGGAACGGGACUUGUUCGAGUAUUCAGAUUUUUUUUUUUACAAAAAUUUCGACAGCAUUUCUUCUUAAUUUUUACAUAAAACCCCCUGCAAAUUCAAACCAAAAACCAAACUAAUCCAAAACCAAUGGCACAAUCAAAAACAAUUUAAACCUAAAUUUAUCUAAAUAAUAACAAUUCAUUAACAUAGUCAUUUAAUAACUAAACAUUCAUAAUAUUAAUCCAAAUUAACUAAUAACUUCACUUAUUUUUCAUUCCAACUUAAUACCAAAUUAUAUAAUAUAAUAUUUACCAUUUUAUCAAACUAAUAACAAAAUAUGGUAUACCAUUCUUAUAACCAACAUUGCAAGCAUAUCUAUAUAACUUAUACAACACCUAGUACAUGCCACUUUCAAUUAAGAAAGAAAACGUCACCCAAAAUUUAUUGGAGUCGGAAUCGUUCAGAUGCUGGACCGGGGUACUAAACUCCUAUUAACCUGCGCACGGAAACAACCGCACACUGAGUAUUCCAUACUCAGUGGUAUUACCAUAAUUCAAAUUAUAAUAGCAAUAAUUACCAAACAUGUAACUAUCUAAUUUCACAAAUAUCAAUUCAUUCUUAAACUUUCAUUAAUUAAUAAUAACGAUACAAUUUUUAGCUAUUCUUCAGUUUUCAUCACAUAUUACAUGUAACAAUUUCAAUCAAUACAUGAACAUUAAGUUCAUGCCUUUCAUUUUCAAUCUCAAUUUCAAUCUACUAUUCAACUUUUUCGUUUCUUUCAAUAUUUCAAUAAUAUAAUCAAUCAAUUUAUUUUAGAUUUCUCAUUUUAGAUAUUCACCCUAUUAACAAAUCCGGACUUUGACGGAUACACGGAUUCCAACCCAACACACCAGUACGACACAUUGUGCCUAAAACGGUAAAUAGUACCUGAUUAGUAUACGACACAUAAAGUGCCUAAAACGACACACGAGGUGCCUGAUACGACACACGAGGUGCCUGAAAUACGACACAUAAAGUGCCUGAUCAGUAAAGCCGGCAAAUUCCGGUACACUUCCAGAUCCUAUGGCAUGCCAAUUAUAUCCGACUUAGCCCGACUAGUUAAUAGGGUAUUUCAAUUCUCAAUUCACUUUCAUUUCCAUUCCAAGAUUACUUUUCAAUUAAAAUUUUCACAUUCAAAUCAAUUUACAAUUCAAUUAUACAUACACAUUCAGCAUUCAAUUCAAUUCUCAUUCAACUCAAAUAUCAAUACUUACCUUAUAAUUCACUUAUUAAAUGUAGAAUUGAUAUAAAACAUUUAAUAAAAAGUAAUUUGAAUUAUUGUAAUACAAAUCGUAAAUUUCUCGUUUUAAUCCUCGAUAGCUUUCUCCUUUCCUUUGUGCACCGAUGUCUUGGGUUCUUUGUUAACUAUGAAAGUAAUAAUUGUUUAUAAUCAUCAAUAUAACAAAAUUCAAUUUAAUCCAUGAGCCUAAACAUGCAAAUUUAACCAUUUUUAUACAUAUAAUUCCACUAUUUACUUAUAUAUUCAUUCAAAGCUGUCUACUUGAGUCAUUGUUACUAAAUCAUUUAUAUCUUGAGUUCGGAAACUCCAAAUUAAGAUCCACUAAUUUUCCCUGAAACUAACUCACAUAUCUUCUUACCAUAAAAUUUUUAGAAUUUUUGGUUUAGUCAAUAAGUACAGUUCCGACCAUUCUUCACUAAAAAUUAAUUAUCUCCUUGUACAAGAUUCGAACGAUGUUACUGUUUAAUUAUAUUUAAAAUAGAUUCAAUAAUGAUUUUAAACAUAUAAAUUCCAACCAAUAAUUAGUUUUGUACAAUUUUUAAUAAGUUUUCAAAGUUAAAACAGGAGAACCCGAGUUCAUUCUGAUCUUGUCUCACCAAACUUAUAAUAUAUCAUGAUCUAUAAUUCCGUUGCUUAAACCGUUUCUUCUAUAAGAAACUAGACUCAAUAAGAUUUAAUUACAUAUUUUUUCUAAUUCUCUAGUUCUAUUUAUACAAUUUUUUUUGUGAAUUUUCAAAAUCAGAACACUACCACUGCCUAAGACUGUUUUGUGAAAAAUUUUAAUAACCAAAUUUACAACACCAAUUCACACUUUAUUUCUAUUCAAAUUUCAUUUAAACUCAAGUUUAGCUAUUAAAUUUUCAACAUAUUUUCCUAAUUUCAAAUUUUUCUCAAUUUAGUCCCUAAAACACAUAACUUAUCGUUUACUUUACAUUUCAAUCUCUAUUCUAACUUAAUUUCAUUCAAUUAAACCCCUAUUUCAUCAUUUUGUUCAUCAUGAACUUUGUUUAAAAACUUAAAAACUUCUAAACUACUAACUUAAUUCUAUCAAAACCUUGUUUUAAUACUUUUAGAACAUCAAAAUUAAGAGAAAAGGACAUGAUUGAACUUACUAAUUAAACUCUAAGCUUCAAAAACCCUAUUUCCCCUUUUCUCUCUUUUAUUUUCUUCUUUCCUUCCCCUGCUCGAAUACUUUUGUUCUCUUUUCUCUAUUCUUUUUGUUUCUUUUCUUUAUUCUGUUUCUUUUAUUCACUUUAGUUAUUAAUAAUAUAUAAUAAUAAUUUAUUUAUUUAUUUUUUUUACCAUCCAUUUGUCAAAAUUAUACUAUAUAACCAAGUAGAAAUCUUAGAUUUUUACUCAUUUUGCCGCCUCAUCUUCCCAAAUAGGCUUAAUUCCCUAUUUGGUCCUUAUUAUUUCCUACUAAUUUAUAAUUAAACUUUUACUCCUUAUUCAAUUUAGUCAUUUUUACUAAUUACUCUAAAUUAAGCUAAAUUCACCUAAUUUAAACCUAAUUAAACACAUCGUUAAACUCAUAAAUAUUUCUAGUAAUUAUUUCGAACUCGAUUUACUAAGACGGAGGCCCGUUAAUGUACUUUUCUGAUGCACGUGAAUUUUGGGUCAUUACAAUUUUCUUUGUGUUGCUUUUUUUCAGUAUAUUCAUCAUACUUUCUCUAAUGACACCUGUCAAUAAAAUAAAAAUAAUUCACACUUUAUAUUAUUAUCAAUUAUAUAUAAUCUUUAUUGAUAAAUUUACAAUAACAUUUAAAAAUAAUAGUAAAGUAUCACAUACCACUAACAUUAGGGCAUGGUGCAACAUUGACGAUUUUAUGAGCAAUGUGCUCUUUAAAUCUUUUUAUUCCUCCUUUCACAACUUUUCCACAAAGUUUACAUAUGAUAUUUCCUUUCGCAUUUGGCAUUGGAGUUCCAAAGUGCCAAUCUGUAUCAUUACUUGGUGCACCCUCCAAUCCUUUAGUCGGGAACCCUUCACGUGGUGGCAUGUUUUAUUUUUAUUUUUGUAUAAGAAACAUAAAAUUAUAUUUAGAAAUAUAAGCAACUCAUUACUUAUAUUAUCAACAAUAUAAUACAAAAAAAAAGUAAACAUCAUUAACAUGGAAAAUUUAAAUUUAUUGCAUAAUCCAUACAUAAUUUAUUUAUUUAUUUUGAAAACAACAAUACACCAUAACCCAUUGUUACUUGGUUCCAAAGUUUUUGUUAUAAACAGUUUGUUUUGUUCCAUCUUAAUAAAAUUUAAAUUCAAAUUGGAUCAAAUUUAAAAAUUCAAGUUUUUCAUAUUAUGCAAACUAAAAUCAAUAGAGAUUUAUCUAAUGUUGAAUUGAAGUCAUUUAUCGGAUUUGAAAAAAAAAAACACAAUGAAUUAAUUUUUCUUGAUUUUUUACCUUCUAUAAUACAAGCCAUAAGUGAUGGAGGCUAUAAAUUUUUCAUUAAUUUUUUGUGUCAUAACCUUAAGCAAACCCCAAGCAACAGAGGUUAUAAUUUUUCAUUAAUUUUGUGUGUAACCCUAAACAAACCCUGAGUAAUGAAAGUUAUGAAAUUUUAAAAUAAUAAUAAUAAAUAAUAAAAAUUAUCAUUAUAAAUUAUAAUUACAAUAUUAAUUAAAAAAUAACAUAUAAAGUCGAUUGAGUCUAAGCUUAAUUGGUAUGAAUAUUAUUGUCAGUGCAGAAAUAUAUAAGUUUAAAUGUGCUGAAAUGCAUUAUUCUUGUAUUUAAAAGUCGAGAAGAACUAUAGAUAGUUCUAAAUAUUCUCUUAACAAUCAAUAUGAUAAAAAAGAAUUAUUCAAAAAAGCUGUUCGUAUUCCUUCUCAUCUAAUUUGAAAUGUACCUUUGCCACGUUGGAUAUGAUUUAAGUAUACGUAUAUGGAACAUACAUGUAUUAAAGAAAUUAUUAUUAAAUUAAUCAGAAUAUAUAGAUUAUCACGUUCUUUUUCUCUUCUUCUCGAAUUAAGUUAACUACACCUCGAUUAGCCCAACCCUCUAUGUAUUAAUUGAUACACCUAAUUAAUUAAAAGUAUCCCUAGAUUCCUAAUUAAAGUAUAAUGGUAAAUUUUCUGAUCAUUAAAAUCCUAAAUAUAUUCUUCAAAAAAAAUAAAAAAAUCCUAUAUAUAUAUAACAAAUUAACAAUGCAAUUCAUGGAUAAUUAAACUCAAUUUCAAUGAAAAAUAAAAUAAAAUUAAAAAAAUAACAUAGUUGAACUGAACUGAAUGGAUAAGGUUAUGGCUGAAGAUAAAAACUUUGAAACAAAAAUAUAAUGUAAAGUCUCAUUAAUUUUAUUUUUAAAAAAAUUCAUGACAUCAACCAAUAUAUUAAUCAAAUAAUAGAGUUUGAAGAAACUUGAAAUUAUAAAUAAAGAUAUAGUCAAAACUCAAAAUAGUUGAGAUCUUUCCCUUGUAAACAAACCGUCAAACCCUAUUUCUUAUUCAAACACUCAUGGGUAGCUCUUUUUCCCCUUUUAUGGUCCUUUUCUUUUGGUUUUAAAAAAACCCAAUUCUUAUAUUCUUUUCUUAAAUUUCUUUUUGCAAUGGGAUGUUAUAGUUAUUGAUUUUUCUAUGUUCUUUCUUCAAUAUUUUUGUCGGAACCGCAUUUUAUUAUGCAUUUUAAACGUCUGUAAAGAAGCAUUUGGUCGUCGACUCGUCUCCUCAAAGUUGUUGGUAUAGAUGUUGUGGAGAUGGCUCUUUGGGCUAAGGUGAGUGGCCAUGCUUUAAACGUGCUUUCACUCGCUUACAUGCUUUAAACCCCAACCAAGGAUUUAAAUAGCGAAACCCCUCUGUUCUUAAAUCCCUAAAGUCUAAACUUUAAAGAACAUAUUUGGCAUUUGCACUGCAGAAUGCAAAUUCAAGACAUGCAAGCAAGAAUCAAGACACAAUUUCAGUUUUUAGGUACUUACUUGGAUUUUGUUUGAUAAAUUCCUCCGAUCCGGUGUUGUAUUUUGUUUGCCAUUUGGUCUUUGGACUUUGGAGUUUACGGUCUAAACUCUAAACUGAAAUAUGAGAAAUAAAAUUUCAUAUUUUCUAUUGCUUUUGAGUUUUGAUUGCUUUUUUCUGUUUAUUUGGACUUCUUUUUACUUUUUUUGAUUGAAAACUCUUUCAUUUUGCAUGUAGGGGAAUAUAUUCCCUUUUGUUUUAUUCUGUUUCUGUUGAUUUUUGUUUAGAGGAGAUGAAUUUCUUUAUUUAUUUAAUGUAACGGAAAAUAACGGGAAUAGCGGCCCGUUAUUGCCGCAAUUGGCCGUUACCCAUUAAAUUGCAGCCGCGAUCCACCACUAUCAGUGUGACUCCGCUUCACAUCGCUAUUUUCAACAAUAGCGGUUUUGGACGGCGCCGCUACCGCUAUAUAACGGCCGCUAUUCUGAUACCGGACCACUAUUUAAAUCCCUGGUUAAGCCUUACAACUCCACAGAAAACUAUGCAAUUGAUUGUGGUUCUUCCGGGAAUAGAGAGUCUUUCAAUAGUUGUUAUUGGAUAGGAGAUGGCAAUGGAAAAUUCAGCUUCAUAGAGCAACAAAACAAAUCAUCAGUGAUUAACGCUAUAUCUAAAGAAGUUGAUAAGCUCCCCUACUCCACAGCUCAUCCUUCUUACUCAUAGUUCACCUAUUCUAUUCCCCUCUCUCCUGGUCCAAAAUUCAUUCGCUUGCACUUCUAUCCAAUUUCAUAUACAGGCUUUGACGACCCUUCUAAGAAAGCUAUCUUCUCUGUUCAAGCUGGUACUUUUAUCCUUCUCCAGAAUUCCAGUGCUUUGUUUCAUGCUCGAGGUGAAGUUACAGUUGUCAAAGAAUUUUGUGUAAACGUUGAUCAAGGUCAAAGAUUCAACUUAACCUUCACUCCUACUCCUGAAAUCACUAAUUCUUAUGCUUUCAUGAAUGGUAUCAAAGUUGUUUCCAUGCCAACCAAUCUACAUUAUACACCAGAGAGUGAUGAAGGGGUACCUUUUUUAGGCCAGGCCUAGUGAAGAUUGUACACCCCAGGAAACAAUGCUGCCCUUGAGAAGAUGUGUUGGCGUUAUUAGCAUAAAGCUAAGAAGAAAAACAAAGAAAAAUGAAUACAAAGAAAGUUUGAACAAGAAGAAAACUAAAAUUCUAAACUUGUAUCAAAUUUCAUUGAUUGAAAAAUAUAAAUUACAAGGCAGUUACCUAAUAUGUAACUGCUCCCACUAAUACAUGACUAAACUUAGCUUAAAUUACAUACAAAAGAGGCUGACAUAUCAACCAUUACAUCAAAUUCAAAUCAUCAACAAAUCCUACUAACUUUAAAGUCAAAUUACAAAGCAACUAAGGAAGUUACAAAUGAACAAAAUAAACAAAAUGCUUGUAACAACCUAAUUUUCAGUGGUGUCGAAAAAAGUGAUUUGAGAUCACUAAAUCCGAUGGGUAAAUUUUAAAAAUUUAGUAAAUUAAUAUUUAUGAGUCAAAUGUGAAUUUAGAAAUAAUUUUGAAUUAGUGAAUUUUUUGAAUUAAAAGAAUUUAUUAGAUAAAUUGGGUUGAAAAAGAGGUAUCGAGACCUCGAAUUCAUAAAUCGAGCCAUAAAUAUUUUUUAGAAAUAUUUAUGGAGUGUCAUUGAGUUAGUAUUAAAGUUUCGUUAGGAAAUUUUAACGUUUUGAUAGUUAAUUAAUUAAAAAGGACUGAAUUGAAAAAGGUGAAAAUUUGUCAAUUAAAGAAAUAGGGAUUAAAUAGCUUAAAUGGUAAGUAAGGGAGGAUCAAAAGGGUAAUUAGACACCCAUGGAAUAGUUGGAUGGCAUGUGUGAAGAGGAAAACAACAAAACUAGUGUGAACAAGGGGCAAAAUUGGAAAAGAAAUAAAAUUAAAUAGAUAAAGGUGGACUAAAUUGAAUCUCUAGACAUUUUUUUCAUUUUUCUUCAGCUAAAAACAUCAUUAAAGAGUCUUCCUAAGCUGGUUUUUCAUAUUCUUGUUACAAAUCAAGAGUAUAAAGAAAAUCGAGGAAAAGAAAAAUUAUCCGACUAGUCCCUGAAUCUUUACAAAUUCUACAAAUUAGCCCCGAUAAGUUCAUAUGGUUGAAUUUUAUGAUUGAUUGUUAAAUUUAGAGAUUAUAUAAUGUAUUAUUUCAUAUCAUUUUUUUAUGGAAUCAUGAUUAUUGUGAUAAAAGGAAAAUCAAAACAAAAGUUCAAAUUUAGUAGAACGCAUGAUUGAGUACAAUCGUUUUGUGAUUAGUGAUGAAUUGAAAGAAUAAGACCAUGACAAAGUGUGGAAUGUAAGACCAUAGCGCUAUGACAUUUCAGUAAAAAGACCAUAAUUGGGUUAUGGCAUUGUGAACGAAAGACCAUGGUUGGACCAUGGUAGUAUAUGUGUGUACGUGUAAAACCAUAGUUGGGCUAUGGCUUCGUAAUAAAGUGAAAGACCAUAGCGGGGCUAUGGCGUUGUGAUAUGUGCAAGACUAUGUCAAGGCCAUGGUAAUAUAUAUGUAAGACCAUAGUUGGACUAUAGCAUUAAGCAAAUGAUGUAAUCAAAUCCGUAAGACGUUCUCUAAUUUGAUAAGAAAUGGUAAGUGUUAUAUGAAUUAAAGUGAUAGAAUUCAAUUAGUUGUGAUAUUGAGCUUAAUCAAGUAAAUUCAUCAUUUGAGAUUGUGAUUGGCAGGAAAUACUAAUGAAAUGCUCUGUUUAAUGUUUUGGGUAAGAUUUAUUUUAAAGCCGAUGAACUUACUAAGCUUUCUUAAGCUUUUUUUUUGUGUGUGUUUAAUGUUAUGUGUAGAUUGACGAGAGUUCGGAGGAUCAGAUCAACAUAUCAAGCCACACUAUCUAGAUAAAUCCUGUAGAUUUUGUUAAAUAUCCUAUGGUUUAUAUGGCAUGUAUAGGAUCGAAUUGAAAGAAAAUAUAUUUGUAAUGGGACUAUGAGUAGUAUAUACAAAUAUUUACAUGUGUAUAUUUAAAAGCAAGUAAUUAGUAGCAUUUUAUAAAAAUUUAAUGUGUGGUAAAUUGGUGCAAAUGAGUUGUGUGAUAAUACAUAAGUCCAAAAAUUGAGUUAUAAUUUGUAUUGGUUGCUUGAUUGAAGUAUUAUUGUAUAUGAAAGUAUUGCAUGCAGGUUGAAUUGUGUAAAGGGCGAGAAAAGUGGCCUUAGAAUGGCCUAUUUUCAUCCAUAUGGGUAGACACACGGGCGUGUGUAUGGUCUAGCACAUGGGUAUGUGGUCUAGCCGUGUAUCCCCUGCAUCUUAAAUUUUAAAAAUAGAAUGCUCAGAUUUAGCACACGAGUAGAGACAUGGGCGUGUGUCUCAGCCGUGUGUGCCACAUGGCCUAGAACACGAGCGUGUGUCUUGGCUGUGUCACUUGGCCGUGUGAGCCACAUAGCCGUGUGACCUAUGUACUUGGCCGUGUGAGCCACAUGACCUACUUACACAGGCGUGUGACCCCUGUACAUGAGAAAAUUUUUUAAAUUUCACGAAAAAUAUCCAACAUUCCCAAUUUAGUACCGACUCGAUCCUAACAUUUAUUUUGGGCCUCGAGGAUCCAUUCUAGGGACGUUGUGAUUAAUAUCGGGAAAUGAAUAGUAAUUAAUAUGAAAUAUCUAUAAUUAUUCUAAAAACUUCAAUAAUACUCCGUAACCCUAUUCUGGCGACGAAUUCAGGUUAGGCGUAUUACAAUGCUGCUGCUCCACUGGUUCAGCUUCAAUGCUGGUCUGCUACUGAUUUCCUAUUGUAUUGCAGGCUAAAGUUCAACACUUUUCCUUGGACUGUAUGCAACAAACACCAAUCUUUCUCCUUAAGACAUUAAAUCUUGUGGCACAAAGAGACUUGGUUAAGAUAUCAGCAAACUGAUUCUCUAAGCUAUAAUGAAUUAGGUUCACUUCCCUUAAUUGUUCAGCCUCUCGAACAAAAUGAAAUUAAUCUUAAAAUGUUUAGUUUUGCCAUGAAAAACAUGAUUUUUGGCUAUGGCAACUAUAGACUGAUUAUCAGUUCUGAUUUCAGUAGCUUCAAUCUGUUCUUCAUUCAAAUCACAUAGCAACUUCCUAAGCCAAAUGGCUUGAUUAACAGCUAUAGUAGUUGCAAUGUACUCUGCUUCUGCUAUUGAUUGAGCAACAGUUUGUUGCUUCUUUGAAAUCCAACAAAAGACCCCUGAGCUAAGAGUAAAGAAGUAGCCAGAAGUGCUCUUCAUAUCAUCAAUAGAACCUGCCCAAUCACUGUCAGAAUAACCAAUCAAUUUGAGCUCUUUUGCCUUCUCAAACUUCAUUCCAUAAUUCAGAAUCCCUUUUACAUAUCUGAGGACUCUUUUAGCUGUUUUAAAAUGGACAAUAUCAUAGCAAUGCAUGAAUCUGGACAGGAGGCUAACACCAAACAUAAUAUCAUAGCAAACAACUUACCAGGCUCCGAUACUCCUUCUUAUCAACCCUUUCAUAACUGCUAUUGUUUUUCACCUUGAGCCAUUGGUGUGCUGACAGUUUUGCAAUUGGACAUACAAAACUUGUUUAAGAUUUUCAGUGCAAAAUUCUGUUGACUUAUGAAGAUAGCUUGGUCAGUUUGAAUUACUUCCUGCUAAGAAAAUAUGUCAUUUCCCCUAAGUCAGUCAUCUAAAAAACAUUCUGCAUUUGCAUUUUGAACUCAUCGAUCAUAUUCCCUUUUCUUCCAAUUACCAACAGGUCAUCCACAUAGAGUGACACAAUCAGUAAAGUUUCAUUCUCUGAUUUCUUUACAUAAAGUGUAGGUUCACUCACAGUUUUCUCGAACCCGAGCCUAGACAGGUAUGCAUCAACCCUGUCAUACCAGUCCCUUGAUGCCUGCUUUAGACCAUACAACGCCUUUUUUAGCUUGUAGACCUUGUUCUCUUCAUUAGGAACUUUGAACCCAUCUGGUUGUUCAAUGAAAAUUUCUUCUUUGAGGAAGCCAUUUAGAAAGGCUGACUUGACAUCCAGCUGGUGUACUCUCUAUUGCUUCUGAGCAGCCAAGGCAAAUAGAAGCUUUAUUGUGCCUAGCCUUGCAACUGGAGCAAAUGUUUCCAUGAAAUCAAUGCCAUACUGCUGGCUGUGUCCCUUCACUACAAGUCUUGCCUUGUGUUUGUUUAAAGAGCCAUCAGUAUUGUACUUGACUCUAAACAUCCAUUUCACAUCAAUAACCCUCUUCUGGUCUGGUCUGUCAACCAAUCCCAAGUGUCAUUUUUGUGAAUCAUCUACAUUUCUACUUUUAUGGGCCUUUUCCAAUACUUUUCUCUGACAGCUUCAUCAAAAUUUGAAGGCUCAACUAUUUCAAUAUCACACAUUUGAUAAAUGUCAACAAUGGUUCUUGUGCCUCUCACAGGUUCAUCAUCAAAGUCAUCACCAAUUGACCCUUCCUCAUCUGGUUCCAGACUGAUGUCUUGCUGAUCUUAUUCACUUAGACUUGCAUCUAUUUCACUCCAAUUCCAUACUCUUCCUUCAUCAAAUUUUACAUCCCUGCUCACAAUGAUCUUUUUUUUUGAAGGAUCAAACACCCUAUAGCCUUUCUUAGUGCUACUGUAACCAACAAAGAUCCCUGACAUAGAUGUUCUUUCAAGUUUGGUUCUCUUUUCAGUUGGAAUGAGAACAUAGUAGACACAACCUAACACCUUUAGGUGUGAAAUUGUUGGCUUGAGUUCAUACCAAGCUUUAAAAGAAGUUUUAUCUUUGACAACAGUAGUAGACAGCCUAUUGAGUAGAUACACUGAAGUGUUUACUGCCUCAGCCUAAAAUUUGCUUGGCAAUUUGCUUUCAAACAGUAAGCAUCUAGCCAUGUCGAGUACUGUUCUAUUCUUUCUUUCACACACUCCAUUCUGCUGAGGAGUGUAAAUGGUUGUUAGCUGAUGGUUAAUUUCAGCUUGCUCACACAACUUCUGAAACUUUUCUGAUAAGUACUCAGUCUCAUUAUCUGGUCUUAAGGCCUUAAUCUUGCAACCUGACUGAUUCUCAGCUAAGGCUUUGAAUUUGUUGAAUGCCUCAAAUACUUCAGACUUUUGCUUCAAAAAGUAGAUCCAACAAAAUCUAGAAAAAUCAUCUAUGAACAGCAUAAAAUAUUUACUGUCAUUUAAAGAAGAAGUAUUCAUUGGUCCACAUAUGUUAGUGUGGACUAAUUCGAGCUUGUCUCAAGCUCUCCAUGCCUUAUUAACUGGAAAAGGCAAUCUUGCUUGCUUCCUAAGCUGGAAAAUUUCACAAACAUUGUCACUGAAUUCAACUUUGGACAUGUUUUCAACCAAGUUUAAUUUGUGCAAUAAAUCAAGUGAUCUGCAGUUAGCAUGGCCUAAUCUUUUAUGGCAUAAACUAGCUUUAUCAGCAAGACUAGUGUAGGCUUUCUUUUCUAACUAAUUUACAUCCAACAUGAAACAUGUAUCAGUCAUAGCCACAGUAACUAAUUCUUGACCAAAUGAAUCCUCAAUAACACAAGAUUUAUUCUUAAAAACAAGUGAAUAACCCUUCUCAAUCAGCUGGCCAACAUUAAGCAAGUUUUGGUCUAUGUCAGGCACAAAAAGAACAUCUGAGAUUACUUUGUUACCUAAGUGUGUGCUGAUCACUACAUCUCCUCUACCUCUGGCAUCAAUAAGGUUUCUAUUUCCAAUCCUGACUUUGGAAGAGAAACUUCUAUCAAGAUUCUUGAACAACCAUUCAUUAGAUGUCAUAUGGUGAGUGCAGCCACUAUCUACUAACCAAUUCCUUCUCACUUUGGCUGAAGUUGCAUAACAGGUUACAGUGAAAACAUACUCCUCUUAAGCCUGAGCAUCCUCAGCAGCCUGAGCAUCCUCAGCAGCCUGAGCUUGAUUUUGUUACUAAGUUUGUGCCUUUCCUUUGAUCUUGCACACCUUCUCAAUAUGACCAAACUUUUGCAGCUUCUGCACUAGAUAACUGGCCUGUACCAGCAGUACUUCUCUAAGUGUGUGGACCUUUUGUAGUGAAUGCAUGGUGGAAAUUUCUUCUUUCCUGCAUCCCUAUUUGGUUUCUGCCUUUUGUCAAGCCAUGGUUUCUUUUUUUUUUUGUAGCUCGAACUUGAGAUUUCUUUGGAUCUUACUUGGAAAGCUCAUUCUGGAUGCUCCUCUAGCCUGUUGCCCCUCUUUUGCUCGUGUACAUAUAGAUAAUUUACCAAAUCAGACAAUAAGAUGGUUGAUAAGUCCCUCGAGUCAUCCAAUAAGGAAAUCUUUGACUCAAACUUUUUAGGAGAGUGGUGAUGAUCUUUUCAACAAUCUCUACUCUCACUGAAAUCAUCUUCAAGGAGCCUAAUGUUGUUGACUGUGGCCAUUAUCCUACCAGAGUACUACUUGAUGGUCUCUGACUCUUUCAUCUUCAAAUUCUCAAAGACUCUCAUCAGGUUGAUCAGUUGCUACUGCCUUGUCUUGUCUGACCCCAUAAACUCUUCCUUUAGCUUCUUCCAUGCUUGUUUUGGUGUGUCACAAGCCAUUAUCUGAGUGAAAAUCACAUCAGAUACCCCAUUUUGCAAGCAUGCCAUUGCUUUGUACUUCUUGGCACACUCUUCACUGUGCUGUUCGAUUUGGGCAAUGGUGAGAUUGGCCCUCAAUGAAGUUGGUUCAGUGUCAUUCUCUACCACAUUUCAUAGGUCAUGUGCUUGUAGGUAAGUUUUCAUCUUCACUACCUAAAUGUGGUAGUUCUCAUCAGCAAACACAAGUGGUGGUGGUGGUGUGAAGCUCAUAUUGUAGCAGCAAAAAUCGAUAGCUUCAGUUUUUCUCUUUUCAGGUUUUCUUCACAAAAGCUACUAACAAUAGAGGCCCUCAAAGAUGACAGGCUCUGAUUACCAUUUUUUGGUGUUAUUAACAGAAAGCCAAGAAGAAAAACAAAGAAAAAUGAAUGCAAAAAAAGUUUGAACAAGAAGAAAACUAAAAUUCUAAACUUGCGUCAAAUUUUAUUGAUUGAAAAAUAUAAAUUACAAGGCAGUUACCUAAUAUGUAACUACUUCCACUAAUACAUGACUAAAACUUAACUUAAAUUACACACAAAAAAGGCUGACAUAUUAGCCAUUACAUCAAAUAGAAAUCAUCAACAAAUCCUACUAACUUUAAAGUCAAAUUACAAAGCAACUGAGGAAGUUACAAAUGAACAAAAUAAACAAAAUGUUGCUGCUUCACUGGUUCUGCUUUGAUGCUGGUCUACUACUGAUUUCCUAUUGCAUUGAAGGCCAAAGUUCAACAAGAUGUAUCAAAUCAAUGUUGGUGUGAGGGAAAUCUUACCAGGAGACGACAUUGAGAUGUUCUGGAUCUGGUUAACAGAUGACGCCUAUUUGACAAUAGCCAACCAAGUGCUCUUCUUGUUGAUACCAAAGUGGAACUCAGGUUCAACAGUGACAUACCCUCGGACUCUGCUCCAAGGGAGCUUUAUGUAACUAUCAGGACCAUGGGGACGAACAAGACCCAGAAUGAGAACUACUAGCUGACAUGGGAGUUUUCUGUUGAUUCUAGGUUUAAUUACUUUGUAAGUUACAUUUUUGUAAGUUCCAAACAGAGAUAACCAAAGAAGGUGAUAGAGUGUUUGAGAUCUUAUUGGAUAAUUCAACUGCAUAAACUACAGCAGAAGUUAUAUCCUAGGGUGGUGGUAAUGGGAUUCCUAUAUAUCGGGAUUAUGUAGUGUCAAUAGGAAUGAAAGGAAAUCAAAAGCAGCAAAAUCUCUCUAUUGCUUUGCAUCUUUUGCCGCCUUAGAGAACUCUUUAUUCUGAUGCAAUUUUGAAUGGGCAUGAAAUCUUCAAAUUGAGCAACGAUUUUCCUCUCUUUGGACCUAGCUUUGAUCUUAGAUCUAGACCUAACAUCCAUCCUAAGAAGUCAUCGGUUGUACAAAUAACAAAGAAGAGAACAAUAAUAAUUGUUGUUGUUGUUGUUUCUCCUAUCUCGGGCUUUAUUACCGCCUCUCUUUUACUUCUUCUAAUUUACCAGAUACAUUCCAAUAAAUUUUCCAACAGCAACAGCCCGGCUUCACCUUCAGAUAUUUGUCCCCACUUCUCACUAAGGGAGAUUAAAAUAGCUACCAAGAACUUUGAUAAAAAAUUUAUCAUCAGAAGAGGAGGAUUCGACGACAUCUACAAAGGAUUCACUAAUGCCAGCUCUACCCCAAUUGCGAUCAAACUUUUGAAUCCAAGCUCAAAACAAGGGGUGUUUGAGUUUAGGACACCAAAAUUUAGUUUCUCUGAUCGGAUAUUGUGAAUACAAGAAGAAAAUGAUCUUUGUGUAUGACUACAUGGUUCAUGGGACUUUGAGAGAUCACCUCUUCAACACUAGAAACCCCCUUUUACAAUGGGAGCAAUGGCUCAAGAUGUGUAUUGGUGCUGCACAAAGGUUGCAUUAUCUCCAUAGGGGUCCUAAUCACACCAUCAUUCACCGAGAUGUGAAGACCACAAAUAUUUUGAUAAAUGCUAAAUGGAUAGCCAGAGUAUCUGAUUUUGGAUUGUCUAAACUGAAUGACUUACCCAACACUCAGAUUAGUAUCGCCGUCAAGGGCAACAUCUGGUUUUUGGAUCUUAAAUAUUGUCGUCUUUAGAAAAUAACUAAACAAUUCGAUGUCUAUUCUCUCGGUGUGGUAUUGUGCGAAGUACUAUGUGCAAGAGCAUCGAUAGAUCGAAUUGUCGAGAAUCAUAUGCAAUAAGUUUAGCAGAGUGGGUACAACAUUGCUACAACAAUGGAACUUUUGAUCAGGUAAUUGAUACUCAUCUACAUGUUAAGAUCAAGCUUGCAAGUUUGUUAAAAUUUGGUGAAGUUGAUAUAAGUUGUUUGGCUUCAGAAGAGAUGAAAAGGCUGACAAUGAGUGAAGUGGUGUAUGGACUUGAGCUUGCAUUGAAGCUGCAAGGAAGUGAAAUAAAUAAAAACGCUGAGAAUCAUGCAAAUAACUUAUCUGUUGGAAAAAUUAUAAUUUUUGGAAACUUUAAGGUAUAUUCUCGAUUGGUAAAGGUGAAGAGUUAAAUCAUAAAAUUAUGGUUUUAUAUUUUGCUCCAUGAGACUUUUAUAACGAUAUAUCAUAUGCUUAAAAUAGUUGAAUGAUGAAUGAGAAAUUAAUACUCAAAGUAAGCUAUUUGUGAAUAUUUGUGGAGGAAAAGAAAAACUUAGAUCCCACAUUGGUUAAAUACCAAGUGUGAGAUAUGUAUAUAUAUGAGAACCCACUUAAAGGAUUAUUAAAUGACUAAGUUUAAAAUCUUGCCUUGCAUGCAGGAGGUGGUGUAGAUCCAAACCUAUAGGGGUUAGGGUGCACACGUAUAACGUGGACAAUUCGAAAUGCCUUCCAAAAUCCCAUGCCUUAUAAAAGCUUAAAUAUUUUUUUUAGGAGACACUCACAACGAAUUUAUUUUGCUCUAGAAAAUUCUUCUCUUUUUCCUCUCCAUAUUUUCCAACGUUUCAGUGAUAGAAGAAUGUAAGGUUUGUUCGUUGAUCACUGCAGAAGUGUUACUGCUUCGAUCAUCUUGUUGUUGUAUUCUGGGAAACAGUCGACCAACGUUUCUCCAAGUACCAUAGGAACGAUAAAAUCUAUCUUGAAGAAACUGUAUAAAACAGGCAUCAACAUUUAGUAAAACUCGAUUCUUUUAUUCGAUUUCUAGUUUUUAUAAUCUUAUUUAUUGAUUUUUCGUAUAUGAUAUUUUAAAUAUAAAUUAUUUAAUUUAAUUUAAUUUAUAUAAAUAUUUGUUUACUAACGUGUUUUGUCCAACAUCAUCCACCAUUGAUUAUCAUGUAUUGUUUACUAGUGGUGAAUCAAUGAAAGUUGGACGCUAGAAUUUUUAUUUUUAUUUUACCAAUUGUAAUUUUAAUUCCAACUUUCUAUGAACAAUUAUUUAAUAGGUUUUUUUAUAAGACUUCACCAAGUCUUCAUGGUCGACGUCGGUAGACAAGUCUUCAUGGAGAGAAAAUCCAUGGAGUUUGUGGAAUUGUUUUUGGAUAAUGAAAUUCUUGGUUGUGUGCUCGACAAUAUAAUAUUUUUUAUCACUUAUUUUUUAAUAUUAUAAAUAUUUUUUAUUAGAAAAUAUAUAUUUCAUUAAAAUAAAAAAUCAAUAUAUUUUAUAACUCUAAUAUUUAUUAAGAAUAAAAUUUUAUAUCAUUUAUAUAUUUAAUGUUAAUUAGUCUUCAUAUCCAACGCCCAUAGACAAGUCUUGUAGAGAAAAAUCUUCAUGGUUGGAAAUUUUAUGUGAUUAUAUUUUUUAAAAUAUUAAAUUAGAUAAUAUUAGUAAUGUUACAAAAUUUUUAUUUUAUAGAGUAGAUAUAUAUUAAAUAACAAGUUUAAUGAAUUUUAGGAUUUUAGUGUACUUCAAAAAUGGAAUUCUAUAUUAUUUAUAUUUCUAAUGCCCAUUAGUUUUCAUGAUCUAUGGUUGAAGACAAGUCGAAAAUUUGUGGAGCGGAAAAUUUUUUUUAUAAUGGCACUUUGGUUGUGAGUUCAAUAAUAUAAUAAUUUGUACUUAAAUUUAUUUAAAAGUAGCUAGUUGGUACCUAAAUUUUGUUGGACUUAAUUGUUACUUGAACUUAUUUUUCAUCACACACCUUAAUACUUUCACACUAACACUAUUACUUUAUACUAAUAUAAUAUUGACAACUAAUUACAUAAUAACAUGUGACAAGUCUCUUGUUAUAAUCGUCAUAGGCAUAGUUACUUAAAUAAUAUAUUCCACAGCAUUUUACAAUUAAACUUUCUAAGACUUUCCCAAGUCUUUCAAAUGGUCGAUGUCCAUUGAUGAGUCUUGCAGAGAAAAUUCGUGGGGUGUAUGGAAAGUUUUUAUUUUUUUAUUUAAAAAUGACUACACCAUAGAUUUUCUUUUUCAUUUGAAGUUAAUUUAUAAUAAUACAAAAUUUUAUUUAGAAAAUUCCCACCAAUAUGAAAACAACAAUAAAUUAUAGUAUGAUAUACUACAACUAAGUUCACCUACUUGAAUUAACUUGUCUCUCUCUUUUUAAAGUCUCUGAUUGAUUCAAACAUUUUCCUUAUUCUCACUAAUUUGGAGUUCCAUAUUCUCAUAUUUCUGGUUUUUUUUUUUUUGCCUACAAAACGUCCUGGUUGGUUCUUUCCAUAAUCUUUUCGUCUUUCUCUUUAUCGUGAAGAUGAAGACAAACAAUGAAACACUUAGUUUGCAAAGAUUACUUAUCACACUUUUAAAUCUUAGAGUCUUGAUUGCAGUUACAGUAGGGGAAGUAGUCCCUUCUUAUAUCCCCAUUGAAAACAUCACCAUUAAUUGUGGCUCUUUCUCUCACUCCUUAGCUUCAGAUGGCCGCCUUUGGAGUGCAGAAAACAAUUCUAGAUUCCCCGUCCUACAUUCACGAAACAAUCAAUCUCUGUUUUUAAGUGCCUCUACUGGGUAUGAACCCUACAUCACAAGCCGCCUUUCCUACUCGGAGUUCACCUACAUGAUCCCCCUUACUGCUGGCCCGAAGUUCAUUCGCUUGCACUUUCAUCUACAUUCAUACCCAGGCUUUAAUCUGUCUAAGGCUUUCUUCACUGUUAAAGCAGGUCGGUUUACACUUCUCAGAAACUUCAGUGCUUUACUUCAUGCUCAAGGCAAGGAAACUCUGGUUAAAGAAUUCUGCGCUAACGUUGAAGAUGGAGAGACCCUAAAUAUAACAUUCUCUCCGAGUUCGGCUAUCUCAGAUGCGUAUGCUUUUGUAAACGGGAUUGAAAUUGUGUCUAUGCCCACCAACCUAUACUACAGACCUUCCAGUGAUGAAGGUGUUCCCCUCCUUGGCCACCCUACCGGUAGGUUGUAUAGCUGGGGAAACAACACUGCCCUUGAGAUGAUGCAUCGGAUCACUGUUGGUGGAAAACAAAUCCCACCUGCAGAAGACACUGGCAUGUAUCGAGCCUGGUCAGGGGACGACGAUUACUUGACAGUUGCGGGACCUAGUGCUCUUCCAGUUAACACGAGUGUUAAUCUCAGCUUCAGCGCUGUGCCAUCGUUCUCUGCUCCGGGAUCCAUCUAUAAAGUUGCUAGAACAAUGGGAACUAACAAUACUAUGAAUGAGAAUUAUAAUCUCACUUGGGAGUUCCCUGUUGAUUCUGACUUUAAUUACUUUGUGAGAUUGCAUUUUUGUGAGUUCCAAAUAGAGGUAACGAAAGAAGGUGAGAGAGUUUUUGAGAUCUUCAUAGCCAACAACACAGCAGAAACUCAAGCAGACGUUAUAGCCUGGAGUGGUGGAAAUGGAGUUCCAAUAUAUAGAGAUUACGCAGUGGCAAUAAGGAAUAAAGGAAAUCAAAAGAAACAAAAUCUUGCAAUUCAGCUACAUCCUGACCCGGCAUGGAGAACUAUGUAUUCUGAUGCAAUCCUGAAUGGAGUUGAAAUUUUCAAAUUGAGCAGGAGCGGUGAUCUUAGCGGACCUAACCCCGAUCCAACGCUCGUUUUGCACUUAGGAAAGAAGAGGACGAUAAAUGUUGUUGUCGUUGUUGCUGCUCCAGUUACCGGCUUUGUUACUAUCUCUCUUUUACUUUUCGUGAUUUUCCGAAUACGUUCCAAUAAAUUUGCCAACAACAGCUGCCCUUCUCUACCAUCUGAUAUUUGUCGCCACUUCUCACUGAGGGAGAUCAAAACUGCUACUAACAACUUCGAUAAGAAUCUCAUCAUUGGAAGAGGCGGAUUCGGUGAAGUCUACAAAGGAUUCGCUAAUGCUGGCUCCACCCCUGUUGCAAUCAAACGCUUGAAUCCAGGUUCACAACAAGGGGUGCUUGAGUUUAGGACUGAAAUUGAGAUGCUUUCGAAACUUAGGCACCAAAAUUUAGUUUCUUUAAUCGGAUAUUGCCAAGAUAAUAAGGAAAUGAUCCUUGUAUAUGACUACAUGGCUCAUGGGACCUUGAGAGAUCACCUCUACAACACUAGUAGUCCCCCUUUACAAUGGGAGCAGAGGCUCAAGAUGUGUAUUGGUGCUGCACAUGGGCUGCAUUAUCUCCACCGAGGUCCCAACCACACCAUCAUCCACCGAGAUGUGAAGACAACAAAUAUUUUGGUAAGUGAGAAAUGGGUGGCCAAAGUAUCUGAUUUCGGAUUGUCUAAAAUGAAUGACGUAACCAACACUCAUAUUAGCACUGCUGUCAAAGGCAGUUUCGGGUACUUGGAUCCUCAAUACUAUCGUCUUCAGAAACUAACCGAGAAAUCUGAUGUGUACUCUUUUGGUGUGGUGUUGUUUGAGGUGCUAUGUGCAAGACCACCAAUAGAUCGAACUGCUGAGGAUCAUAUGCAAAUAAGUUUAGCAGAGUGGGCACAACAUUGCUACAACAAUGGAAGCUUUGAUCAGAUAAUUGAUCCCUUUUUACAAGGUAAGAUCAAGCUUCCAAGUCUGUUAAAAUUUCGAGAAGUAGCUAUAAGUUGUUUAUCUUCGGAAGGGAUGAAGAGGCCCACAAUGAGUGAAGUGGUGUAUGGACUUGAACUUGCAUUGAAGCUGCAGGGAAUUGAAAUAAAUGGAAACGAUGAGAAUCAUGCAAAUGACUCAUCUUCCAUAGAUUAUCAUGUAUUGUUUACUAGUGGUAGUGGAUCAAUGAGAGUUGGUCGCUAGAUUAGAUGCUUUAAUUAUUUGCUCAUUAAUUGUAAUAUUAAUUCCAGCUCUUCAUGAACAACGGUUUCAUAUUCAAUGUGUUAAAUUAGCUACAAGUUGUAUCAUGCAUGUAAAAUCUUUUUAGUUAAAAUUACCACUUUUGUGAAAGACUUUAUUUCAAGAAUUUAUUAUAAAAAACUUCAUAAAUUUCUUUCAAGGUUUGGACAUAAAAGUUAAAAUCUUGUGUUGCAACAUAAAUAAUAUAUUUCACAAGAUUUUAUAAUUAAUCUUUUUUAAUGGAAAAAGAAAGUGGAAAAAUCAAGUUGUUUUUGGUGUAAGACUUUUCCAAAUUUUCAUGGUCCUGUUGUAACACCCUAAACCCAGUUUAGACGGGAAGGCCAAGUCUAGAAUGUCACAUUAACUUACCAGAACAUAGUCAUACUUAACACGAAUUUUUCAAUCCAUAAUUAAGCCAUAAAAUAAUUUGUUUUCUGAAAACAUAGUUAAGUCUUCAAAGCUUAAAUACAAAAUUAAAGACAUAAAUUCACACAAGCAUAUACAUAUAUAAUAAGUCUGAUAGAUGACCAUGUCCUACGCCUGUCAGCCGCUUAAUCCUGUGAUGUUCCCUGAAAUUCAUUCAAAUAGUUAGUGUGUUGUAGCGUAGAAUCUAACAUAAACAUACUAGCCUAUGUAUAAGAGCUCAGAUGUUAUUGAGUGUUCAGAUAACAAUUCAGACUCAUCAGUCAAUUUAAUAACCGAAAACAUAUUUGGACACAAAACAGUCCUAAUACGUAGCAGAUCAGUCACAGACGUACGUAUAACACAAAUACGAUAGCAGAUACAAAUGUCAUACAUGCACAAAUAAAGAUGCAAUUCCCUAUUCCAACCGCUACACACCAUCUGCAUCCACCCUACACACCAAUAGAUAUAUAAUACCCACCCAUCCCUACACACCUCAUAGUGUCGGUAUGACACGUUGCAGUGUUUACAAUCUCACUGCUAGAUUAGACAUAAUUAUGGGUGGUUUUGACCAUCAAAUCAAUAUAAACACUUCCUUCAAUCCAUAACUUCUGCCCCAUGCACUUGUAAAACAUAUAGCAGACAUGUAUAUAUAAUUCAGUUGCAGAUACAAUCAUGCAAUUCUAAUAUAACAGGGUGUCGAUAUCAUUAAUGUCUAGCCCAUACCGAUAUCCAGAAUUAACUAGUAUUCAUGAUAACUAGCUCAUAUAAUUUAGUUCAAUUCAUACUUAUCCUGCGAAUAACUUAUUUUCGCCUCGCACAUCAAUUACAACUCUAACAGAAUUCAGUUUCUCGGCUCACACACCCAUGUGGCUCCACACGGCCUGACACACGUCCGUGUAUCUUAAAUAUAAAGUUAGUGAAUUACACAGCCUAGACACAUGCCCGUGUGACUCAAUUCCAAAGUCAGUGAGUUACACAGCCUGGACACAUGCCUGUGUGUCUCACUCGUGUGACCCUUGCACCUCAUUUUUUACACACGGUCUCGCACACGCCUGUAUGGUUUGCCCAUGUGACCACAAAUCCAAAGUCAGAGAGUUACACAGUCCACUAAUAAACCAUAAAAGUAACGCUUUCUAAUCCCAUACUUAGCACACUUUUGGAUGAUUUAUCAUAUAAUUGAAUGAAUUAGAUGCUCUUAAUCUUUUAAUUUCAUGUUUUAUACUCAGGAGAGCAUAGGAGAACAAAAGGAGCAGAAAAUGGGCUGAUUGAAGGACCCACACGGCUAAGACAGAUUCCACACGGGUGGAGCACACGCCCGUGUGAGCCACACGGGCUGGCCACACGCCCAUGUGGCAGCCCGUGUCGAUAUCGCUCCAGGUUUCCCAAAUACACGAAAAAAGCCAAUUUUUAAUGUUUCUGGGCAGUCUAAAGUCUAUAAAUACAUACCAGAGGAAGACCUAAAGGGGACACGCAGAGUAGAACACAAGAAUUACUCGAAGAACACCAACAGAUUCAGCUUGGAAGCAAGAUCUCCUUCAAGACAGAAGAUCUCCCUUCAAUUUCUCUCAAAGUUUUUGGGUUUCUUUAUGUUUUGUUAUUUUCCUAUUUUUGAGAUGUUUUUCUACUACGAUAUGAACUAAACUCCCUAAAUACCUAUGGAGGAUGAAACCUAAGACGGAUCUUAUUGUUUAAUAAUCUGAAUUUAAUGAUAAAUACUUAUUCUUGUUCUUAAUUAUGUUUUCUUAAUUCUUGUUUUAAUAUUUUCAGAAUAUUAAUUCAAGAUGAUGUGCUUAUUCAGUGGAGCAAAAGUCCCUGUUUAAGAGUAGAUCUCACAUAAUUAAGUGGAGUUGCAUGCAACCCUAGAAAUAGGGCGACAUAAAUCUGCUGGAUUAGAGCAAAUCUAAUAAGGGAAUCCAUAGAUCGAGUUAAUGCGACAAUAGAGGUUUUAAUUAGAAAGAGAUUUCAAUUAAUCAACCUAGAGUCAGUUGUUUUUAGUCUCGAAAGAGAUAUUAACAUAAUUUAGGGAUUUCUACGGAUCAAGACAAGUGAAUAAAUCGUUAGAUUUAGAAUCAGAAUAAUAAGUGAAGUCUAGGUGGAUUCUCCCUUGGGUAUUGUCUUUAUUAUUGGUUUAUUCGAUUAUUUUCUUCACUCUCUGUCGCGUUCUUUAGUUAAUUAGUUAGUUAAUUUUAGAUUAAAACAAAUCACUUAUAAUUUAGGUUAAAUAAUAGAAAGAAAGUUAAUACUAGUACUUUUAGUCCUUGUGGAUACGAUACUCUGGACUCACCGUGACUUUACUACCAUUCGAUAGGUGCACUUGCCUUAGUCAUGAUCGUAGUCUAGUUUAGUGGUUCAUAAAAAGAUCAUCAAGUUUUUGGCGCCGUUGCUGGGGACUAGAAUAUUAGAAACGCUUAAUUUUUAUUACUUUAGUCAUUUUUUAUUUUUUAUUGCAAUUUUUAAUGAAAUUGAAAGCACGGCUCGUAGAAAUAGUAGAGAAAUAAGGCAAAGUCUACAGUAUAUAGAGGAAGAGCACGAGGAUGAUACUAGCACUACCGAGGAGAUGGCUGAAAAUCAUAAUAAUCCGCUACCUCCUGUGGUUGCAGCGAAUCUCGUAAAUUAGAAUCCUGCUCCUCGUACUAUGUACGACUAUGCUAAGCCUAAUUUAGCGGGGACUGAAUCGAGUAUUGUUAGACCUGUAAUUGUUGCAAAUAAUUUUGAACUGAAACCUAACACUAUACAAAUGAUUCAACAGUUUGUUUAGUUUUAUGGUUUGCAGGAUGAAGACCCAAAUACUCAUUUGGCCAACUUCUUAGAGUUCUGUGAUACUUUCAAGAUAAAUGGCGUUUCUAACGACGCCAUUCACCUUCAGUUAUUUCCCUUUUCAUUAAGAAAUAAAGCUAAAUAGUGGUUGAACUCAUUACCACGAGGUUCCAUCACUACUUGGGAACAAAUGAUCGAAAAGUUUUUAUUAAAGUAUUUUCUGCCGGUUAAAAAGGAAAAGUUGAGGAAUGAUAUCUCUUCUUUUGUGCAAAUGGAUUUAGAAACUCUUUACGAUGCGUGAGAGUGGUAUAAAGACUUAUUGAGAAGGUGCCCUCACCAUGGGUUACCUUUAUGGUUAUAGGUUUAGACUUUCUACAAUGGUCUAAACCUUUCAACUAGACAACUGAUCGAUACAGCCACCGGUGGAACCCUAAAUAACAAAACACCCGAAGAGGCUUAUGAAUUUAUUGAAGAGAUGCCACUGAAUAACUAUCACUCGCAAGUCAUGAGGACAAAGCCUAAUAAAGCAGUCGGUGUUUUCAACCUCGACACGGUCACUAUGUUAUCAAACCAGGUAGAGCUUUAAAAUAAAAAGAUUGAUAGUUUAUGUGUCUCUACACAGGUACAUCCAGUGAUGCAGUGUAACGCAAGUGGAGGAGGAUUGAAUAAUACAGAAUGCCUGGCCUACGACCUUAGCACUACGAAUGAAUAAGCCAACUAUAUGGGUAAUAAUUCUAGACCUCAGAAUAGCCCCUAUAGUAAUACUUAGAAUGCAGGUUGGAGGAACCAUCCCAACUUCUAUUGGGGUGGUCAAGGCAAUUAAAGACCACAACCCCCUCCAGGCUUUCAACUACCUUACCAGCAGGAAAAGAAACCGAACCUUGAGAAGAUGCUAACGAAAUUCAUCUCAGUGUCAGAAACACGUUUCCAAAACACCAAAAUAGCGCUUAAAAAUUAGCAAGUGUCAAGUCAAGGUCUCGAGACUCAAAUAGGUCAACUUGCUAAGCUGAUCUUAGAAAGACCAUAAGGUAGCUUGCCUAGCAACACCAAAACUAACCCAAGAGAGCAGCUCCAUGUGAUUAUGGUUCAAUAUGAAGAAGGGUUAGUUGAGUCCAAACCAGAACCAAGGUAAGAAACUAUGGUAAGCCAAGAUAAGGUGGAUGAAAGCUAGAUUAAACAAAAACCAGUAAGCAGAGAAUACACACCUCGCGUGCUAUACCCUAAAGUGAUAAAGAAAGACCGCGCAGAUGAACAAUUCGGUAAAUUUAUUAACAUAUUAAAAAAGUUACAUAUUAACUUACCAUUUAUUGAAGCUCUUUCGUAGAUGUCUAAUUCAGUGAAAUUUUUAAAGGAGCUUCUAGCAAACAAAUAGAAGUUAGAUGAUUCAUCGCAUGUGGAAUUAAAUGUAGUUUGCUCGGUAAUUUUACAGAAUAAACUACCCAGUAAAUUAAAGGAUCCAGAGAGUUUUACUAUUCCUUUUUAAUUGGUAGUUUAGCUGUUAAUAAUGCUUUGGCCGACUCAAAGGCAAGUAUUAACGUCAUGCCCUAUAAAAUGUUUAAGCAACUAGGUCUUGGAAAGCCCAAACAAACUAGGAUGAGUAUACAAUUGGCAGAUAAAACUAUUAGGUUUCCUAGGGGACGUACUCGUUAAGAUUGAUAAAUACAUAGUCCUAGUGGACUUUGUUAUUUUAGACAUGGAAAAUGAUGGUGACAUUCUUUUAAUCUUAGGGCGACCCUUUUUAGCAACUAUCAGAACUAUCAUAAAUGUUGGUACAGGUGAAUUAACGUUUCGCCCAGGUGAUGAAUCGGUUACUCUUCAGGCUUGUGAUUCGAUUGAAAUAUCAAGUAAUGAAGAUAACCUUAUAAAUCCGGUUAAUAAGACUAAUCAGGUGGUUCAACCCUCUUUGAAGGAAAAACUUUUGAGAAACUUAAAUGAGCCACAAUCUAGUUCAUGCAUGAACAAUGGAACCAUCCAUGAACGACAAAUGCUACAGAUAGAUAAACCAGAUGAAUGGUGGACUUAUGGCAAGGAGGAGCAGAAGCAACACCAUGUCAAGUUUAACGAGACGAACCAAUUCAAAGUAGGUGACCAAGUGUUAUUAGAUGAAACCAACCCUCGAAUUAUCACUACAGAGCUCAAUGCAAAUGGAGCAACUCUUUUUACAGUACUUAAAGUCUUUCCAUACAGUACAAUCGAGGUAACCUAUUCACAAUUCGGCACUUUUAAGGUAAACAGUACUCGAAUAAAACCUUAUUUAAAUAAAGGAAUUGACAAUGAGAAAGAGGAGUUUUGACUCCGUGAUCCACCGUGACCAUGUGAAUAAGAGCUAAGUCGAGCUUAGACUCUAAAUAAGCACUUAUCGGGAGUCAACCUGAGCACUAACACCACUAACUAAUUUAUUUUUUUUAUCUAUUUUUCAUGUUUAAAUACAGGUCUUUGACCCACACGGCCUGGACACACAGGCGUGUCCCAGGCCGUGUGCUUUAACAGGGGUUAAACAGUGAGUUACAUGGCCUGGUGACAUGGCCGUGUGACCCACACGGCUUGGACACACGAGCGUGUCCUAAGCCAUGUGGAAACAGGGCUUAAAUCACCCAAAAUCGAUAGAUAUGUGCUAAAAGAGGCCAUACGGGUGUGCGACACGGCAUGUCAUAGGCCGUGUGAAAACUGGAGCUAAAUUUUAAAAAUUUUAAUAAGUCAGAGAGCUUCACGGGUAAGGCACAUGGCCGUGUGUUCAGACACACGAGCGUGUGGGAUACCACACGGGCGUAGGAGAAGCGAACAAUGAAGCAAAAGGCCUGGACACAUGGGCGUCCAAGGCCAUGUGACGAAUGGGUUAUUAUUUUCCUCGAUGAACAUGGGCUAGAAUUUGAGCCACACGGGCGUGUGACAUGACCGUGUGGCCUAACACGGACUGUUACACGACCGUGUCACCCAUAAAAGUCCCCAAACCUUAAAAUUUUAUUUUUUAUCUUCUCCAAUUUUCCCCAACCAGCCGUCACUCACUCCUCCUCCAGCCAUCGACCCCAUCUUUUAUCCCUCUCUUUUCCUUCCCAAGGCCACACUUACUACCCUUUUCCCUCUCCAAUCUUUUCUUUUCCUUUCCUCUCCCUCUUGCCCUACCUUGAGCCCACGACCCUCAAACCACUCCACCCCCAGCGCCAUUCCCCCCUCCUUCAUGUUCCUCCCUAUCACGAGGACCCACUACAGCCUCCACCAUCGAGUCACCGACAUGCUCCCUCUGCUGUUAGCUCCCUAGGAGUAUCCUCCGAGGAGUUUGCUAGUUUUCGUCAAUACUGUACUCAAAGGUUCGACAGUAUUGAUGUGACUUUACAGAAAAUCUGUCAGUAUCUUCAUAUCACUCCUCCAGCGCUACCGACUGAUCAGUCUGAUGAUGAGGACCAUUGAGGCAAGUUAUUUUUAUGUUUAUUUUUAUUUUUAUUUUUAUAUUUUAUUUUAUUUUUAUUUUUCUUUUUAUAUCAUUUUGUCUUUAUAUUUUAAACUUUAUUUUAAUGAUUAUAGUUGUCUCUUUACGAGUAACCCUUUAAUCUUCUUCAGCAUUGUGUUUAUUUUCUUAUCAGUUGCUCAGGAUUUUGCACUACCCCUACAUUUAUCGACAAUUCCGCUUUUCACUAGUAUGGGAAAUUCAUCCACCAUUCAGGGCAGUUUCAAUCAUCUCCCUGUGUUAUGAUAUUUUGUCUCUAUUAUGAUUUAUAUUUGUUUGCACAUUGAGGACAAUGUACAUCUUAAAUGUGGGGAGGUUAUUUAUAUGAUUAUUUGAAAAUCGCUGACUUAUGCAUUGUGUUUAAGUAAUUUGCUCAUAUUACUUUUAGAAUGAACUCUUAUUAAUUUGUGAUUUUCAUUGAUAUAUUUUAGAUUAAAUUUAUAGAUACUUGUACAUUGAUGGUUUAAACUUUAAGAUACGAACACAAGACUAAAAAAUAAACAAAUGCUUACCCAAUGAACCAACAUGCUCAUUCUUAAUACACAAAGGCAUAAGAUUAAACUUAAACAAGGAAUCCUAAGUUAAGGGUUCAAAAAAAGAAUUAACAAAUUCCAAAAUUUAUGCAACUUAAAUCUCAAGUGAGCAAACAAAACACACAACCAUAGAAGCAAACACAUCGACACAACUUAAUAACAAAAACUCAAAUUUUAGAGCGUUAGAUCUAUAAAUGAGUUUUGUAGAGAAAAUUCGUGAGGUGUACAAAUUUUUUUUAUUUUUUAUUUAAAAAUGACAAUACCAUAACUCUUUUGCUACUAGAAGUUAGUUUACAACAGUACAAAACUUCAUUUAGAAAAUUCCCACGGACAUGAAAACAACUAUAUUAAUAGAACUAGGUUCACCAAAUUGAAUUAACUCGUCUCUCUCGUCCUUCAUCAUUUUCUCCAACAUCUUUACGAUCAUCAACCACUUCCAACACUCCAAUGCUAAGACUUGUGUAUGACUAAUGAAUUCAAAACCAUGGAAUUGCAACAUGGUGAUUCCCAUAAUAACGAAAUUUAAAGUCCUGAUGUUUGGUUCAACGAAAUCACCAUUUCAUUCGGUUACCAUUAAUUAAUUUGUUUGGUUCAUUGUUUAAGUGAUUUUGUAGAAUUGCUAUUAUAACUUUAUUUUUUCAAGUCCAACAAUAGAGAUUUAGAGGUAAGAGCUCCAAGUAAAAGAAAAAAAUAUGUUUCCCAAAUAUCCGUUGUGGAAUUUCAACAUGCAACAAGUUAUUUUUGCCAUUCUAAAAAAAAGUUUUUCUUUGAGUUGUUUUUUGUUUAAGACUUUUCCAAGUCUUCAUGGUCAAUCCGUAGACAAAUGUUGCAGAGAAAAUUCGUGGAGGAAUUGUUUUUGGACAAUGAAACUCUUUCCUUGUGUGCUCAUCAUUUCUUACCAAAAGUUAGUUUUAAUAUAGGAUAAUGUGAGUUUAAGUGUGUUGAAAUGUAUUUUUUUAUUAUUUAUAAGUUGAAUGUUAUGAAUAGUUUUAAGUAUUGUGUAAAAAAAUAAUAUUAAAUAAUUUUAUGAAUAUUAUAGAAUAGAUAUUUUAAUAUGUUUUAGAAUUUUAAUAUUUAUUAAAAAUAAAACUAUACAUCAAUUACACUUUUAAUGUCCAUCAGUCCUCAUAGUCAACACUCAUAAACAAGUCCUGUAGAGAAAAAUCCUGAUGGCCGGAAAUUUUAUAGAUUUAUAAUUUUUAAAAUAUUAAAUUAGAUUAUAUUAGUAAUGUUAUAAAUUUUUUAUUUUAUAAAUUAGAUAUACAUUAGAUACAAAUUUAAUGUACUUUAAAAUUUUAAUGUGCAUUAGAAAUAGAAAUUUAUAUUCUUUAUACUUCUAAUGUCCAUUAAUUUUCAUGGUUGAGGUUUGGAGACAAACAAGUCUUAUAGAGCAAAUUUGUGGAUUGGAAAUUAAUUUUAUAAUGACACUCUAGUUGUAGGCUCAACAAUAUAUUCAUUUGGUAUCUAAAUUUGUUCAGAAAUAAUUAAUAGGUAUUUUUUUUUUUAGAUUUAGUUGUUAUCUAAAUUUGUCCAUUACACACUUUUGUAUAUUUAUAUUAACACUGUUAAUCCAUACUAAUGUAGCAUUGACAACCAAUUAUAUGAUGAUAUGUGAUAAUCUCUAAUUAUGAUACGUGACAAGUAUAAAUAAUUUUUUUAUAAAAUCUUUAAAAAUAUAUAAAUUAACGAAAAAAUUCAUAUUAAAAAUGAACCUAAAUAAAUAAUUCAAAAUCAAUUGUGUCUUUUUUAUUAAGUUAACAUAUUUUGAUGGAUAAAUUGACAAUAUAAAUGAUUAGUAGAACUGAAACUUAAAUCCUAAAAUUCAAAACUUAUUAGUUGUGAGAAAAGUGUAUGAAUAUAUAUCUAUCAAAAAUAAUAGUUAAAUUAAUAUAUAUUUAGUUAAAAAUUAUCACUCCACUUUCUUUUGUAAAAAAAAAAAAAUUCUUAUUCCAGUAACUGGGAUAAAUCCUACGAGAAACUUUGUGACCCGAGCGAGACUCUUACAAGGACUUAUCCAGUUGUUUGCUUCCACCUUUGCUUCCAUUUUUGUUAUCUUUUUAUGCCGAGGGAACCCUUGGUUAUCUUUAGGCUCUUUUUUGCCUGGACUUGGGCCUUGUACCCGAGUUUUAUUGUAAUAUAGUUAUAUUUGAACACCUCAAGAACUAAUGCGAUGUAUGGUUGCUAAAAAUAUUGGGAAAGUCCUUGUAUUUAGGUGUGGAUUGUACUUCAGUUCAGCUAUUAAAAAAAAAGGGUAAAUUAGUUUUUAUACAUUAUGAAUGUGCAAACUAGCUCAUCCAUUAAAUUUUAUUUGUUAAACGAUGAUGUGAACUUGUUGAAAAUAAUUUUUUAUGGGUAAACUAUAAAACUGGUCACCUGAUAAGUGCUACAAAUAACAUGUUUCUCAUUCUUAAUGUUAUUUUAGGUGAUUAUUCGAUGUUAAUGGUGAAUUUUAUGCUCCCAAUCCCUUAAAUUCAUGCUUUUAUACUUAGGAGAAUAUUUGAGAGCAAAAGGACCAAAAAACGAGCGAAAACCAAAAAAUAGGAGUAAGGUAUAGGAGCCACACGGCCUUGUGGUAGGCUGUGUUGAUUUCGCGAAUUGACACUCUAACCUGCAGAAAAUCAUUUUUUUUAGGUUUUUCGGGCAUUCUAAGACAUAUAUAAGAUAGGAGGGAACAUUCAUAGAAUACUCAAGAAAACAACUCGAAAAACACCAUUAAAGUUGAUUCUGAAGUAAAUUUCCAUUAAAAUUGAAGACUUCCAGUUGAUUUCUUAGGAAACCAUCAUGAGUUUAUUUGUUUCUUGUGGUUAUACUGUAUCUUAGAUAUUAUUAUUUUCAAGCAUGAACUAAUUUUCUAAAUACCUAAAGAAGAUGAACCGUGUGAUGGAUUUUUUUCGUUUGAUUUUUAUUUUACGUAAUAAAUAUUUAGAUCUUGUUAUCAAUUAUGUGUGUUUAAUUCUUGGUUUAAUAUUUCUAAAUUAUUAAUCCAUAUUUGAUGUGCUUAAAUCAGAGGAGGAAUAGACCCUAUAUAAAAGUAGAUAUUGUGUAAUUUAGUAGAGUUGCAUGCAACCCUAGAAUGACGACAUAAAUCUACCGAAUUAGAGUAAAAUCUAAUAGGGGAAUCCAUAAAUCGAGUUAAUGCGACAAUAGGAGUUUUAGUUAGAAAUAAAUUUCAAUUAAUCAACCUAAAGGCAGUUUCUCUUACUCUCGAAAGAGAUAUUAUCAUAAUUUAGGGAUUAUACGGAUCAAGAUACUAAGUAAAUAAAUUGCGAAAUUUGGAUAGAUAAUGACAGAUGAAAUCUAGGUGAAUUCUUUCCUGGGUAUUGUUUUGCUUCUUGGUUGUUAAUCGAUUGUUUUCCUGUUUUGUUCUUUGUCGUGAUCAUUAGUUAAUUAAUUUUGUUAAUUUUAGUUUUUAAUCAAUCACUCGAAUUAUUCAGUUAAAUAAUAGAAAAACAGUAAUUAGUACUUUUAGUCCGCGUGAGAAUGAUAACUUUGAUCACCGUAGAUAUACUAUUAGUUGAUAGGUUAGUUAGUGUCGUGGACAUCAUCACCUAAUUAUGCCUCUCAUUUUAUUUUGGUCACCCAACUUGUAACACCCUGGAAUUUGAGGCUAGAAUUUUUGAGGUUUGUAGUUAGGGUCGGUGAGCAGGUCGAGCAAUUGAGUUUAUUGUCGUGUUUUAGUGUUAGAAUGAGCCUGCUAGUUUGGUGGUAGUGUGUGUUAGUUUACCUUUGGGUCCUGGGUUCAAGUCCUCAUAUGUGUUUAGAGGCGUUAAUUUUAUUUUGGAUUUUUUUUAAGUUUAAAUACUUAAUUAGUUUUACUUUUAUUUAUAUUUUUUAACUGGAAAAAGGGAGUUAUCUCACAUUCUUCCUCUAUUUUUUCCCAGUUUUAGUUUUUUUUUGUUAUUUUUCUUUGCCUCUUCUGUUUCUGCAUCUUUUUCUUUUUUGUUACUAUCCGGUGGUCAAGGGUGUUUGUGCUUGCUUUGCUUGUUUAAUUGGAUGUUGAAGUGAAACGAUUUUGUUGAGGGGUAGUAGUUGAUUUUUGCUUUAGAUCGCGAAAUCAGGUGUGUUUUCUGAAACGGUUUAACUUCAAUAUCGAAUUGCUGUUGGAUUCUAUGAAAUUUGACAAUAUCUUGUGUGUUUCUGAAACUAUAGAUUUUAGGUAUUGAAUUGUUGAUUAUUAGUACGUUAACUUGCAAAUUUUGGUAUAUUUUUGAAUUACCAAAGGUUGGGGAUAGUUCCGGUGUCAAGAGCACAAUUUUCUGGCAAUUUUGGUGUGGUUUCGAGAUCACACGGGUGGCUACAUGGGCGUGUGCCACACACGGGCGGUCCACAUGGCCGUGUGAAUUUAGGAAUUAGAGAUCUUGGACAUUUUUCAGUGCCACACAGCCGUGUGGCUACUGUUUGGGGAUUUUGUCGAUUUUUACAUGGCUGUGUACCUUAACCACACGGGCGUGUGAGAUCUCCACAAGGCCAUUUCUUCUCUGCUCCUUAUUGUUGGCACUUUUGGAUAGUGAGUUAUAUGGGCUACUCACACAGCCAUGUAACUCGGUCACACGGGUAUGUGUCUCCUCCACACGGGCGUGUAGGCCUCCACACGGGCGUGUAGGCCUCCACACGGGCGUGUAGACCUCCACACGGCCUAGACCUUUCCACACAGUCGUGUGACCCUGUUUCAUAAAUUUUUUAUUUUGAGUUAUAAAUUGUCUAUUUUAUGUUUCUGUGUAAUCCGAUCCUUGGUUAGGCCUCGAUAAAUGUGUUUGAGACUCGAUUUGGUUUGGAUUCGUGUAUAUAGGUGCAUUUAUGGGCUUUAAGUUAAUUGUUCGUUGUGUGAUGAAUAAAUUCGAGUUUAUUAUUACUAUCAUAACUGAGUAUUGAAAUGCAAGUGUAAUAAAAUCUAGAUCUGUUCAACUGGAAACAUGAAUGCCUGUUUCUGUAUGUUUGUCUGCGUACUGUGUGGAUUACUACAUUGGCAUGAAAAUUUUGGGGAUUUGGUUAUGAAGAGAAGGAAGACCGAUUUGGCAGUUUUAACUACAAUACUUCUUAUACUAUACAUAUACUAGCUUAGUUGUAUACAUUUACUCGAGUGGCUUAGUUCCACAUUGUGGUGUGUAGGGUGGAUGAACCUAUUAUGGUUUUAUGUUGUCUGCAGGGUGGACGGACCUACUAUAGCCCUUAUGCGGUGUACAGGGUGGUCGGAGAGGUGUUUUGGUUGGUUGGGUGGGAUUUUUGACUCGUUACAUUCUCUAUGCAUUUGAAUAUAUAUUUGAAUAAAUGUCUGAUUAUAUGGGCAUUGAGAUGUUGGUGAUAUGGUAACUUUAAAAUGAUGUGUUUUAGUUAAUACAUGUGUUGGUAUGCUUUAGAAGCACCUUGUUGAUUGGAUUACUGGUUGAGUUUUCCCUUUAUGACUUGUGUACAUAUCCUAUUCGGGAAUAUUGUUGUGAUACUUCAUCUUUUGCCAUUUGUUUACGUUUCGAACUCACACUGAGCUCGCGUAGCUCAUCCCUUUAGUUUCUCACUUCCAAGUAAAUCCCGUGGUUUGAAGUUGGACUUGGUAUAGCGGAGGUCUCAGAUUGAUAAGAGAAUUAAUCUAGUAAAGUUUGUCAUCAAUUCUUAAAUUAUUGAAUUGUUUUGGACUGUAAAUAUUUUAUAUGAAUUGUGGUAUAAAUUUUAUUUUGGACUUUUGUAAAGUGUUAUUUGGACUGAUCUUUAGAAAUUUGGUUUAUUUUUGAAUGCUUUUUACGCCAAUCAAACAUUUUCUCAAAACAUAGCUAAGUAUUAUUUGUUUUCCUAAAGAUGAAGCAAACAAAAAGCUUUUCCCGGUUUGAAUUAAUUUUUUUGUUUCCGCCACUUUCAGUGGCCAAUGUAACCUCCGAAAUUCGAUCUAAACUUCUAAGCCGAUUUUUGGGGUGUUAUAGAACUAUUAACUUUUUUUAGUCACUAAUUUUUUGAAAUUAAAUAUCUUAGUCACUCCGAGCUGACGUAGGUUUUUUUAUUGGUCUAAAAACAAAUUUAUCCCUUUAAUGUUUACAAUUCUAUCAAUUUGAUCUUAAAUAUAAAAAAUUUAACAAAUUUAGCCCUCGAUAUUUACAAUUUUUUUCAUUUUAGUUAUAAUUCUUAAAAUUCAAAAAAUUUAGCCUCAGUGUUUACAAAAUAUGUCAAUUUAGUCCUAACUAAAAAUUAAAAAAAAAUAAUUUUUAGCCCUGUAUAACCCAACGAUUAACCUAUGCGAGAUAUUAAAAUAAGAAAAAAAGUACACUCUUUCAAGUCACUUGCAAAAGAGCUCUAAAAAGUUGGAAUAAAACAAAAAAAAAUUUAAGAUCCAAAAGAAAAUAAAGGGAUUAAUAAUGUUAUUUGUUCGAGUAGUAAUGCAAACAAUUAUUCCAAAUAGGUUCCAAAUCAAUUGGUUUGGUCCAGUGUGAAACCUAAAUUAUAGUAAAAGAAAUUGUUGCAAAUGACUUAAAAGAGAGUACUCUUUUUCUUAUUUUAAUAUCGCACAUAGGUUAGUUGAUGGAUUAUAAAUGGUUAAAAAUAAAUUUUUUAAUAUAUAUAUAUUUUUAAUUUUAGAGUUAGGACUAAAUUGAUAGAUUUUAUAAAUAUUGAUGCCCAAUUUAUUGAUUUUUUUAGAAUUAGAACUAAAAUGACAAAUUUUACAAAUAUUGAGGACAAAAUUUGUUGUUUUUUUAUAUUUAAGAUCAAAUUGAUAGAAUUUAUAAACAUUAGAGGGCUAAUUUUUUUACUAGACCAAUAAAAAAGCCCACAUCAGCUCAGAGUGAUAAAAAUAUUUAAUUUUGAAAAGUUUAAUGACUAGAUAAAAAAAAUAGUUAGGUAACCAAAAUAUAACAAAAAGUAUAAUUGAGUGACCAUUUUUAUAGUUUAUCAUAAAAAAAUAAUUUUAACAUGUCUACGCCAUCAUUUAAUAGAUAAAAUUUAAUGAAUGAACUAAUUUACACAUUUCGAAAUAUAUAAAAGGUUAAUUUAUCUAUUUUUGAAUAGAAAGUCAAAAUGCUAUUCGUACAAGACUUCCUUACUAUUUUUACCAUGUUUAAAGUAAUACCCAGCCUGGCAAGUCCUAUGUUUGGCGGGUAAAUCGAAAAGAACUUUGAUUGGCACGAUCCUAUUCGCCCACAAGAUACUAUUGGUGAGUACAUCGAGCACAUAGUCAAUAUUGAGCAUGAGGUAAGGAUAUUUAUCUGGAUGAAUGGAGAUACAAAGAAGAAGAAAGUUGGUAGAGUAUGGAGAGCUUUUGAAUGGGGGGGUUUUACCAAAGGAAUAGUACACCAAGUUUACCAAGUUACUGAGCUAGUUGAAUUCUAACAAAAUGGUCAAGAAUGAACGAAGUGAUUAAUUAAAUAUAUAAUAAAAAGAUGGAUUCUCACAUACAUUUCCUUAAAGUUGUAAACCAUUUACAGGGCAGAUUAAAAAGGAUUGUGACACGUGUAUGGUUCUCUUAAGAGAAGGUAAGAUUUUUUUUGAUGAGGGAGAGCACCGGGGUUGUGGGUACAUAUGAUACUUAUUUUCUUUGGAGCAUAACAAUGCGAUGCCUCAUCGAUCUUGCAUACUUCAUCGCCCUAUCUUUUCGCCACCAGUCUAAUCGUAGUAGGAAGAGUCCUAUUUGUUUGGACACUUACGUGACUCGCCUAACGAGGUAUUUUGGCCUUCUUGAUACUUUGGAGCAGACAUCCUCUUUUACACUGGUUGGAUAGAUGAUCCCAUAGGGAUUAUCUAUUAUGAGUCAAAUGAGGAUGGUCGAGUGCCAGCAUAGUGGGUCCUCGUCGAUAUAUAUUGUCUCAUUCUGAUCCUCAAAAUGAGCAUGAGGAGCUUCCAGAUGAUGAUCCUCCUCGCCAUGCGGACCCACCUCAUUCCCCUCCACCUCCAAGUCACCCUACUGUUGCUCCCUUUGUUUUACUUGAGGAUCUCUUCAAGUAGUUUGAUCACUUUGAGCAGCGAUGCUUUGAUCUGUUCGAUAGCAUUGAGGCGUAUUUGCAUUAGAUCUGCCAUCACCUCCAUAUUUCUCAUCCUAAUUAUGCACUUCAUGAUCCUAACACUUCUCACGACACCGAUCACUGACCUGAUUUCAUUUUCUUAUUUAUUUAUUUAUUUUUACUUUCAUUUGUACUUUUCUUUUUAUUUUUAGUUGUUUUUAUGUUAUUUGUGAGACUUCUUAUUUUUAUUUUGAACCUUGCUUUUAUUUUUAUUAUUUUGAUGGUUUUUUUUUCAAGUUUGUAGUUUAUUUAUCUUCUCCUUCUUCUUCUUCUUUUUUUCUGUUCUCUUAUUAGUUUGCUCAGAAACUUAUACUUCAUUUAGAUUUGCCCAUGAUUCUAAUUUUCACUAUUCUGGCAAUUUCAUCCAAAUUUAAGGCAGUUUCAGUUCUUUCCCUUUCUUUUGAUAUUGUGCUUAUUCUGUGCUUAUAUCUAUUUGUACAUUAAGGACAACAUACAUCUUAAGUGUGGUGAGGUUGUUUAUAUGUUUAUGCAAUAAAAUCCUUGAAUUAUUGUUUGUUUUAAAGUAAUUUUCUCACAACUACCAUUGAAGUAAUUUCUUUUAAUUUAGAGUUGUUAUUGAUUCUAUUUUGGGAUUUAUUUGUGAAUAUCUGUGCAUUGAUUGUUUUAUACUUUAAGACAUGAGAGAAUCAAGCAUAAUAAGUUAUUUUUCAUAAAUAAAUAUUUCAGGUUGUUUCUC
This 137656-nucleotide long non-coding RNA is filed under the name Gossypium barbadense (sea-island cotton). Its description in RNAcentral is "long non-coding RNA (GBAR_LNC006594)". The record is from RNAcentral. Lineage: Eukaryota; Viridiplantae; Streptophyta; Magnoliopsida; Malvales; Malvaceae.